GAUGCUUCCCUCAAGGAAUCGACAUAUAUUUCGAAAACGUUGGGGGAAAGAUGCUGGACGCAGUGCUACUCAACAUGAGGCUCCGGGGCCGCAUUGCGGUAUGCGGUAUGAUCUCGCAGUACAACCUGGAAAAACCUGAAGGCGUACACAACUUAGAGCAACUAAUCGGGAAACGGAUUCGCCUGGAAGGAUUUCUAGCUGGUGAUUACUAUCACCUCUAUCCAAAAUUCUUGGAACUGGUCAUUCCUGCAAUCAGAGAAGGAAAGAUGGUGUAUGUGGAAGACAUAGCCGAAGGACUCGAGAAUGCUCCCGCAGCCCUUGUCGGGCUCUUCACUGGCCGGAACGUCGGCAAGCAGCUAGUUGCAGUUGCUUAAUACAAAAGCCAAUAUGGAUGAGCUGAGAAUAUGUGACUGAAUCCAUUGUCCGGUUAAAAAUGUUUGCAUGUGUUAAUAUGAACUAUCCUCGUUUAGUAAUGGGAUUGGAUUGUCCUGUCAUUACUUAAUUUUGUUGAGCUAGGGCAUCUGUGUGUAAAGUGUCAAAUAAUUUGGAUUCAGACAAGAACUUAGUGGAUGCAUUGAAGGAUUUUUUUUUUCUUUUUUUUUCUUUUCCAAGAUAUUGAGAUAAUGAUUGGAACAUUUGAGGGAUAAGAUCAAAGUAUCUUUUAGGAUACCUCAUUGGUAAGUAUUAAAAUAUCAAUUGCGUCUUUAUAAGGACAGGUGGUCCAGGAUCAAGAUUAAUGAAGAACAAAUUACAGCCAUUAGAUUAAAGUGAAAUUAAAGCUGUGAAUAGUACACACUUGUUGUGUGAAAAACUUAAAGGAGACAUUCCUCUGUACAAAAUUAACUUAAUAAUAUGUCCUUAUUCAUUCAUUUGAUUCUUCCUUCUCAAUCGUCAUUAAUAAAUUAAUAAUACAAAUAAGUCCCCGUUAAAGGUUAAGUCCCCGAUUGGCUUUACCGUCACGCUCAUGCAUGAUCAAAUUUCAGUUAAUGCUGACGUGAUCGAUGAUGAUUUCAUUGGGAGCUUCCUUUGUCGUGGCACUCUCAUGUUCACAUUUAUUUUUAGGGUUAAUAAUAAUAAUAGCUUCUAGAAACGCUUUGUUUUAAUGAGAUUUUAUUUUUCAAUUAGUGUAAAAAAAAAAUAACAAAAAUUAAUAAAAACUGAUUAUUUAAUGAUGUUCGGCCCUCGAGACAGUUUAUACUCGUAAUUUAUUGUUUGAAAAUUAUUUCAACAUAUGAAAAACAAAAUUUCCCAAAUUUACAACGAAUUUUAAAACAAAAUUUCGAAAUUUCAAAGAAAAUUACAAAUUUGACUAGAUUGACUGGAAAAAAUAAAAUAAAUAAAAUCGUCAAAAAUCCUGGGACCGACCAUUUCAAAAGUCUGGCUCUUUUCCAGGCUUUCCUUCCAAAUUUUCACACACAAAAUUUCUCGUAACUGCUACACAUUAAACGCGUUUCACAUUUUCACUCUCUCUCUAUAAAUAAAUACGCACAUAAAAUUUCUCACCAUCCAAAAACAAAAUCUACAUAAAAAAUGGCGGGUGAAGAAGCAGUGAGCAACAAGCAGGUGAUUCUGAGCAACUACGUGACAGGGUUUCCCAAGGAAUCAGACAUGAAGAUAAUAACAGGCUCAAUAAACCUGAAGGUGCCAGAGGGCUCAAAAGACACAGUGCUUUUGAAGAAUCUUUAUCUUUCCUGUGAUCCUUACAUGAGAGGACGUAUGAGUAAGCUUGAUAAGCCUUCGUUUGUUGCCUCCUUCAACCCUGGCGAGGUCAGUUUCUUCAAUUCCCACCUCUUGGUUUCAUAAUCUUUUAUGGUCUUAGAGGUGUUUUAGGGAAACAUUAUGGUUUUGGUUUGUGGGCAUGAAUCCUUGAAGAGAGUAUGAUGUGUCGGACUAUGUAUGCAAUAAUAAGUAUAGGGGAUCUUGUUAAGAGAAGAUUCUCUUAAUGAGAUUAAAACUUUUGUCUUAUCAAAACAUAUGUUUAGUUAUGAUAUCAUGUUAGCAUUGUUUCUGAGGAUUUGAUUGCUUGCUUUGGGAAAGGGAUGUUGAGGUUACAUUAUUCAGUAAUGAUUUUUUUUUUUUUUCAAAUGUUCAAAUUAUGCAGCCUUUGAGCGGAUAUGGAGUGUCCAAAGUGUUGGAUUCCACACAUCCAAAUUAUAAGAAAGAUGACUUGGUCUGGGGCUUAACCAGUUGGGAGGAGUACAGUCUCAUCCAAUCACCACAACAUCUGAUUAAAAUUCUGGAUACAAAUGUGCCUCUGUCAUACUAUACUGGGAUUCUUGGUAAGUUGUUACUAAAUUUAUCGAUGUCCAGUUUGCAUGAGCCGAAAAUCGUGUUUUAUUCAAUGCAAUGAGAUAGGGAUAUAUAAUAUGCCUGCUUGAACGUCUAGCAUUUUGAAUUUUCAACAAUUGGUCCGUCUGUAUGGGCAUGUAACUGAAGGAUUUCAUUUGAGGAAUUUACUAUUGUUGCUGAUUAUUGGGUAUUUUUCUGUUGAUUCUAGGUAUGCCUGGUUUGACUGCAUAUGGUGGUUUAUAUGAGCUUUGCUCUCCUAAGAAAGGAGAGUAUGUCUAUGUAUCUGCAGCAUCUGGAGCUGUUGGUCAGCUAGUUGGGCAAUUUGCAAAGUUGGUUGGUUGCUAUGUUGUUGGAAGUGCAGGAAGCAAAGAAAAGGUGAGUUUGCACUCUUGACCCUUAAGCUCCAAAUAAAAACAUAAUAACUUCCAAAAGAAUUGUGCAUGUCACAGUAUUUGUGUUCUAACUGAUCAUGGAUAUUUGAUCAGUAGUCUAGUAGAAACAGACCUAUUAAUACAUAGUUGAUUCGUCCUCAAGAAAAUUUAGUUGAUAUAUGCUUGAAAUUAUAUUCUGUUUUUUAUGCCAGAUUAUAUUAUUAGAUGACUAUAUUAACCAGAUUCUUUUUCUUUGUGCUGUUUCUCAUUUGAUUACGUUUUCAACAUUAGGUCAAUCUGUUGAAGAACAAGUUUGGGUUUGAUGAUGCUUUUAACUAUAAGGAAGAGCCAGACUUGGAUGCAGCUCUUAAGAGGUUAGCACGAAUGAAUGCUUUAACCACUUUUCUCACUUCAUUAUUACAAUGCGCUGAUUGAUGUUAUCUGCGUUGGUCCUGUAAAUGUAAAACAGGACAAACAGAGAUCACUGAUCUCAUUUGUUACAUUGAUAUUUUCUACCAUUGCCAUACAUAGUAUAAACUUGGAAUGAAGAUAGAUAUUCAAUUCAGAGGGAAAUUUUCACUUGCAGCUAACAGAAUCAUGUUUGUGAUGUAUGUUUAUUUAGGAAAUGAAAAGAUUCGUUGCAUUAUUUUAUUCCAAGUUUGCUGAAAUCAUAUUUGUUUUCCCAGGUGCUUUCCUGAAGGCAUCGACAUCUAUUUCGAAAAUGUUGGGGGUAAGAUGCUUGAUGCAGUCCUACUCAACAUGAGAAUUCAUGGCCGCAUCGCCGUAUGCGGAAUGAUCUCACAGUACAACCUUGAGAAGCCUGAAGGCGUACACAACUUGAUGCAAGUAGUUGGAAAACGAAUUCGCAUGGAAGGGUUUCUUGCCGGUGAUUUCUACCACCAAUAUCCGAAAUUCUUGGAACUGGUUAUGCCGGCAAUCAAAGAAGGAAAGUUAGUAUAUGUCGAGGACAUAGCUGAAGGCCUGGAGAAAGCUCCAUCAGCCCUAGUUGGGAUAUUCACUGGGCAGAAUGUUGGAAAACAACUGGUUGUAGUUGCUCCUGAAUGAUAUGAUUACAAUAUGCUUUAAAAGUGGACUGUGCCAUGCACUUUAAAAGCUUAGUGAAGAUGCCUCUGUCUUAUUUUUGAUACAUGUUAUGUUUGUUUGAUCAAGUUGUACUCAGCUAUAAAUGAAAGAUUCAGAACAUGUGUAUGGUACUGGUUUCUAAAUCAAUGAACGCUUUGAAAUGUUAGUGUUUUCACUGGAGAAUGCAGUUUAAUUCAUCAACAAUGUCCCAACAAGACCCUCAAGAGUGGUAGCUUGCAAAGUUAAUUACUAUAUUUUUUUCUUUCCGAUAUAUUGUUCAUUUCAUAGAAAGUUUACAUUAAUUAAAGUCUCAUGUUUCUUUGAAAGGUAAGCAAGUGUGAAUGUUUCUAUCUAGAGCUGGAAAAUGCAUUUCCGUGCAACUUACUUGAUGAAUGAAGUUUUCAUCUCUGACCUUGAUGUUUCCCAGAGCUGCAUUCAUUUCAGCUGAUCUAUUUCAUUUCGUUUGCAAAGGAGUGACACAAAACCUCCUUUGUUAAGGGGAGAAUUUAGAGUGGCUUCAACGGUUAACAAAUAGCCUAAUGUAAGACUUAAUCAAUUUCCUGCCCGGUUGCUUACCACUACUUAUCACUUUAACGUAUGAAACCUAAUCAAGAUUCCUUUGAUGAUUUUUCUAUUUGCUAAUUGAUUGAUAAGCUCUUCAGUGAAGAUAUAGUGUCCGCAAGCCAUAUGUUGAUAGAGUUAGAGUUUGCAGAAGCUACUGUACCAUAUGUUGUUAGAGGCGGUAAAAACGGAGGCAGAUCAACACACAUUUAAAUUUCAAUGACAAUUUACUGGAAAUAAAUUUCCUAUGACCCUACAUGUGACUAAUUGAUGAGAACUUGACAAUGACAAAAGAAAGUGUAUGAGCUUUGCAGGCUGGCUUGCCAAUAUUGACUGUAUGGCACCAUCCGCAAGUAAGUAUCAUUACUGUUUAAUCAACUUGGUGGAGUCCACUGGGACCACCCCACAUGGUCAGUCUUAUCUCUACUCCUAAAUUUUCAAUAUUCCAUACAUCAAACCAAUUGCAGUUUUGAUAUCAAAUUCAAUUUUAUUGUUGGUGACGAUUCUGAUUCCUUUCAUUCUCACAAAACGGAACCAUGGUUGCUGUUGGAGAGAUCUUACUCAACGCCUUCCUUGAGGUGUUGUUUGACAGGUUGGCUUCUCGUAAUUUGCUCCGCUUUGUGCGUCAACUCCAAGGCGGGGUUGAUUCGGAGCUCAAGAAGUGGGAGAAAAAGCUGAAGAUGAUUCAGGCUGUGCUCUGCGAUGCAGAGGAGAAACAACUGACCGAUGAGGCUGUGAAGAUGUGGCUGGACGAACUCCAAGACUUAGCUUAUGACGCUGAGGACAUUCUUGAUGAGUUUGCUACUCAAGCUUUGGAAAGCAAGUUGAUGGCGCAAAACCAGGAUAGCUCUGGCCAGGUUCUCAGUCUCAUCCCGGCUAGUUUGAAUCCGAAUGCUAUUAUGUUCAAUUAUAGCAUGGGGUCCAAGAUUAAAGAUAUGACUAGCCGGCUGGAGCAACUCUGCCAAGAAAGAAUUGAACUUGGACUGCAACGGCUUACUGGAGGGGCGUCAUCAACCGCUGCUGCUGCACACCGGAGGCCACCCAGUUCGAGUGUCCGAACAGAACGUGAAGUAUUUGGAAGAGAAGAAGAUAAGGCCAAAAUUCUUGAUAUGGUCAAUACCCCAAGUGAUCACGCCAACUUUGUUGUAAUACCUAUUGUUGGAAUGGGCGGGAUAGGAAAAACAACUCUUGCUCGGGAGGUCUACAAUGACAAGGCAGUUGAGGAUUCCAAGUUUGACGUAAAAGCAUGGGUUUGUGUCUCCGACAACUUUGAUGUUUUCAACAUUUCAAAGGCACUUCUCGAGUCAAUCACCUCCGCAGCUAGUGAUCUCAAGACUUUAAAUGAAGUGCAGGUUCAACUGAAAAAAGCAGUGGACGGAAAAAGAUUCUUGCUGGUCUUAGAUGAUGUUUGGAACGAGGACUACAGCUUGUGGGUAGACUUAAAAGCUCCGUUCCUGGGUGCUGCACCAAACAGUAAGAUGAUCGUCACCACACGCAAUUUAAACGUUGCAUCAACAAUGGGACCAAUUGAACAUUAUAAUCUCAAGAGUCUGUUAGAUGAUGAUUGCUGGUCCAUUUUCAUACAGCAUGCAUUUGAAGGUAGAGAUCUUAACGCAUAUCAAAUUUCAGAAUCAUUCAGCAAGAAAGUUGUUGGCAAGUGUGGGGGCUUGCCUCUGGCAGCAAAAACGCUCGGGGGCCUUCUGCGCACAACAAGGCAUGAUGCGUGGGACGAUAUAUUGGAUAGCAAAAUAUGGGAUUUACAUCAACAAAGCAGCAUUCUCCCUGUGUUAAGAUUGAGUUACCAUCAUCUUCCGUCUCAUUUGAAAAGAUGUUUUGCUUUUUGUGCCAUCUUUCCAAAAGAUUAUGAAUUCACUGAGAAGGGGCUAACUUUCUUGUGGAUGGCUGGAGGUAUUAUUCGACAGUCAAGAAACAGUGAGCAGCUGGAAGAUUUGGGCAGCAAGUGCUUUCAUGAUCUAGUGUCAAGGUCUAUUUUUCAACAAACCAGCUCUGGUAGUUCUAAAUUUGUAAUGCACGACCUUAUCCAUGAUUUUGCUGAAUUGGUUUCUGGAGAGACCAUUUUAAGGUUAGAGGAAUCCACCAACUUGUCGUCAAGGAGAUUUGAAAGAGUUCGCCAUUCUUCCUAUGCCCGUGGUUGGCUUGAUGGUAAAAAUAAGUUUGAGGUUUUCUAUGAAAUUGAACAUCUGCGAACAUUCUUGCCAUUCUGCAUAAGAGGUGGCCCUAAUACUAGUUACGUAACUAGUUUACUUCUAUAUGAUUUGUUGCCGAAGUUUAAAAAGUUGAGGAUGCUAUCUUUAGAAGGAUACCAGAUUGGUGAGUUACCAAUUCCAUUUGAAGAUUUGAGACCUUUAAGGUUCCUCAACCUUGCCGACACUGACAUAAGAAGUUUACCCGAGUCAACAUGCAAAUUGCUGAACUUGGAAAUUUUGAUAUUACGAAAUUGUUCCCGUUUGAUAAAGCUUCCGCCCAAAAUGAGGAAUUUGAUCAAUUUACGCCAUCUCGAUAUAAAAGGUGCAAAGCUGCUGAAGGAGAUGCCAUUGGGAAUGAAAGCGUUGAGGAGUCUUCAAACAUUGUCCAAUUUUAUUGUAGGCAAGGGUGAAUCUGCAUCUGGUUUGGAAGAUUUAAAAAGUUUAAACUUUCUUUGUGAUGAACUCUGCAUUGCUGGAUUAGAGAGUGUGAAUAGUCCACAGAAUGCAAGAGAAACCGCAUUAUGCGAGAAGCACAAUCUUGAAGCAUUGACUCUAGAAUGGGGGUCUCAAUCUAACAGUCCUCGGGAUGCAGUACUAGAGGAGAAUGUACUUGACACUCUACAGCCUCAUAAACGUAUAAAAGAGCUGGCAAUCAGGCACUAUGGUGGUGCAAGAUUUCCACUUUGGAUCGGACAUCCUUCGUUCUCCGAGAUGAAGGUCCUUAAAUUGGAGAACUGUGACAAGUGUGUAUCUCUGCCAUCGCUUGGCCUGAUGAAUUCACUUAAGCACCUUGCUGUUAAAGGGCUGAAGAAACUAAAAAGCAUAGAGUCUGCGGUCUUUCCAUCAUUGGAGAUUCUAAGUUUUGAGAAUUUGCCAGAAUGGGAGCAUUGGGACACCAAUAUCAAUGGAAAUGUGCACGUUGAAAUAUUUCCUCAUCUCCAAGAACUUUCCAUUGCAGAAUGUCCCAAACUCUCUGGAGAACUGCCUGAGCUCCUGCCCUCCUUGGAGACACUUGUCGUUAGUAAAUGUGAACAGUUGGCAGUUCCAUUGUCUUGCUAUCCGAUGCUCUGCAGAUUAGAAGUUGAUGAGUGCAAAGAACUCGUGUGCGGGACUCCAAUUAAUUUUAAGUUGGUAAAGUCUUUGACCAUUUCAAAUAGUUCAUUAGACAUGAAUGGAUGCAAUGGGAUGCUAUACCAUGGUCCAGCUGGCUCUUCACUGUCUAAACGCAUGACUAUUACAAAUGUUUUGGAGUUUGGAAAAUUAUUGAAGCCUGGAUUUCAGAUAUUAGAAUAUUUGGUAAUUGGCAAUUCUGAACAGCUCAAGUCAUGGAGGCGGGCCAGGAGACCUAGACGUUUUAAUGAACCAGAACACGGGCUAAAAAUUCUCGCUUCCCCUGAAGAGGUAACAAUUGAAGAAAGUUGCGUAAAUCUUGUUUUGUUUGCAGAGAUCAAUUUCUUUCCCAGAAAUCUGCGCUCUCUUCUAAUUUUCAAUAACAUACCUUUAAAAUCCUUACCCGAGGAAAUGAUGGACAACAAUUCACAACUGGAAAGCUUGUGCAUCAGAAAUUGCGAUUCUCUAACAUUCAUCACAAGACACAAGCUACCUUCAUCUCUAAAAAGUAUAGCAAUUAAGAAUUGUGAGAAAUUGCAACGUCCGUUCGAUGAUGAAGAGGAUGCUUCUUCUUCUUCUUCUCCUUCAUCCUCGUCUUCCCCAGUGAUGCUGCAAUGCCUGACUAUAGAGAACUGCCCAGAGCUCACCAGUUUAUCAUCGGGAAUCCAAUUCCUUGAGGCGCUUGAAGUACUCGAGCUAAGGGAUUGUCGAAAGCUGGAGUCAUUACCGGAUGGCCUGCAAAAUCUUAACUGUUUACAGAGCAUUCAUAUAGAUGGAUGUCCAAGUCUUGUUUCCUUCCCAGAAAGAGGGCUUCCCAACACCAUUUCGAGAGUUUACAUUCGUGGUUGUGAGAAGCUUGAAGCCCUGCCCAACGACAUGCACAAACUCAACUCUCUCGAAACUUUAAACAUACGGAAAUGUCCAAAUCUUGUAUCGUUUCCAGAGGAAGGUUUUCCUACCAGUCUAGUAUCACUUACAAUUGGAUAUGUCAAAAUGUAUAAGACACUCGUCCAGUGGGGGUUGCAUAGGCUUACCUCUCUUACACACCUCGAGAUUAUUGGAUGUGAUGAUGAAGCAGAGUGUUUUCCAGACGAGGAGAUAGGAAUGAUGCUGCCCACCUCUCUCACUCAUCUGCAACUUUCGGAAUUCAAAAAAUUGAUAUCUCUCUCUUCGACGGGUUUUCAGAGCCUCAACUCUCUUCAAUCUUUGUGGAUAUUGGGUUGCCCAAAUCUCACAUCAUUCCCAGAGGUGGGCCUUCCAUCCUCACUUUUGGAAUUACACAUUGUCAAGUGUCCAAAGCUUAAAGAAGUUUGCAAAAGAGACCAAGGAGAAGAGUGGCCCAAAAUUGCUCACAUCCCUUGUUUUGAGAUAGACUGGAAAUUCAUAUACGAUCCAGAAUCAGAGGAGUAGAUUCUCCUAUUAAGGUCAGUUGAUUUUUUAUUAUCCGUUAUAACAAGCUCCUCCUUUUUUAUUUUUUUAAUAAUAAUUUAGCAGUUCUAUAUAAUUAUAAAUCCUCCGCCCUUAAUUGAAAAUGUCACUCAUUUGAUUCCAUUUUCACAAGUCAGAUCGUAUGUUGAGGUUAUUUGCAUUUUAUCGGUGUUUAUUAAGGUAAUUAGUGCGUUAUAGGUUGAUUACUCACAGAUUAAGUUAUAACAUUUAUCUUAAAAUUUAAUGUCAUAGACAGAGAUGAUUUUUUAAUCCAAAGUUUUCUUGAUUCACUUCAAUUAGCAUUUUCUUUUCCCCAGAUCAGGCACGCGGAGAGUUCCAAUCAAGAAUUGGAGCAUGUGAAUGGGAUUUUUGUGAAAACAUAAUGAUGCAGGAACUGGGAUCUCAAAGUCAACAGAAUUUUAUUUACUCAUUGACUUUUCAACUCCUGUGGUUAUUUAUGGGUGAAAGAAAGAUAAGGGCAAUUUCAAGAAAUUUGCAAACUCUGUCAAUUUCUUUUAAUUGUACCAAUUUGUCGUUUAUGCUUUGGUUUUAUUUUUUCAGUUUUGUUUAUUGCUUAGAUGGUAGCAUACUUGAAAUGAUACAUAGCCUUCACCGGCAGAAUUCUAGUCUUGGCUUUCACCUCUCUAACUCAUCUCAUCUGUUCCUAUUGGGAUUCCAGAAAUUGAAAUUUCUGUCAUCAAUGGGUUUCAAAGCCUCACCGCUCUCCGAUUUUUGUGGAUCGGGAAUUGCACAAAUCUCACAUCAUUUCCAGAGGUGGGCCUUCCAUCCUUGCUUUUUGGAAUUACAAAUUGGAAAAUGCUACUUUCCCCGGGUCAAAUCCCAGGUCAAACCCCGAAUUAAACCAAAACGACACCGUUUUGGUUUCUUUUUUUUGUCCUUUUUGCUUCCAUGAAACGUGGUCGUUUCAGCCAAACAAAAGCAAAUGUCUUCGUUUUUUACUUCCUCUCCUCUUCGAUUCUCCUCUUCGUUUUACCAACAGACCAACAGAGCACAAAUUGCAGAAGUCACUUGCACAUCAAUUCAUCACAAAAUGCAGAGUUUUACUAAAGAAAAAAACGAUGCCGUUUUUCUUGCCAAAUAUUUUCCAUUUCCUUCGUUCAUGGAGCUCCUGCCACCGCCAAAGCCAAAUAUUUCCCCUUUCAUUUCCUUCGUCAAUCAAGCUCCAGCCACUUGCUUCGUCGAUCGAGCUCUAGCCACAGCCAUUCGCAAAUCGCAGUCCACAAUCCGCGCCUGAAAUUGUCAUUCACAAUCCACAACUCACAACCAUGACUUCACACAGAGAACGACUCCCACAGCCUUCACGCGACAGCGAGAUCGAGCUCUUUAACAUUCGAAGAACAUAUCUGGUUGCGAAAGUUGAUUUUUAAUUUGCUUGCGAGCUGAGAUGCUUCGAAUUCUCUGUUUUUUUUUUUUUUUUGUAAAUUACUAAGCCAAAAGCUUUGCAUAAGCUUCUGCUUCGGUUUUGAAGAUUGUGAAGCUGGAAAUGUUUUUUCCCUUUUUAUAAAUGGAUAAUUGAAAGUUUGAACUUUACCUUCGUACUUUCUUUUUCAUAAAUUGCUCAUGGUGCAGUCUCAUUUUGCUAGUUGAAGAAACAGUUAAGGGGGUCUGUAGUUGGGAAGAAAGAGGAAACGAAAAUGAAAAGAAAAAGCUUAAGUCUCGGUGCGUUCAAGUAGCAUUUUUUCAAUUAAAAAAUUUAAUUCUCAAAACGGCGUCGUUUUCUAAAGUUUCGGGGUUUGACCCGGGAUUUGACCCGGGGUAAAUAGCAGAACUCUUACAAAUUUACAGUUGUCAGAAGCUUGAAAAAGUGUGUAAAAGAGAUCAAAAUUCUUGUCUUGGCUUUCACGUAGGGAUGGCAAAAAUCCCCACGGGGACGGGUACCCUCGGGGAUUUUCCCCAUUCGGGGAGGGUAUGGGGAUAAUUUCAUACCCAAUUUCUUAUUCGGGGAGGGGACGGGGAAAUUUUGUUACCCAAUUUCUUAUUCGGGGAGGGGACGGGGAUGAGGUGGAAUCCCCAUCCCCUACCCAUUUCCCCAUUUUAAUUUUUAAUUUUAUUUUAAUUUUUUAAAAUUACUAGUAAAUAAAUAAUAAAAUUUAAAUUAUAAAAUUAUAAAUAUUGGUAAAAAUAAAAAAUAUCAAAAUAUUUAUAUUAUUAAACUUUUAGGCUUAAUUAACUAAUUAAAGUCCUAAAUUUUUAUUUAGGACAUUAAAAAGACCGAGUAGAUUCUAUUAGCCCAAAAGUUUUUUAUUUUUAAUAUUCUUUAAAUAUUUUAAACUUAAAUCUAUUUUUUAUUUAUUUUUAGAUGUUAUAAUUGCCCACAUCGAAUCACAAUUUUAAUAUCUAAUCUAAUCUAAUCUAAUCUAAUAUUUACUCUUGAUUUGCUCCGAUUUAACUAUUGUGUUGUAAAGGGAAUAGUCCACAUUUAUAAAGUGCCCACGCCACCAUUAAAAAAGUUAAUUUUGAAUCUAAAUUCGAUUUUAUUUGUAACAAUUUUGUAUUAAACUAUUAAUUUGUUCAUGAUAGUUUGUAAAAGAAGUUUGUAUCCCUUGCAUGCUGUGUUACUUACUAAUUUAAUGUAUGUGACUUUUGUAAUGGAUAUUAAUGUAAGAUAUAUUUCAAAUUUUACUUUUAUUUGAAUUUUUUAUUUUAAUAUGAUUAACUCAAAAUCGAAAAAAAAAUAUUAGUUAUUCGGGGAUCGGGGACCCUCGGGGAUCCCCUGUUAUUAUUCGGGGAGGGGAUGGAGAUUCGCUCAAGUAAUUCUGACGGGAACGGGGAGGGGACGGGGACAUACGCAAAAUAUCGGGGAUGGGUACGGAGAGAUUGGUCCCCUCCCCUCCCCUCCCCAUUGCCAUCCCUACUUUCACGGAUAGUUUUUAUCACGUAACCACGUGAGGAAGCAUGUGCUGGAGCCUGAAUUCAGUUAGUUAAAGUUUGUUAACCACGUGUCAACAAACUGUAUAAUCUGGAAAAUAAGCUAGCUAUUGAAACAGGGUAUAAAGGCUGGUUUUUCAGGGACUAUCGAGAGCUGAUUCUAGAGUCUUGUAGAAAGAGGUUUGUGAGAGAGAAAGUGUCAUCUUGUUCUCUGUAAAAUCCGAUAUAGGGCUCUGUAACGAUCUCCAUUGUUGAAUCAAUAAAACUCAUCUAGAAGCUUCUCUCGUGGACGUAUUCUGAGCAAUCAAUGCACAGCUGAACCACGUAAUAUCUUGGUUUCUGUGGGUUCUUGUUUUGGUUCUUGAUAAAUUCUUGUUGUUGUAUUGAGGUGUGAUUUGAUCUGUCUAAACUUGUAUCUGUGCAACUUGAAUUGAUUUGAUGAUAAGAAUCUUGGGCAGUGAUCAGAUUCGUUUAGUUUAAAGAACAAGCUGAUUACUACCGUACCUAUGCAUGGACCUGCAACCUGUGCUGACAAAACUGAAACUGUGAGUUUGAGGUAAAAAGGUCCUGGACCCUCACAGUUUAACUUUGACUUGUUGCUUUCUGGAUAAACAUAUUUUAGAAAUUUGCAAUUUGUUGUUAAUUAUGGUAUGUGAUUUUCUUCUUUGUUUUCGCUUUUGUAGAAUCUACCGUAUUACAUAUUGGCAGUUGUAUCUGAGGUACCUUUUUUGCAUUUAACUUGCCUUUAUCUGUUUUGCCUGUUACUUAACAACACAAACACAUCAUUUCCCAAACAUUUGGAGAAGCAUCUCAAGAUGCUUAACAAACUUGACAAACUUCAAGAUGCUCCCAAGCCUUGAUUCUUCACAAUGGAAGACCUGUGAGUACACUUAUGCCCGCAAUUAUUGUGAAGUGAUUGCAACUUUGAUGCAGCGAAAUGGUUUGCUGAUGCAAAGCUUUAAAACUGUUAAGAAUUACCCUGCAGGCUUGUUGGAUGUUGUAUACUCCAAAAGCCACCAACACCAAGAACUAUAACAGCAAGACUAGGUUUGCAUUAAUUCAAUUAGCUGAAAUAAUGAUGCAAAUGGCACUAUCCAGCUCGACUUAGAGACUAGUCAGGUCAAUCAUCCAUUUCAUCAACAGUUAAUGUCAGGAUGGUGGCUAGCAGAGGAAACAAAGGAUAUGUUGGAAUCAAUAAGAACAGUGAGAAGCAUGAGAGGAGCUUUGAUUAUAAGUAGGCUCAAUGAACUAGUGUUGGUAAGUGGUAAUUAGAGCAAUUUGUGAGCUUAGUAGAGUUUCAAUAUUUUCUGUUUGGGAUAUAGUUGAUAAGUUGAUACUCUGAUUAAGAAGGCUGAUUAUAGUAGCUGACUAUAUUAACCGGGUUCUCUUUUUUGGUUUGCUGUUGUUUUUUCUUUCAAUAUCUUUUUCAACAUUAGGUUUAGCUGUUGAAGAACAAGCUUGGGUUUGAUUAUCAGGUAAGAACAAAUGAAUGCUUUAACCAUGUUUCUCACUUAUCACAAUGCACGGAUUGAAGGCGUCUGAGUUGAUCCUGAAAAUUUGAUGGAAACACUUCUCUGUUUUCAUAAAACAGGACAACCAGAAAUAUCUGAUCAUGCCUGAGAAUUCGUCGCAUUGAAAUUUUCUACCAUUGCCAAACAUAGAAUAAACCAGGGAUACAUUAGCUUAAGACUCAAUUUUGAGAAGGAAGUUUGUACUUGCAGACUAUAAAAUCAUGUCUACCUUGUAUGUUUCUGUGGGGAAUGAAAGAUUCUGUGUGUUCUUUUACUUCGGGUUUGCUGAAAUCACAUUUGUUUUCUCAGAUGCUUUCCGGAAGGUAACAACGUCAAUUUCAAAAAUGUUGGGGUAAGAUGCAUCAUGCAGUGCUGCUCAACAUGAGAAUUCCUGGCCGCAUUACCCGUAUGUGGAAUGAUCUCACACUACAACCUUGAGAAGGUUGUAAGGAGUACACAACUAGAUGCGAGUAGUUUCAAAAUGAAUUCACAUGGAAUUAUAUGUUGCCGCUUAUUACUAUCACGUCUAUCCGAAAAUUCUUGGAAUUUGUCACCGGCAUUGAAGGAUUGUAUACGUGAAGACAUAGCUGAUGGCCUUGCGAAAGCUCCAUCAGCACUUAUAUCGGAAACAGCUGGUUGUAGUUGCUCCUGAGUGAUAUGAUUAAUAGAUACUGUAAAAAUGAACUGUGCCACUCAUAUCGAAAACCAGCUGUUAUGAUGUGUUGGUAAUGUGUUUGAUGCUUGUUUGAUUUAUGUUGUAUUCGGCUAUAAAUCAAAGAUCAGAACAUGGGUGUGUUACUGGUUUCCAAAUCAAAAAAUGCCUUGUGAUGUUAGUGUUCACUGUUUUCACAGGAGACCAGGUUCCUUGUUAAUGAGUCAAGAAGAAGACAAGUGAAUCCAUGUCUGAGUUCAAAUGUGUCUUUUCUAUUUCUUUUACCGACACAUUUAUUUUGAUUUCUUUGACUAGAUGACUAAAGAGUAAAGAUAGAAGAAAUCAAAACAAAUGAGUCAGGUCCCACCUGGCCCAUUGGCCCAUCUCUCUUCCAGCCCAAAUCACUCUCAUUCGCUAUUUUGCCACCUUCAUUUCACUGCCCUCAUAGCUCCCCGUUCUCACGGUGGCUGCCAUCUUUCUGCUCACGCAUCUUUCAAAUUUCAAACCUAACAGCAUUCUGUUGCUCUGUCGUGGGUACUUCAACUUCUGUCACCUUCGGUAAGCUUAUCUCUGCCCCUCUGUGGCUGUCUCUCUCUUUACAAUGUUGUUUCUUAUUCAAUUUACAGAAUUGAAUUCACUGUUCAGUUUAUGGGUUAGAUUUUUAUUCAAAAUAAUAUUAAACCCACCUCAGAUUUUAUCCCGUAGUAUGUAAAGUUCAUGUAAAGUUUCCACCUUUACGACCGUCCGAUGUUUAAAGUUCUAAUUUUGUUCCGGGGUUUUAUCAGUGUAUUUAGAAAUUAUGUCCAUUGUUUUUAUGAAAAUGGAACUAUUUUCAUUUGUUUAUUUCUCUAUGGAUGAGAAAACCGGUCUUUAAGCUUUAUAAUCUUUAUUUGAUUAUUAGAUUUCUCUUUUGUUAUUCAGAUGAGUUCAGUUUUCCAAUUCUGUGCAAUUGUUUUGUUGCAUUUUUCAAUUUUAUCUUUUUCCAAUGCGACGUUUAUGUUUGUAUUUUCUUAAAAGUGGACAUGAAUUUUGAUUUGUUGUUGCUUUGUUGUGAUUGAGUAGCCAAUUUUAAGUCCAUAUUAAACUUUCUCAAUUAUUAGUUGAAUUAUUUGGAUUUGAAAUUUUAAGUUCUUAAAACCGCCAUUUUAACUUGUUUGUUAAUGGCUCUGUUGAGCUUCAACAUUUGUUUUCAAGAACAAAAUUGAUGGAACUAUAAACCUUCGUUUCUCACAUGCGGGCAACAUGUUAUGUUAGACAGAGUGAAAUCGACAGAAGAAACCAAAACAUUGGAAACAGAGACACAGAGAGAGAUCAGCAGAAAUGGCUUGGUGCAGAGUACGCUCAGCUUCAUCGACACUCUUCAUUAGGCUUCUCUGCCCUUUCAUUCUCAACAAUAACACUACUUAACGCUAUCAGUCCUGUGGUACUCUUGUUUCUAUACUUGUGGAAUCUCUUUUUUAAUCCUCAAAGUUUGAAUUAAAUUAUAUUGCCUCUGUAUUUCUGCAGAAACGGAAUCAGUUGGUGAUGACAUUAAUUCUCAAGUUGGAAGUUGCAUGCCACUUUCUUGUAUGCAUGUUGGGACCAUCAUCAACAACAUUGAGGUAAACUCAGCCAAGAUUUUGAAAAAGAAUCCACUUCAAGGUACUGCUUAGUUUCUGGAAAUGAGAAAUUGAUUGACACUAGACGUCAACCCACCAUUGAUACAGCGUCUAACCCCAGCCAUGAAGCUAAGAUGCUUAGGAAGGCUGGUCAGAGCCAUUGGUUGGGCCAAAGACCUGUGAUUAGAGGAGUACCCAUGAAUCCAGUUGAUCAUCCUCGUGGUCGAGGUGAGGGACAAGGCAAAAGUAGUGGUAAGCAUGGAAGGUGUUCACUUACACCUUGGGGCAAGCCUUGUAAGUGGUGUAAAACUGCAUCUCGUAAGAAGAAAAGGAAAUUUAGCCGUCUGAUAAUAUUGUCCUUCUGUGCUAUUUAGCCUUUUUAAUAUUGUUACAUUGUUUGUUAUAUCUUUGAUGUUAGUUUUGGACCAGCUUUUAACUGAUCCAUAAUGAAACUGAAGUUUAAUUUUCGAUUGAACUUUUACUGGUUUUACUCCUGUCAUUUCAAUUUAGCUUUGAUUUAAGAUGCUGAAUUCUGUGAUUGGAGUAUGUAGAUUGGAAAGAGAGAUAUUAUGGGAUAGAAUAUAGAUUUUGUGUUUUGGUUUCUCAUGUUUAGAGAUAUUCUGUUCUUUUUCAUUUAUUCAAUUUGGUUAGUGGUGAUCUCUUAAAGAGUUAAUGCAUGUGUGUUUAUGUACUUUUCUUUUGGCCUUGAUUCUAUUUCUUGGGGAGUUUAUACAGAUUCCUCUUUUAUGCUUCACAUGCCACAUGCCACAUGAAAGAUGAAAGCCUUUUGUGUGAUUAGAAUUGACUUGCAUCAUAGUAACUUUGAACCACUGUAACAUUUUUAUAAUAGCAGUCUGCGAUCUCCUUGAAGGAUUCAAAGCAUUUUUUUUGUUAGUCUUGGCUUGCAUUAAAAUCCUUUAUACCGAUUGGUUGGUCUCCUUUAAAGCAAUUCCUGUUUUAAGUAAUCAAAAUCUUGAUUCGGAAGUGUGUUUUAGCACUACUAAAGGUUCUUUUAAAUACUAAAUUGAUUGUGAGUCUUCUAUAUCAUCUGAUUGAAAUACAUGAAAGCGAUAUUGGCUACAAAAGUACACUUGGGGUUGUUUAUAAAGUCUUCAACAGGAUUUUUUUUUCCCCUUCCUCAUGGUUUAUUUUUUAGUUGUUGUUUAACAAAACACUUAAAAGGUUCUCUUUAUAGGUUUCUGAAAAUAAUUUUAACAUAACCAUUUUUCAGAAGCACUUUAGAUACCUGUGGCAUUUAGAAAAUUUUGUUCCAGCAUUCACAUAAUAUACAUAGAAAUUUGAAUUUAUUUAAUUAUGAGCAUGUGCUAGUGCCUAUUGGCAUCCACUUGUAUAUACAAAUGUAUUAUACAAUACAAUAUUAGCUUGACUGUAGCAUAGAGGAGAAUAGGGUCGGAAUUGGUCUGAAUUCUGAUCUUUGAAUAAAUAUAAUAGCUGAUUGAAGCUGCUCAUGUGACUCCAUUGUCAGCAGCUUACACAAGGUCUUUUAGCUUUUUAAAAAGUUUUGUGAUAUUUCAUAGUUCACAUGGAUUGCUACAGUAUAGAAUACCCAAUUAGGGCAUUUUUAAUUCCUAUGCAUAGGAGUCUUCCUUCAUGCGCACGCGCGUACACACAUAUAUUUCCCACUUCCGUUCACUCCAAAAGUGAAAAUUGCGGGCAAUUUUUAUCUUCAGUAAAAUUGGAGUAGAUGUUGUUCUUAUUGGCGCAAAUUUGCGUACCAUGUUUGUGGGACCCUUAACCUUGCGCCUUUGUUACAAUCAUAUGCAUUCAGGCUUUUGGUAGACCCUUGGAUAGUAUGAUCAGUGUAUUAGAAUUUAGAAUUCGUGUUUAUAAGGGUCAGUUUGGUAAUGUUAUAAUUUUUAAAAUAAUUACUGUUAGCUAUACUAUAGAAAUAAUCAGUUGUGAAUAAAAUCAGUUAAACAGUUGAUAAAUUUUGUUUUUAAGGUGUUGUGAGUUUUAAACAAUUUGUAUGUAUUUAGUAAAUCUCGCUUUUAAAGUAUUAUAAGAAUGCAAAGACUUAAAUAGAUAGAAAUCUAUAAAAUUUAUUUACAUGUGCAUUUAUACAAUAAUAUUUUAUGCAUGUAUAUAAUAAUUAAUAACAGAAAUAAAUAUUUUUAUUUUAUUAAUUAUAUAUUUUUCUUAUUAUCUCAAUAUAAUUGGUAAUAAUAAUCUUUUUAAUAGUACAUUUAUUAAUCAGUAAUCGAAAUGGGCUGGAAUCGGAAUGGGGAAUGAAAAUCAUAAUAAUUUGUUUACUUUAGCUGUAGGAAUCAAAAUCACAUGGAGCUAUAUUAUCAUUAAUAUAUUUAUUUUGUCUUGGAAUCGAAAUAGAUUGUUACAAAUUACUAAACUGAUUUUAUUAUUAUCAAUAUUAUUAUUAAACAAGGUAAAGGGAAUUUUUAAUUUUCACUAGGUGUAGAAAUGUCGAUUCACUUCUCAUUCUCAUUCUCUGUUCUCAUUCCCCCUCCUCAUAGGAUUACCAUUUCACAUUCUCAAAAAUUUAUAAUUGACUCACAUUUCAUUCUCAUUCCUCCUUAUUUUGGAAGUAAAUAAGUUAAAGAAUCAUAUUCCUUUAUUCUUGUUUUUCAUUCACAUUCCUUCUCCUUAUUUUGGAAGUAAAUAACUUAAAGAAUCAUAUUCCCUUAUUCUUGUUCUCGUUCUCGUUCUCAUUCUCAAUUAGUAAGCACACUACAAAUGCAAUGAUUUUGUUUCCUAAUUAAACAAGGAUAAUUUUUAGAUUUUUAUAAUAUAUGUUAAGAUAUAUGUAGAAUUGUAUUAAAUAUGAAACUGACUCCCAAAAUCAUAUUUUAAAAAACUAUUUUUUUCUUAUUUUUUGAAAUUUAUUGUAGGCUAGGGUGAUUUUAUCAAAGUAAUUUUUUUAAAAAUUUUCGGACCCAUUUGGGAUUGUUUUUGGAAGACUCAAAAAGGAUUUUGAAUAGCUAAAAUCUAAGUUUGGUGUUUUAUAAUUUUUUUUUAAAAAAAUUACUUCUGAUAAAAUUAUCUUAUCCACGUUAAAUUUUAAAAAGAAAGGAAAAAGUAAUUUUUUAAAAUCUGAUUUUAAGAAUCAUUUUUAUACUUAAUACAAUUUCAUAAAUAUCCUGAUAUAUAUCAUAAAAAUUCAAAAUUAUCUUUAUUAGUUAGGAAAUAAAAUCAAUAAUUUUAAAAAGAUUAUUAUUAUUUCUAAUUAUAUUGAGCUAACAAAAAGAAAUAAAAUUACUAAUAUAAAAUUUAUUUUAACUAUUAAUUAUUAUAUUUACCAAUAAAAAACAUUUUAUAUACACGUUUAUAAAUAUUUAAAUAAAAUUUAUUCAUGUCGAGUUCAACCAUUUAUAUUAUUACAGCAAUUUAACAACUGGUUGUCGUUGCUCGGGAAUUAUAGAAUUACCAUAUGUUGUAAAAAUGCACUAAGCCAUGCCAUGUGUUUGAUACAGGUUAUGCUUGUUCGAUUAAAUUGUACUCACCUAUAAAUCAAAGAUUCAGUACAUGUGCAUGUUAGUGGUCUUCAGAAUCCAGAAUAAUAAAUGCCUUGAAAUGCUUGAGUUCAAUGAUUUCGCAGAAGACCAAGUUCCUUGUUAAUGAGUCAGCAUGACUGAAUCCUUCACUAAGCCAAAUUUGUUUUCACUUUUAGUUUAGAAAUUGUCAUUAAUUAAGAAAGUGUUUGAUAAAAUGCUUUGGAAGGCACUGUUCGUUGGACGUUUGCCCAGAAUUUAUGAAAUCAUUGGUGUUUCAUCCUACUUGUAACACUCUUCUUUAUUUUCUAUUCUAACGAAGAAAUCUUUUAUUAGAAAAGUGACAAGAUUGCACCUUUCAUUUGUAUGUUAAGGAGGUGUAAAAUUUUCUCGUUAAAAUCCCAUCAUGAAAAAAACUCACGGGCAAAAACCUACUGCAAAUUAAAGAAAGAAGAGUAAAUCAUGAUAAAUACACUCUCUUUUACAAUGCAAGCGGAUGCUUCAAUGAGUGGAUCAUGCGCCAAACUUGUAUAUCGUUGUUGGUAGUGCUUUGUUGAAUCAAUAUGAUAGAUUUUCACUUUUCUUUUUUUUCUUUUCUUUUUUUUUUCCUUGUGGAUACGAAAAUGAUUUGGGUUAAACUAUACUUAAUGCCGGUUUGGUACGACUUCUCUACUAAUUAAAAGAGUUUUUUUUCUUAAAUGUUCAAAAAGAUUUUUUAUUAUAAAUUGUAAUUUGAGUGGAUUUCUUGGGAUUAAACAAGUUACAUUUUUGUCUCUAUAAAGAAGUUCAAGUUAUAGAUUUUGGCAAUAGAGAUGUAGAGGUUUUUUUUUUUUCAGAGAACUAAAUUGUGGAGACUAUCUUUAUUUGGUUAUACAACUUUUUUUUUUUUAAUUUCAUAACAUAAUUUUAAAAGACUUAUUUAAUAAAUUUGAUAUUUUUUUGUAAAAAUUAUCAUUCACGUCCAAACUACUGAAGAUUUUUUUGUUAAACGCACUACUUAAAAGUUAUAUUAAUUAUAAACUUUCUAAAAAAAAAAAACAAUUCAAAGAGUUAUAGCAAACAAAGUGCUAGUUAACUUCAGUCGAUAAUAAUCUUCUAAUCCGUCCUACAAAUGACUUUCGACAAGAGUGGUGCUACUCACAUCUCUUCAAAACCCAUUUGACACCCCGUUUUCUUUAUUUAAAAUUUUAUACAUUUGAAAAUUAUUUUUUCUUUUACUUGACACUCUUCAAAUUCUAAAACUAAGCUUCAAAGAACCUUCGUCAUUAAAUCUCAUUGCCUUCCUUUAUUCUUGUUACUUGAGAAGAAGAAUGAGAGUCUGGAAGAAUGAAAGAAAAUUCAGCGAGAUAGAAAUCUAGUAAUUUCAUACCAUGAUUCAGAAUUUUUUUUUUCUCAAAAGAAUCUACUAUUCUUCUAUAUUUUAUAUAAAAAAAAGAGGAAAAGAGGAAACUGAGAGACUCUUUGUUUAAUGCUUGAAAGUUAGAAAGAAAAGGUCAGGAAGCUGCCUGGUAAUGAGAGUGAUGCAUCAGCACUAAUUUCUAUCUCGAUAGCUACCAAUUACCACCCCUAGAAAGGCUGUUGAUCAACAAGCCAUAUCUACUGGUUUCCUUUCUUUAAAAGUUCUAAUGGUCCCCUUAAAAAUCUCUAUAUGCUCAGUCUUCUCAUGAUAUAUCUGAUUUUCGCUGAGAAUUAUAGCAAGCGCUUCAGAUAUCAUAAUACUUUGUGACUGACUACUGUGCAUGCUUAAUUAUAAGAUUAUUCCUUGUGGCCAAAUAAAAUGACCCCCUUUAGAGCCUCUGUAUUUGAAAAAGCAAGACAAUGAGCUUAAUUAUUGUCAAGGUCUCCAGUAGGAUACUCCUAAAUCCAUAUACCCACCCACCAGAACUCCAAUCUUGAAACUUAUAGAUCAAACCAUAACUUAAUGUGCCUGGCAACCAGGGAUAUGUCAGGCCUUUAAAAAACCACUACAUACAUUUGAGUCUGAAAUUGCUCCAAUUAGUAUUAUGAUUAUUAUUUUAAAAAACUCAACCUAAGCAAAGUGCCUCAGCAUACAAUAUUUAUUGACAACUAAAAAGUAAUAGUGGGUGGGGGUUGCCCUGGGUUUUGUUUAAAAAUUGAAGUAAAAAAUUUUCAAAUUUCAAAUUUCUAGUACAAAGAAAAUUGAUGACUAAAUUAAAUUCUGCAAAUUAAUUUCUAAUAUUACAUGAAAAUAUAUCAAGUUAAUUGGUAACAUUGUUAAUCACUUAAUCCUCAAUCUAAUACGUUAUGUAUUUGUUACUCUGUCUUAAAUCAAAAGUGGCGGUGAUUUAUUUUUAUUUUCACUAAUAAGAAAGGCAUGUUAGAGCUUUUAUUUUGUUGAAAAUGAACCAAAAAACUCCGAUUGGGAGAUUAUAAAUGUAUUUAACAAUAAUUUAACUUCCAUUUUGAAAGUCAUUAUAUUGUUUAUUCAGGAGAAGCGUUCUUUUAUAUUUUAUAGAUAUAAUGUUUGCUAAUCCUAAUUUAAGCUAAAGCAUAUGCAUUUCCUAAUUAAUUCUAAUUUAAGCUUAUUCAACUGCAUUCAAUUAAUGUUCGAUAAUACAAAUUCUAAAUACUAUAUACUCUAAGAAUUUUAAUCGUAAUGACAAGGUGAUCAUUUAAUUAUUACCGUUAAAUUAUAUAUGUAUGGUGGAGACGAGUCCACACGGUUUUGACGAGAAAUUAAAGACAAUAUUUAGUUAAGCUAGUAGUAUUUGUUCUGUUUAGUACGUCGUUUUACCAGCAAGCAUCCCGGCAAUGCACGCAUUAAUAAAAAAAUUUAUCUGUUUGGACUGAUUGGUAGUGAAAAAUUCCACAUACUUUAAAUUAAGAAAAUGCUAAGUAUCUUAAAGAAAACAAUUAAAAUAUUGUCACUUGAUGCUUGAAUCAUUAUUGUUAAAUAUCUCCGUUGAGUUGUAUUCCCCAGCUGUGAGUAUCAUUAUUGUCUUUGCUAUCUAAUCAAUUCAAUUUUCUUUCUGGAGACAAGAUUUUGAUUCCUUUCAUCGUUACAAAAACGGAACCAUGGUUGAUGUGGGAGAGAUCUUACUCAACGCCUUCUUUCAGGUGUUGUUCGACAGGUUGGCUUCCCGUGAUUUGCUCAGCUUUGUCCGUCAACUUGGAGGGGGGGUCGAUUCCGAGCUCAAGAAGUGGGAAAGAAAGCUGAAGAUGAUUCAGGCGGUGCUCAACGAUGCAGAGGAGAAGCAACUGACUGAUGAGGCUGUGAAGAUGUGGCUGGACGAUCUCCAAGACUUGGCUUAUGACGCUGAGGACAUUCUUGAUGAGUUUGCUACUCAAGCUUUGGAAAGCAAGUUGAUGGAGCAAAAUCAGGAUAGCUCUGGCCAGGUUCUCAGUUUCAUCCCGGCUAGUUUGAAUCCGAAUGCUAUUAUGUUCAAUUAUAGCAUGGGGUCCAAGAUUAAAGAUAUUACUAGCCGGCUGGAGCAACUCUGCCAAGAAAGAAUUGAACUUGGACUGCAGCGGAUUACUGGAGGGGCAUCAUCAACUGCUGCUGCUACACAGCAGAGGCCGCCCAGUUCGAGUGUCCCAACAGAACGUGAAGUAUUUGGAAGAGCAAAAGAUAAGGCCAAAAUUCUUGAUAUGGUAUUGGCCGAUACCCCAAGUGAUCAUGCCGACUUUGUUGUAAUACCCAUUGUUGGCAUGGGCGGGAUAGGAAAAACAACUCUCGCUCGGGAGGUUUACAAUGACAAGGCCGUUGGCGGUUCCAAGUUUGAUGUAAAAGCAUGGGUUUGCGUAUCUGACGUCUUUGAUGUUUUGGGCAUCUCAAAGGCACUUCUCGAGUCAAUCACCCGCAGGCCAUGUCUUCUAAACAGUUUAAAUGAAGUGCAGGUUGAAUUGAAAGUAGCUGUGGAUAAAAAAAGAUUCUUGCUGGUCUUAGAUGAUGUUUGGAACGAGGAGUACAGCUUGUGGGUAGACUUAAAAGCUCCGUUCCUGGUUGCUGCACCAAACAGUAAGAUGAUCGUCACCACACGCAAUUCAAAUGUUGCAUCAACAAUGGGGCCAGUUGAACAUUACAAUCUCAGGAGUCUAUCGGAUGAUGAUUGCUGGUCCAUUUUCAUAAAGCAUGCAUUUGAAUCUAGAGAUCUUAACGCACAUCAAAUUUCAGAAUCAUUCCGCAAGAAAGUUGUUGCCAAGUGUGGAGGCUUGGCCCUGGCAGCAAAAACACUCGGAGGCCUUCUGCGUACGACGAGGCAUGAUGCGUGGGAUGAUAUAUUAGAGAGCAAAAUAUGGGAUUUACCACGACAAAGUGGGGUUCUCCCAGUAUUAAGAUUGAGUUACCAUCAUCUUCCUUCUCAUUUGAAAAUGUGUUUUGCUUUCUGUGCAAUCUUUCCAAAAGAUUAUGAAUUCAAAGAGAAGGAGCUGACUUUUUUAUGGAUGGCCGGAGGAAUUAUUCGACAGUCAAGAAGCAAAGAGCGGCUAGAAGAUUUGGGCAGCAAGUGCUUCCAUGAUCUGGUGUCAAGGUCAAUUUUUCAGAAAUCAGCAAUCUCUGCUAGUUCUAAAUUUGUAAUCCAUGACCUUAUCCAUGAUCUUGCUGAAUUGGUCUCUGGAGAAACCAUAUUUAGGUUAGAGGAGGCCAAUACUCUGUCAAGAAGAUUUGAAAGGGUUCGCCAUUCCUCCUAUGCUUGUGGUGGAUAUGAUGGUAAAAAUAUGUUCGAUGUUUUCAAUGAAAUUGAACAUCUACGAACAUUCUUGCCAUUACGCUUACGCAUAAGAGGUGGCUUUAGUUCUGGUUACAUAAGUCGAACGGUCCUAUCUGACUUGCUGCCAAAGUUCAAAAGGUUGAGAAUGCUAUCUUUAGAAGGAUACUGUAUUGGCGAGUUACCAAUUCCAUUUGAAGAUUUGAGACUUUUAAGGUUUCUCAACCUUGCUGACACUGACAUAAGAAGUUUACCCGAGUCAACAUGCAAAUUGCUGAACUUGGAAAUUUUUAUAUUAAGAAAUUGUUCCCGUUUGAUAAAGCUUCCAGCCAAAAUGAGGAAUUUGAUCAAUUUACGCCAUCUGGAUAUAAGAGGUGCGAAGUUGCUGAAGGAGAUGCCAGUCGGAAUGAAAGAGCUGAAGAAGCUUCAAACAUUGUACAAUUUCAUUGUGGGCAAGGGUGAAACUGCAUCCGGUUUGGAAGAAUUAAAAAGUUUAAACUUUCUUUGUGAUGAACUUUGCAUUGCUGGAUUAGAGAAUGUGAAUAAUCCACAGAAUGCAAGAGAAGCGGCAUUAUGCGAGAAGCACAAUCUUGAAGCACUGACUCUAGAUUGGGGGUCUCAAUUUGACAAUUCUCGAGAUGGAGUAGUAGAAGAGCAUGUACUGGAAAUUCUACAGCCUCAUAAACGUAUAAAAAAGGUGGCAAUCAGGAACUAUAGAGGUGCAAGAUUUCCACAUUGGAUAGGAGAUCCUUUGUUCUCCAAAAUAGAGUUCCUUGAAUUGGAGAACUGUGACAAUUGUGUAUCUUUGCCAUCGCUUGGCCGUUUGAGUUCACUUAAACACCUUGCUGUUAAAGGGCUGAAGAAACUAAAAAGCAUAGAGUCUAAGGUUUAUGGGGAGGGUUUCUCAAUGCCUUUUCCAUCAUUGGAGAUUCUAAGUUUCGAGAAUUUGCCAGAAUGGGAGCAUUGGGACACCGAUAUCAAAGGAAAUGUACUUGUUGAAAUAUUUCCUCGUCUCCAUAAACUUUCCAUUGUGGAAUGUCCCAAACUCUCCGGAGAACUGCCUGAUCUCCUGCCCUCCUUGGAGACACUUGUUGUUAGUAAAUGUGAAAAGUUGGUAGUUCCAUUGUCUUGCUAUCCGAUGCUCUGCAGAUUAGAAGUUGAUGAGUGCAAGGAACUAGCGUGCGCGACUCCAAUUGAUUUUAAGUUGAUAAAGUCUGUGACUAUUUCAAAUUGUUCACUAGACAUGUAUGGAUGCAAGGGGAUGCUAUACAAUGGUCCAGCUGGCUCUUCACUGCCGAAAUCCAUGACUAUUACAAAUGUUUUGGCGUUUGGAAAAUUAUUGAAGCCUGAAUUUCAGAUAUUAGAAACUUUGGUAAUUGACAAUUCUGAACAGCUCAUGUCAUGGAGGCAGCGUGGGAAUUUCCGAGAAGAAUAUUUGGCCGUUCGCCGAAGGCUUAUCAAACCAUUACAAGGGCUAAAUAUGCUCGCUUCCCCAGAAGAGGUAACAAUUGAAGAAAGUUGUGUGAGUUUUGUUUUAUUUUCAGAGAUCAAUUUCUUUCCCAGAAAUCUGCGCUCUCUUCUAAUUUGCAGCAGCACAGCUUUAAAAUCCUUACCCGAUGAAAUGAUGGACAACAGUUCACAACUCAAAAGGUUGUAUAUCAGAGAUUGCGAUUCUCUAACAUUCAUCACAAGACGCAAGCUACCUUCAUCUCUAAAAAGUAUAGAGAUUCAGAAUUGUGAGAAACUGCGACAUUUGUUCGAUGAUAAAGAGGAUGCUUCUUCUUCUUCUCCUCCUUCAUCCUCGCCCUCCCCAGUGAUGCUGAAACACCUGAGUAUAAAUAAUUGCCCAGAGCUCACCAGUUUAUCAACAGGAAUCCAAUUACUUGAGGCGCUUGAACACCUCGACAUACGGGAUUGUCGAAAGCUGGAGUCAUUACCAGAUGGCCUUCACAAUCUUAACUGUUUACAGGAGAUUACUCUAAACAGUUGUCCAAGUCUUCUUAGAGGGCUUCCCAACACGAUUUCAAGGGUUGACAUUUACAGCUGUCCAAGUCUUGUUUCCUUCCCAGAAAGAGGACUUCCCAACACGAUUUCAAAGGUUGACAUUUUUAAUUGUGAGAAGCUCGAAGCCCUGCCCAAUGACAUGCACAAACUCAACUCUCUUCGAGAUUUAAGCAUAUUGGGGUGUCGAAAUCUUGUAUCCUUUCCAGAAGAAGGUUUUCCUACCAGUCUAACAUCACUUAGAAUUGGAGAUUUCAAAAUGUAUAAGACACUCAUCCAGUGGGGGUUGCACAGGCUUACCUCUCUUAGACGCCUCUAUAUCGUUGAUUGUGAUGACGAAGCAGAGUGUUUUCCAGACGAGGAGAUAGGAACGAUGCUGCCUACCUCCCUAACUCAUCUAUCCUUUCGGGGAUUCCGAAAUUUGAUAUCUCUGUCUUCGACGGGUUUUCAGAGCCUCAACUCUCUUCAAUACUUGUGGAUCAGGGAUUGCCCGAAUCUCACAUCAUUCCCAGAGGUGGGCCUUCCAUCCUCACUUUUGGCAUUAUGCAUUAUCGAUUGUCCAAAGCUUAAAAAAGCGUGCAAAAGAGAUCAAGGAAAAGAGUGGUCCAAAAUUGCUCACAUCCCUCGCAUUGACAUAGACAGGAAAUUCAUAUACGAUCCAGAAUCAGAGGAGUAGAUUCUACUAUUAAGGUCAGUUGAUUUGUAUUAUCCGCCAUAACAAGCUCCUCCUUUUUUUUUAAAUAAUAAUAAUAAUUCUUACCAAUUAAUGAUGGUAAGAUGUGUACUUAUUCUUUCUUCCGGACAACCUUGCCUUCUUUCUUCGGUAGCAUAUCUAAUGAAUAUUUCUCUGUUUAGUUAAGGAUGAAUGCUUGGAGUGGAGUAUUUGGUAACAUUUCUGCCGUAGAUGAAACCUUGAAGAAAUGCCUGCACUUCCUGAGACCAAAUACAGGUCUGAUUCACAACAACACCUGUCCCAGAAAAUAUGAUACAAGCCAAAGCCAUGUUCUGAAGCAGAAAUAACGCAUUUCAAUUUUUAUCUGGUAAAAAUACACAGCCCUCGCCUACAAAAUUCUUAUCUUGGCUUUCACGGAUAUUUUUAUCACGUAACCACGUGAGGAAGCAUGUGCUGGAGCCUGAAUUCAGUUAGUUAAAGUUUGUUAACCACGUGUCAACAAACUGUAUAAUCUGGAAAAUACGCUAGCUAUUGAAACAGGGUAUAAAGGCUGGUUUUUCAGGGACUAUCGAGAGCUGAUUCUAGAGUCUUGUAGAAAGAGGUUUGUGAGAGAGAAAGUGUCAUCUUGUUCUCUGUAAAAUCCGAUAUAGGGCUCUGUAACGAUCUCCAUUGUUGAAUCAAUAAAACUCAUCUAGAAGCUUCUCCCGUGGACGUAUUCUGAGCAUUCAAUGCACAGCUGAACCACGUAAUAUCUUGGUUUCAGUGGGUUCUUGUUUUGGUUCUUGAUAAAUUCUUGUUGUUGUAUUGAGGUGUGAUUUGAUGUGUCUAAACUUGCAUCUGUGCAACUUGAAUUGAUUUGAUGAUAAUAAUCUUGGGCAGUGAUCAGAUUCGUUUAGUUUAAAGAACAAGCUGAUUACUACCGUACCUAUGCAUGGACCUGUAACCUGUGCUGACAAAACUGAAACUAUGAGUUUGAGGUAAAAAGGUCCUGGACCCUCACAGUUUAACUUGGACUUGUAGCUUUCUGGAUAAACACAUUUUAGAAGUUUGCAAUUUGUUGUUAAUUACGGUAUGUGAUUUUCUUUUUUGUUUUCGCUUUUGUAGAAUCUACCGUAUUACAUAUUGGCAGUUGUAUCUGAGGUACCAUUUUUGCAUUUAACUUGCCUUUAUCUGUUUUGCCUGUUACUUAACAACACAUCAUUUCCCAAAGAUUUGGAGAAGCAUCUCAAGAUGCUUAACAAACUUGACAAACUUCAAGAUGCUCCCAAGCCUUGAUUCUUCACAAAGGAAGACCUGUGAGUACACUUAUGCCCGCAAUUAUUGUGAAGUGAUUGCAACUUUGAUGCAGCGAAACGGUUUGCUGGUGCAAAGCUUUAAAACUGUUAAGAAUUACCCUGCAGGCUUGUUGGAUGUUGUAUACUCCGAAAGCCACCAACACCAAGAACUAUAACAGCAAGACUAGGUUUGCAUUAAUUCAAUUAGCUGAAAUAAUGAUGCAAAUGGCACUAUCCAGCUCGACUUAGAGACUAGUCAGGUCAAUCAUCCAUUUCAUCAACAGUUAAUGUCAGGAUGGUGGCUAGCAGAGGAAACAAAGGAUAUGUUGGAAUCAAUAAGAACAGUGAGAAGCAUGAGAGGAGCUUUGAUUAUAAGUAGGCUCAAUGAACUAGUGUUGGUAAGUGGUAAUUAGAGCAAUUUGUGAGCUUAGUAGAGUUUCAAUAUUUUCUGUUUGGGAUAUAGUUGAUAAGUUGAUACUCUGAUAAAGAAGGCUGAUUAUAGUAGCUGACUAUAUUAACCGGGUUCUCUUUUUUGGUUUGCUGUUGUUUUUUCUUUCAAUAUCUUUUUCAACAUUAGGUUUAAGAACAAGCUUGGGUUUGAUUAUCAGGUAAGAACAAAUGAAUGCUUUAACCAUGUUUCUCACUUAUCACAAUGCACGGAUUGAAGGCGUCUGAGUUGAUCCUGAAACGUGCCUCAGCAAGUAUUAUGAUUAUUAUUUUAAAAAACUCAACCUAAGCAACGUGCCUCAGCAUACAAUAUUUAUUGACAACUAAAAAGUAAUAGUGGGUGGGGGUUGCCCUGGGUUUUGUUUAAAAAUUGAAGUAAAAAAUUUUCAAAUUUCAAAUUUCUAGUACAAAGAAAAUUGAUGACUAAAUUAAAUUCUGCAAAUUAAUUUCUAAUAUUACAUGAAAAUAUUAUCAAGUUAACUGGUAACAUCGUUAAUCACUUAAUUCUCAGUCUAAUACGUUAUGUAUUUGUUACUCUGUCUUAAAUCAAAAGUGGCGGUGAUUUAUUUUUAUUUUCACUAAUCAGAAAGGCAUGUUAGAGCUUUUAUUUUGUCGAAAAUGAACCAAAAAAACUCCGAUUGGGAGAUUAUAAAUGUAAUUAACAAUAAUUUAACUUCCAUUUUGAAAGUCAUUAUAUUGUUUAUUCAGGAGAAGCGUUCUUUUAUAUUUUAUAGAUAUAAUGUUUGCUAAUCCUAAUUUAAGCUAAAGCAUAUGCAUUUCCUAAUUAAUUCUAAUUUAAGCUUAUUCAACUGCAUUCAAUUAAUGUUCGAUAAUACAAAUUCUAAAUACUAUAUACUCUAAGAAUUUUAAUCGUAAUGACAAGGUGAUCAUUUAAUUAUUACCGUUAAAUUAUAUAUGUAUGGUGGAGACGAGUCCACACGGUUUUGACGAGAAAUUAAAGACAAUAUUUAGUUAAGCUAGUAGUAUUUGUUCUGUUUAGUACGUCGUUUUACCAGCAAGCAUCCCGGCAAUGCACGCAUUAAUAAAAACAUUUAUCUGUUUGGACUGACUGGUAGUGAAAAAUUCCACAUACUUUAAAUCAAGAAAAUGCUAAGCAUCUUAAAGAAAACAAUUAAAAUAUUGUCACUUGAUGCUUGAAUCAUUAUUGUUAAAUAUCUCCGUUGAGUUGUAUUCCCCAGUUGUGAGUAUCAUUAUUGUUGUUUGUGCGAUAUGUUUCGACGAAGACCAGCAGUGAUGAGCAGGCGUCUGGUAGCAGGGUUCCUCGAACAGGUAUAUCUUGCAAGAGUCUGGUAGCAGGGGGAGCAAGAGCAGGAGUAUCCUGCUCGUCCACGAGUACGUCAUCCACGAGGCCGGUCUCCUGUUGGGAGCGUAAAGCCAUUCCUGCUAUAUUCCUGCUAGCGGUUGAGUCGAGGAGACCCGGUCAACGACAGUUGACGAGACAUGCUCUCCAGUCCGAGAAUCAAGGCGCGAAGGCCACGCAACCACCCACGACUACGGAAAUGGAGCAUCCACUUUCGAGAAGUGGGAGGAUGACAAGCGCAAAGGGAGGAAAUGCAUGGGCUCAGAAGUGGCCUAUAAAAAGGUAACCAACGAAGGUAAAAGGGUUAGCAAUUUUGAGAUUAUAACAGAGACUAAGGAAAUUCUAAAGAAGAGAAAACUAUUAAAAAGCCAUAAGAUCUGUGGCAAGCGUUCCCAGAGCCUUCAUAUCUGACUUGAGCGUCGGAGGGUUUACGCCGGGAAAACAACCGGCGUGCUCUGACUUGUUUCUGUGGACGCAGGAAUACUUGGAGAAGAAAGCAUACAAGGAGAGAUCCUGGUCGAGGUGAGGUUGAUUGAGCAGAUAUCCUGGUCGUAGGAAGAGCGUAACCAGAAUCUCGCAUCAAUAUUUUGGCGCCGUCUGUGGGGAGCUGAGCAAAAAGUUUCUGUUGAUAGCAAAGAAGAGGAGUGAAGCAAGUGAAAAGCAAUGGAGACAGGAGGAAGUAGUGCACAAGGGGGUGAUAUGAGGCUUAACGAUUCCGUGACGCUGAGGGAGAUAGCCAGUGAAGCACGGGAAAAAGCCAUGUUCGACCGGAUGGAACGGAUGGAAAAGCAGAUGGAGACCUUGACAACCAUCCUACAUGAGCUGCGGAGCGAACGAAGGGUAACCCAGGAGGAAAGGGUGAGAGGUGGUGGAGUGGCACCAGGUCCCGAUAGUGCGAGGAGAAGUCAAACCACCGGGAGAUUUGGUGGUGAGAGAGGUAACAUACCUCUGCAGGGAAAUUGCAUAGAGAGGAAGAGCAGUCCCCGGCAAGACAGAUUUUUGACGAGGACGACGGGGUGGCGAAUGCAGAGGAAGCAGAGUUGAGGCAAUACUUGCAUGAUGUAGUGCAAGAGCGGGAUCAAGUCGCAGCACGUGACCCUGGUCGUGCAGAGCAGCUGGAGGAGGAAGUGUGCAGGCUAGCGCAGAUAAUUGACGACAUACAAGGAAGGAGCAGAGCUCCUGGUUGGAGGAUAAUGCUGGACGGAGAAUCACCGCUCGCAGCAGAGAUCAUGAGGGCAGUUAUUCCAAGAGAUUUCCGCCUCCCAGACCUUAGAUAUUCGGGAUGAACUGAUCCGCUGGUGCACAUAGAGCGCUUCAACGACAUAACUGGGGUACAAGGAUUAUCUCAAUCCUAAAGGUGCAGGGUGUUCCCACUAUCCCUUGAGGGACGCGCACGAGAGUGGUACAGGAAACUUCCUCGGGGGAGCAUUAAAACCUUCGAGCAGAUGUGCCAGGAAUUUGCAGAACAGUUCCGUGGGGCAAUGGCACCAGAAGAUGACAUGAUGGAGUUGAAAAACAUGAAGCAGGGGGAACAAGAAACACUUCGGGAAUUCAUCAAGAGGUUUCACCGUGCUGUCCUCGACUUGGGAGCCUUCAACCACCCUCAAACGUUAAGGGGAUUGAAAGAAGGGGUGAAGAUAGGAAGGCUGUGGUACAACUUGAGAAGCCCAGUUAUUCAGACGUAUGCGGCCGCAUACGAGCAGGCUAAGAGAGACAUUGAGAUUGAAGAGGAGAAGGCAGCACAGAUUAAGACAGACCAGUUAGAAGGGUGGGGGAGGAAAGAGAAGAAAGCAUUACCGGGGAAUGGGCCGAUCAGGAGGAGGAACCACCAGGCCUCGAGUAGUGGAGCAGAAGGUCGGGUAACUGCUUACCAGCCUCAUCAGAGGCCACUACAGUAUCAGCACAGCAGGGCGCAACCUCCUCGUUCCCCAGCUGGGGAGCCUUGGAGAAGGCAUGACUCGGCGUAUGGUGGUCUUCAUCAACACUCCCACGGUAGUAGAAGGGGCAGACCAGAAGCGCUGCCACCGCCUCCAACUCAGAACGGAGCAAAUAGAGAAAGGGCAGUGCACCUGAUCGACCAGAACCAGGACUAUGGGCGAUAUACUUCCUUGAAGAUGUCCCUGGCCGAGGUGUACGAGGCCAUAAAGGAUCGAGGGUCGUUAUACCUCCCUGCCCCAAUAACAAAGCUACCCAGCAGGAGGGAUAGGGGACGCUAUUGUAAGUUCCAUGGCACUCAUGGCCACACCACAGCAGAUUACAGGGAUCUCAAGACCCAGGUUGAAGAUUUGGUGAGAAAUCGGUAUCUGGACGAGUUUAUAGAUGGGACCUUCCCAAUGGUAGCCUCGACCAGCGAAUGGGAGCAGAGUGACAGGAACUUGAGGCGCGAGCAGCCUGCAGUAAGGGUGAUAGCUGGGGGCCCAACAUUGGCCGGAGAUUCCAACAGGUUGAGGAAGAAUUACGCUAGAUACGCCAUGACCAGCAAAGAUGUAUUCUUCACCACCCCAGCAGCCAAACGUGCAAGAGUCAGGCAAGUGCCAAUUAUGUGGACAGAUGAGGAUGAAGAAGGGAUUCUAUACCCCCACGAGGAUGCUUUGGUCAUCAAGGCCACUGUUGCCAGCAAGAAGUUUGACAGGAUACUGGUUGACACAGGGAGCUCAGUUGAUGUGUUGUUUAAGUCAACCCUGGAGGAGAUGGGAAUAGCAGACCUGAAGUUGGAUUACACCAAUACCUCCUUGAAGGGGUUUGGAGGAGGAAAGUUGGUCCCUCUGGGCGUGGUCGAGCUGCCUAUCACGAUUGGGAGCUCCCCGACAGAAGGGACAAUGAUACUGGACUUUGUGGUAGUGGAUGAGGAAGGUCCUUAUCAGAUGAUCCUAGGCCGGCCAUUUCUGACGAUGAGCAAAGCGGUGCUGUCCAGCCAUUAUCUGGCUCUCAAGUACCGGGUGAAUGGGGUAGUUGGAGUGGUACGAGGAGACCAGAGGAUCGCAAGAAGCUGCUACUCCUCGGCAGCAAAGGAAGCAAUGCAGAUAACAUCCCUUGAUACCCGAGUGGAAGCCAGGAAUGGCAGCUAGUUGGACCCGGAGUUUACAAGCUGGUUCGCACGGAUGGCCACAAGGUGAAACGCCCAUGGAGCGCGACACACCUCAGGAAAUAUUUCUAGUAAGACUUACUCAUCUUUUAAAGUUAUUUCUGUUCGUGCCCGUUGUUUUCUAUUUUUCAUUUCUUAUUUCAAAGCAAUCUCAUGUAAGCCGAAUUCAAUAAUAAAUGAAUCAAUGAGGAGUUUCAGUCAACUACACUGUUCAAGAAAUUAUCAAAGGCAUGCAAAGGCUAGUCAAGUCUCAAAGCCUGUUUAUGGCGAGACCAGAAGCCAAGCGUGCCAGGAUCUGCUCGACCACGAGAAGGCGAGCAGAGUCCCAAGCUUUCAAGAAAUUAUCAAUGGCAUGCAAAGGCUCACCAAGUCUCAAAGCCUGUUUAUGGCGAGACCAGAAGCCAAGCGUACCAGGAUCUGCUUGACCACGAGAAGGCGAGCAGAGUCCCAAGCUUUCAAGAAAUUAUCAAAGGCAUGCAAAGGCUCACCAAGUCUCAAAGCCGGUUUAUGACGAGACCAGAAGCCAAGCGUUCCAGGAUCUGCUCGACCACGAGAAGGCGAGCAGAGUCCCAAGCUUUCAAGAAAUUAUCAAAGGCAUGCAAAGGCUCACCAAGUUUCAAAGCCUGUUUAUGACGAGACCAGAAGCCAAGCGUGCCAGGAUCUGCUCGACCACGAGAAGGCGAGCAGAGUCCCAAGCUUUCAAGAAAUUAUCAAAGGCAUGCAAAGGCUCACCAAGUCUCAAAGCCUGUUUAUGGCGAGACCAGAAGCCAAACGUGCCAGGAUCUGCUUGACCACGAGAAGGCGAGCAGAGUCCCAAGCUUUCAAGAAAUUAUCUAAGGCAUGCAAAGGCUCGCCAAGUCUCAAAGCCUGUUUUAUGGCGAGAUAGAAGCCAAGCGUACCAGGAUCUGCUCGACCACGUGAAGGUGAGCAGAAUCCCCAAGCAUCGGAAUAUUUUCCAAGGCAUGCAAAGGCUCGCCAAGUCUCAAAGCCUGUUUUAUGGCGAGACAGAAGCCAAGCAUGCCAGGAUCUGCUCGACCGCGCGAAGGCGAGCAGAAUCUCAAGCAUUGAAGAAUUUUCCAAGGCAUGUGGCAAAACCAUAUGCCGAGCCAGAACCUGCUAAACUAGACGAAGACGAGCAGAUUCUCAGACGAAAAAUAACUCAUGAUUACAACACAAGAAAGUAAUCAAAAACAUUUUUAUUAAUUUGUUAAUAAUUAACAGAGGAGAUAAUCUUCACAAACAUUGUUCAUUACAAUACAAGAAAUAUAUUAAGAGGACGGUGGAUCCGUAAGCCGAGCAGCCUCAGUCGGUUGGUCCACCUCAGGUGCUGGGGGAGUAUCACCGGUCGCGUCCGGGGGGGUGCUUGCCUCACCCACAUCAACAGGAACGGCACGAGGAGGAGAGUUUUCCUCAACUACGAUUGGUUCCACCGUUUCGGCAUCUUCCUUUGCAGCCUCCUCGUCCAUAUGUUGGGCGACACCAGUUGCAAGGUCGUCCAUCUUCAGAUCAGGAUGCUGCUUCCCGAGGACGACCAUGAUGCAACGAUAGGAAUGCCGAAGCCCCUAGUCGUACUGGUUGUCGGCCUCCCUCUCCAAGUUCUCGACCUGAGCUCGGUGGGAAUCGCGGAGAGAUUCGAGCUGAGCCUCAUAUAUAGCCUUCUGCCUUUGCAGAUCCUCCUCGACCUUGGUCAGCUCCUCCUCGAGGGUAAUGGCUUUUGCUUGAGCAAGAGAUUCUUGCUCUAUCAGCUUGAGGUUCUCAACAUUCAGCUCCCCUGCUUUCUUCUCGGCAGCGUCAGCUCUGGUCGUCGCCGAUUGAAUGUCCUCCUUAAUCUUGCGGUCGUAGCGGCCAACCUUCGCCUUGUAAUAGGUGGUCAUGCAGCUGAGGUAGAAAGCGCUAUACUGCAUGGCCCCCACCAGCUCACCCAAGGUGCAGCCGUCAAAGUCCUCCAGGUCCUUCUUGCUCACGAGUUUAGAUAACUCAUUGAGGUAGGGGACCAAGUGUUCUGCUUGGCUGUCAGGUAAGCGAGAUCGAGGCCCGACAGGAGGAGAAGAGGAAGCAGGAUCCGUGGCUGCUCCACUAGUUUCCCCAACUUUGGCAGGAGCAGGAGGUAAAGUCUUCAAGGGAGAGACUUGCUGUACGAUGUUGGCCUGCUUUGCAGAAGGGGCGUCCUUGUUCUGGUCCCUCUUCGUGGCUUGAGGUUGAGAACGUUUCCUGUUCAGAGCCCCAAUCACAGCGUCCUCCAUCUUAUGGCCAGGGAGUACCAAGCGAGACUCGAGCAAGUUGUAAACAGUUAUCAAUUCUCGGCUCGGGCAAGAGUUGGCUAGUAUAGCCUCGACCCGUUUGAGCUGAUCAGGUUGGAGCGAGAAGUGAACACCCCAAGAACCUGCAACACAAACAAACAUUUGAUUAGAGACAAACCAGUAAAGUGCAAACAACAAGGGAGACAAGACAUCUAAUACGAGCAGGCAACCUGGGACCAUGAAACGGGGUGGGACGCGACAAUCCUUCCCGUCUAUUUGUGCAACUUGACCCCAAGGACCCCCAGCAAAAAAGAAUUUCCUCUUCCAAGUCCCACCACCACCAGUUGGAAGAUCAGUUAUGGGUUUCUUGCUCUUGGUACUAGAUUGGAAGUAGUACCAGCCGGCAUCUUUGGGGCUGCUCUUUAGCUGGUACAGGUGCUUCACCUCAUCAACCGUGGGCUCGCUUUGGCAACAUCUGUCCCACAAUAUGAACAGACCAGAGAGCACCCUCCACCCAUUGGGGUUCAGUUGACCAGGAGCUAGAUUGAGCCCGUGGAGUAUGCGAGCAAAAUAGGGUUGCAAGGGGCACCUUAACCCGUACUUAAAACUCUCCUGGAACAAGGUGACAUAUCCCCUAGGAGGCCUGCUAGGACUAUCUUUUUUUCCUGGGAUCCUAAGGAGUACUUCACCAGGAAUAUGAUACCUGAGCCAGAGGUCAUCCAGCUCGUUGAAUGUGGUCGUGCAGGUCAUGUAAUCAAUAGCAUAAUCCCGCAACAAGGCUCUACCUCCUACUGUACUACGCCCUUCUGGUCGCAGUGUUCCCGGUGAAGAUCCCUCACCAGAGUCACCUCCUUGAUCCUCACUUAGGGUGUCUUCCGAGCCAGAAGGUCCUUCCUCGCCACUACUUCCGCUCGUGGAGGUUGUUUGGGGGGACAUCCUCCUAGCGCUAGUCCCGACACUAGACCUAGUGGGCUCUAAGGGGAUCCCGGGGUCAAAAGCAGAAUCAGUGAGCAGACUAGGCAAGAAACCUAGUUCGUCGUCAUCAGUCUCAAUGACUUUCUCCUUACCCUUCGACAUUCCCUAAGUUCUAACCAAAACACCACCACCGACUACAACCCCAAGUAAAGCAAAGAGAAAAGAAAUUAUCUACAACUAUCCGAGACCGAGGAGAUAGAAGUAAUACCUGAAGUAAUGGUUCAGUUAGAGAAAGGCAGGGGAGGAGACUUUUAUGCCGAGACUUCUUUGCCGGAGAGACAGAGACAGAGAUGGAGUAAAUGACGAAUUUUCCCUUUGAGAGGUUUUGGGUUUUCCUAAUGGAGAAUGAACUUUUGGAUUGCCAGCAUUUAAUAGCAUCGAAUCCCAAGGGUCUCGUAACCGUCGGUUUAAAAUUCAAAUAGAUGGGUAGAUUUCUGCCACAUCACCUGGUCCACAAUUAAAUGCGACACGACUCUUGGCAGCCUUUUCCUAUCCCGCGCGAGCAAGAACUGUCGAGUUUCUACUGUUGGCUCACUACGCUACCCAACACAAGAAACUGGGGGACUGGUGUUUGUGCGAUAUGUUUCGACGAAGACUAGCAGUGAUGAGCAGGCGUCUGGUAGCAGGGUUCCUCGAACAGGUAUAUCUUGCAAGAGUCUGGUAGCCGGGGGAGCAAGAGCAGGAGUAUCCUGCUCGUCCACGAGUACGUCAUCCACGAGGCCGGUCUCCUGUUGGGAGCGUAAAGCCAUUCCUGCUAUAUUUCUGCUAGCGGUUGAGUCGAGGAGACCCGGUCAACGACAGUUGAUGAGACAUGCUCUUCAGUUCGAGAAUCAAGGCGCGAAGGCCACGCAACCACCCACGACUACGGAAAUGGAGCAUCCACUUUCGAGAAGUGGGAGGAUGACAAGCGCAAAGGGAGGAAAUGCAUGGGCUCAGAAGUGGCCUAUAAAAAGGUAACCAACGAAGGUAAAAGGGUUAGCAAUUUUGAGAUUAUAACAGAGACUAAGGAAAUUCUAAAGAAGAGAAAACUAUUAAAAAGCCAUAAGAUCUGUGGCAAGCGUUCCCAGAGCCUUCAUAUCUGACUUGAGCGUCGGAGGGUUUACGCCGGGAAAACAACCGGCGUGCUCUGACUUGUUUCUGUGGACGCAGGAAUACUUGGAGAAGAAAGCAUACGAGGAGAGAUCCUGGUCGAGGUGAGGUUGAUCGAGCAGAUAUCCUGGUCGUAGGAAGAGCGUAACCAGAAUCUCGCAUCAACAAUUGUCUUUGCUCUCUAAUCUAUUCAAUUUUCUUUCUGGAGACAAGAUUUUGAUUCCUUUCAUCGUUACAAAAACGGAACCAUGGUUGAUGUGGGAGAGAUCUUACUCAACGCCUUCUUUUAGGUGAUGUUCGACAGGUUGGCUUCCCGUGAUUUGCUCAGCUUUGUCCGUCAACUUGGAGGGGGGGUCGAUUCCGAGCUCAAGAAGUGGGAAAGAAAGCUGAAGAUGAUUCAGGCGGUGCUCAACGAUGCAGAGGAGAAGCAACUGACGGACGAGGCUGUGAAGAUGUGGCUGGACGAUCUCCAAGACUUGGCUUAUGACGCUGAGGACAUUCUUGAUGAGUUUGCUACUCAAGCUUUGGAAAGCAAGUUGAUGGCGCAAAAUCAGGAUAGCUCUGGCCAACUUCUCAGUUUCAUCCAGGCUAGUUUGAAUCCGAAUGCUAUUAUGUUCAAUUAUAGCAUGGGGUCCAAGAUUAAAGAUAUCACUAGCCGGCUGGAGCAACUCUGCCAAGAAAGAAUUGAACUUGGACUGCAACGGAUUACUGGAGGGGCAUCAUCAACUACUGCUGCUGCACACCAGAGGCUACCCGGUUCAAUUGUCCCAACAGAACGUGAAGUAUUUGGAAGAGAAGAAGAUAAGGCCAAAAUUCUUGAUAUGGUAUUGGCCGAUACCCUAAGUGAUCAUGCCAACUUUGCUGUAAUACCCGUUGUUGGCAUGGGCGGGAUAGGAAAAACAACUCUCGCUCGGGAGGUUUACAAUGACAAGGCCGUUGGCGGUUCCAAGUUUGAUGUAAAAGCAUGGGUUUGCGUAUCUGAUGUCUUUGAUGUUUUGGGCAUCUCAAAGGCACUUCUCGAGUCAAUCACCCGCAGGCCUUGUCUUCUAAACAGUUUAAAUGAAGUGCAGGUUGAAUUGAAAGUAGCUGUGGAUAAAAAAAGAUUCUUGCUGGUCUUAGAUGAUGUUUGGAACGAGGACUACAGCUUGUGGGUAGACUUAAAAGCUCCGUUCCUGGCUGCUGCACCAAACAGUAAGAUGAUCGUCACCACACGCAAUUCAAAUGUUGCAUCAACAAUGGGACCAAUUGAACAUUACAAUCUCAAGAGUUUGUCAGAUGAUGAUUGUUGGUCCAUUUUCAUAAAGCAUGCAUUUGAAUAUAGAGAUCUUAACGCACAUCAAAUUUCAGAAUCGUUCCGCGGGAAAGUUGUUGCCAAGUGUGGAGGCUUGGCCCUGGCAGCAAAAACACUCGGAGGCCUUCUGCAUACGACGAGGCAUGAUGCGUGGGAUGAUACGUUAGAGAGCAAAAUAUGGGAUUUACCUCAACAAAGUGGGGUUCUCCCCGUAUUAAGAUUGAGUUACCAUCAUCUUCCUUCUCAUUUGAAAAGAUGUUUUGCUUACUGUGCAAUCUUUCCAAAAGAUUAUGAAUUCAAUCAGAAGGAGCUGACUUUCUUAUGGAUGGCUGGAGGAAUUAUUCGACAGUCACGAAACAGUGAGCAGCUGGAAGAUUUGGGCAGCAAGUGCUUUCAAGAUCUAGUGUCAAGGUCUAUUUUUCAACAAACCAGCUCUGGUAGUUCUAAAUUUGUAAUGCCCUAUCUUAUCCAUGAUCUUGCUGAAUUGGUUUCUAGAGGGACCAUUUUCAAGUUAGAGGAGUCCACCAACUUGUCGUCGAGGAGAUUUGAAAGAGUUCGCCAUUCUUCCUAUGCCCGCGGUUGGCAUGACGGUAAAAAUAAGUUUGAGGUUUUCUAUGAAAUUGAACAUCUACUAACAUUCUUGCCAUCACGCAUAAGAGGUGGCACUAAUACGAGUUACAUAACUCGAACGGUUCUAUCUGAUUUGUUGCUGAAUUUCAAAAGUUUGAGGAUGUUAUCUUUACAAGGAUACUGUAUUGGUGAGUUACCAAUUUCAUUUGAAGAUUUGAGACUUUUAAGGUUUCUCAACCUUGCUUACACUGACAUAAGAAGUUAUCUGAGUCAACAUGCAAAUUGCUGAACUUGGAAAUUUUGAUAUUAAGAAAUUGUUCUCGUUUGAUAAAGCUUCCACCCAAAAUGAGGAAUUUGAUCAAUUUACGCCAUCUCGAUAUAAGAGGUGCGAAGUUGCUGAAGGAGAUGCCAUUCGGAAUGAAAGAGUUGAAGAAGCUUCAAACAUUGUCCAAUUUUAUUGUGGGCAAGGGUGAAACUGCAUCUUGUUUGGAAGAUUUAAAAUGUUUAAACUUUCUUUGUGAUAAACUUUGCAUUGCUGGAUUAGAGAAUGUUAAUAAUCCACAGAAUGCAAGAGAAGCCGCAUUAUGUGAGAAACACAAUCUUGAAGCAUUGACUCUGGAUUAGGGGUUUCAAUUUGACAAUUCCUGAGGAGUAGUAGAAGAGCAUGUACUGGAAAAUCUACAGCCUCAUAAAUGUAUAAAAAAGGUGGCGAUCCGGAACUAUGGUGGUGCAAGAUUUCCCCUUUGGAUAGGAGAUCCUUUGUUCUCCAGGAUAGAGCUCCUAAAAUUGGAGAACUGUGACAAUUGUGUAUCUUUGCCAUCGCUUGGCCUAUUGAGUUCACUUAGACGGCUUGCUGUUAAAGGGCUGAAUAAACUAAAAAGCAUAGGGUCUGAGGUUUAUGGGGAGGGUUUCUCAAUGCCUUUUCCAUCAUUGGAGAUUCUAAGUUUCGAGAAUUUGCCAGAAUGGGAGCAUUGGGACACCGAUGUCAAAGGAAAUGUGCUUGUUGAAAUAUUUCCUCGUCUCCAUCAACUUUCCAUUGUGGAAUGUCCCAAACUCUCGGGAGAACUGCCUGAGCUCCUGCCCUCCUUGGAGACACUUUUUGUUAGUAAAUGUGAAAAGUUGGUAGUUCCAUUGUCUUGCUAUCCGAUGCUCUGCAGAUUAGAAGUUGAUGAGUGCAAGGAACUAGCAUGCGGGACUCCAAUUGAUUUUAAGUUGAUAACGUCUGUGACUAUUUCAAAUAGUUCCUUAGACAUGAAUGGAUGCAAGGGGAUGCUAUACGAUGGUCCAGCUGGCUCUUCACUACCAAAGCCUAUGAUUACUACAAAUGUUUCGGAGUUUGGAAAAUUAUUGAAGCCUGGAUUUCAGAUAUUAGAAACUUUGGUAAUUGCCAAUUCUGAACAGCUCAAGUCAUGGAGGCAGAAUGGGGAUUUUCCGGAAAAAUACACGGCCCCUGAACAUAGGUUUAAGAAACCAGUACGAGGGCUGAAUAUGCUCGCUUCCCCUGAAGAGGUAACAAUUGAAGAAAGUUGCGUACGUCUUGUUUUGUUUCCAGAGAUCAAUUUCUUUCCCAGAAAUCUGCGCUCUCUUCUAAUUAACAACAACACUGCUUUCAAAUCCUUACCCGAGGAAAUGAUGGAAAACAAUUCACAACUCGAAAGGUUGUAUAUCAGAGAUUGCGACUCUCUAACAUUCAUCGCAAGACGGAGGCUACCAGCAUCUCUUAAAAGGCUUGAGAUAGAAAAUUGUGAGAAAUUGCAACGUCUGUUCGAUGAUGAAGAGGAUGCUUCUUCUUCUUCACCUUCACCCUCGUCUUCCCCAGUGAUGCUGCAACACCUGAGUAUAGAGAACUGCCCAGAGCUCACCAGUUUAUCAUCGGGUGUCCAAUUCCUUGAGGCGCUUGAAGACCUCGACAUACAGGGUUGUCCAAAGCUGGAGUCAUUACCGGAUGGCCUGCCCAAUCUUAAAUGUUUACAGAGCAUUUAUAUACGGGGAUGUCCAAGUCUUGUUUCCUUCCCAGAAAGAGGGCUUCCCAACACGAUUUCAAGGGUUGACAUUUGCAGUUGUGACAAGCUCAAAGCCUUGCCCAAUGAUUUGCACAAACUCAACUCUCUUCGAGAUUUAAGAAUACGGCUGUGUCGAAAUCUUGUAUCGUUUCCAGAAGAAGGUUUUCCUACCAAUCUAACAUCACUUACAAUUGGAAAUUUCAAAAUGUAUAAGACACUCGUCCAGUGGGGGUUGCACGGGCUUACCUCUCUUAAACGCCUCUCGAUCAGUGGAUGUCAUGAAGCAGAGUGUUUUCCAGACGAGGAGAUAGGAAUGACGCUGCCCACCUCUCUCACUCAACUGCUCCUUUAGGGAUUCGAAAAACUGAUAUCUCUGUCUUCGACGGGUUUUCAAAGCCUCAACUCUCUUCAAUACUUAUUGAUCUGGGGUUGCCCAAAUCUCACAUCAUUCCCAGAGGCGGGUCUUCCAUCCUCACUUUUGGAUUUAGGCAUUUACAAUUGUCCAAAGCUUAAAAGAGCGUGCAAAAGAGAUCAAGGAAAAGAGUGGCCCAAAAUUGCUCACAUCCCUCGCAUUGAGAUAGACAGAAAAUUCAUAUACGAUCCAGAAUCAGAGGAGUAGAUUCUAUUACAAAGGUCAGUUGAUUUCUAUUAUCCUCUAUAACAAGCUCCUCUUAAUUUUUUUUUUCUAAGUAAUAAUUUUGCAGUUCUGUAUAAUUAUUAAUCGUCUGCUCUUAAUUGAAAAUGUCACUCACUUGAUUCCGUUUUCACUAGUCAAAUUGUAUGUUGAGGCUAUUUGCUUUUUAAUUAUAACACUUAUCUUAAAAUUUAAUACCAAAUUUUUUUGAUUCACUUCAAUUAGCAUUUUGUUUUCCCCAAAUUAGGCAAGCCGAGAGCUUCAUUAACUAGAGUUUUUUAUUUUUCGGACCUUGCAUCUGAAAGGUUCAGUGUAUUUUUUUUUUUUUCAAAUUUAUUGUUCAGAUCUCAGACGAGUAUACGGUUUAGAUUACAAAACACCUAUGAUUAAUUUCUUUUUUUUUUUUUUAAUUUCAGGGAGAAGAAGUGGUCAGUUUCAAUCCGGAAUUGGAAUAUGGCAAUUUGGUUCAAGCACACACACCUGGUCACUUGGUCAGUGAACCUGAACUUUACGCAGUUUUUUCAACUCAGUGAUUUUUGGAACGCAUAUUGGUGUAAGGAAAUCAAUAGAAAUUUAUGCAUAGUCAAAUUCUGAUAUUUGCUAUAAUAUUAUACAUUCUAAAGUUUCUCCAGUUUGUUCUCAGAUUACCAUCAUUUUUUGCCUUCACCAAAAAAAAAUCGAGUGGCUUUCCAGUGGAUAUUUAAUCGGAGGUAUGACUGGAUUUUUUUCACUUCUGUAAAUCUUGCAUUUUAAACUGGCAAAUUUAACUUUAAUUUUAAUACGACUUGUUUGAGGGAAAUACUCCGACGAGACCAGACGUGAUGAGCAGAUGUUUGGUGGCAGAAGUCUGCGAGCAGGUGUGUCCUGUAAGAGCCAGGUAGCAGGGAAACAGGGGCAGAAAUAUCCUGCUCAUCCACGAGCAUGUCAUCCGCGAGGCCAAUUUCCUGUAAGAAACAUAAAGCCAUUCCUGCUGUAUUCUUGCUAAGGGUUGAUUCGAGGAGACCCGGUCAACGACAGUUGGCGAGGCAUGCUCUCCAGCCCGAGAAUCUAGGCACGAAGGCCACGCAACCACCCACGACUACGGAAAUGGGGAAUCCACGUUCGAGAGGUGGGAGGAUAACAGACGUAGACUGCGGAAAACUGGGAUUCAGAGGAAGCCUAUAAAAAGGUAGCCAACGAAGGUAAAAGGGUUAGCAAUUUUGAUUCUAAAAGAGAGAAAACAACCUAACAACCAUAAGAUUUUUGGCAAGCGUUCCCCGAACCUUCAUAUCUGACUUGAGCGUCGGAGGGUUUGCGCCGGGAAAACAACCGGCGUACUCUGACCUGUCUGUGUGCGCAGGAACCUCUGGAGAAGAAGCUUUACGAGGAGAGAUCCUGGUCGUGGUGAAGUUGAUCGAGCAGAGACCCUGGUCGUAGAACGAGGAGAACCAGAAUCUCGCAUCAACACGACUUUGUUGGUGCCUUGUGUUCCAGAAACUAGAAUGAUGUGUAGUUUUCAGAUUAAGGGGCUUGUAAAUUCUCUAGUAAGAAUCCAAUAAUUUGCUUUUGCACAUUCAUUUUAUUUGUGGAUCCUUGCAUCUGAAUUUGAUCAAUCCAAAAGGAAUUGCUUUUAGACAGAAGAAGAAUUGCAGUACCUAGCCUACGACAUAGUAAAUGGACCUGCAAACCUGUAACUAUUAGUUUGAGGUAAAAAAUUCAUGACCCUCACAUGUUAACUUCUUCUAGUUACUUUCAUCAAAAACACAUUUAAGAAAUUUGCAAUUUUUUGUUAGUUUUGUAUACCGAUGUUGUUUUCUGUUUUAGCAUUUGUAUAAUCUACUGUAUUAUAUUUUGGCGGUUGCAGUAUCUGAGGUAUCUUUUGCAUUUAACUUGCUUUAUUUGUUUUGCUUGUGACUUAAGAACACCAAUAUUUGCCAGAGAUUUAGAGAAGCAUAUCAAGAUGCUUGGCAAACUUGACAAACUUCAAGAUCCUUCAUUCUUCACGACCCAAAACUUGUGAGUACACUUAUGCCCGCAAUUAUUGUGAAACGCUUGCAAUUUUGAUGCAGCGAAAUGGUUUGUUGAUGCAAAGGUUUAAACUUUUAAGAUUUACACUGCAGGGUAGUUGGAUGCUGUAUAGUCGAACGGCCACCAACAUCAAGAACUAUAACUCCAAGACCGGGUUUGCAUUAAUUCAAUCAGCUGAAAUAAUGAUGCAAAUGACACUAUCAGCUGGACUUAGAGACCAGUCAGAUCAAUCAUCCUUUUAUCAACAGUUAAUGUCAUGAUGGUGUCUAUCGGAGGAAACAAAGGAUGUGUCGGAAUCAAUAUGAACAGUGAGAAGAAUGAGAGGAGCUUUGAUUAUAAGUAGGCUCAAUGAACUCAUGCUGGUAAGUGGUAAUUAAAGAAAUUUGUGCGCUUAGUAGCAUUCAAUAUUUUCUGUUUGGGAUAUAGUUGAUGAGUUGAUACUCUGAUUAAGAAGCCUGAUUAUAGUAGCUGACUUUUUUUUUGUGGUUUGCUGUUGUUUAUUCUUUCGAUUAAUUUCAACAUUAGGUUGAUCUGUUGAAGAACAAACUUGGGUUUGAUUAUGCUUUAACUACAAGGAAGAGCCAGACUUGGAUGCAGGCGUUCAGCUUUUAAUGGGUAAGAACAAAUGUAUGCUUUAACCAUGUUUCUCACUUAUUACAAUGCACACAUUGAAGGCAUCUGAGCUGAUCCUGAAAAUGUGAUGGAAAUACUUCUCUGUUUACAUAAAACAGACAAAUAGAGAUCUCUGAUCAUGCCUGAGAAUUCGUUGCAUUUAAAAUUUCUACCAUUGCCAAAAAUAGAAUAAACUACGGAUACAUUAGCUUAAGACUCAAUUUUGAGAAGGAAGUUUGCACAUGCAGCCUAAAAAAUCACGUCCGUGUUGUAUACUUGUAUGUUUCUUUGGGAAAUGAAAGAUUCUGUGUUCUUUUAUUUCAAGUUUGCUGAAAUCACAUUUGUUUUCUUAGAUGCUUUUGGGAAGGUAACAACAUCAAUUUCAUAAAUGCUGGGGUAAGAUGCAUCACGCAGUGCUACUCAACAUGAGAAUUCCCGGCCGCAUUACCUGUAUGUUGAGUGAUCGCACAGUACAACCUUUAGAAGCUUGUAAGGAGUAGACAACUAGAUGCGAAUAGUUUCAAUAUGGAUUCGCAUCAAAUGAUCUCUUGCCAGUGAUUACUAUAACCUCUAUCCCAAAAUUCUUGGAACUGGUCAUACCAAUAAUGAAGUAUUGUGUACGUUGAAGACGUAGCUCAAGGCCUUGCGAAAGCUCCGUCAGCCUUUGUAUUGGAAAACAGUUGGUUGUAGUUGCUUCUGAAUGAUAUUAUUAAUAGAUACUGUAAAAAUGAAGUGUGCCACUCAUUUUCAGAGCCCUGUUAAGAUGUGUUGGUAAUGUGUUUGAAGGUUGUUUGAUUUGUGUUGUAUUCAGCUAUAAAUCAAAGAUUCAGAACAUGGUUAUGUUACUGGUUUCCAAAUAAAAAAAUUGCCUUGUGAUGUUAGUGUUCAUUGUUUUCACAGGAGAUCAGGUUCCCUGUUGAUGAAUCAAGAAGGCAAACGCAUCCAUGCCUUAAGUUCAAAUGUGUCUCUUCUAUUUUCUAUUACUGACUCCUUUAUUUUGAUUUCUUCAUUGUAAUGGAAUUGGUUUUCAUUCCAAAUUAGUCAAAACCUCCUAGAGUCAUUAAGUUCUGUUAGCAUUUGAAGAUAGAACUAGAACUAAAUGAUUGACUGGAUUAAAUUCCGAUAAAGAAUUAAGUUAUGUAUUUAGAGAUAUUUUGUUUUUUUUUUCAUUUGUUCAAUUUGGUUAGUGGUGAUUUCUUAAAGACUCAAUCCAUGUGCGUUUAUGCAUUUUUCUUUUGCCUUAAUUUCUGUUUCUUGGGGAGUUUAUACAGAUUCUUAUUUUAUGCUUCACAUGCCACAUGAAAGAUCGAAGCAUUUUGUGUGAUUAGAACUGACUUGCAUCACAGUAACUUUAAACCACUGCCACAUUUUUAUAAUAACAGUCUGAGAUCUCCCUGAAGGAUUCAAAGCAUUUUAUUUUAUAUUAACCUCCUUUAAGUGGGUUUCGACACUACCACAAGUUCUUUAAAUACUAAAACGAUUUUGAGUCUUUUGUAUCAUCUGAUUGAAAUACCUGAAAGCACUCGUGGCUGCAAAAAUAUAUCGAUUUUGAGUAUGGCGUGCAUGUAAAUUAUAUCGAUUUUUUCUAUAUGACAAGUAAGACUCUCUUUUACAAUGGCACGGAUGCGUCAUUGAGUAAUCAUGAUUCUUGCUGGUAGUGCUUUGUUGUAUCAAUCUGCUAGCUAUUCAGCUUUCUUUCUUUCUUUCUUCUUUUUUUUUUUUUUUUUUUGUUUUCAAAUAGCUUGUGGUUGUAGAAAUAUUUCAAUUAAACUAUACUUAAGUACUUAUUUAGUAUAACUUCUUUACUAGCCAAAAUAAUUUUUUUUUGGUUUUUUAUAAUUUAAUUAUACUUUAACUAGAGUUUUUGGGAUUAAACAAGUGAUAAUUUCUCUCUAUUAAGAAAAACUCAAAAUUUUUUAAUUACUAGAAUGCGUCUAAAUUAAAUUACAAUUAUAGACACUAAAAUAUAGUAAAUUUUUUUUUUUACUCUUUAAAACUGUCUUUACAUUCGAUAUCAUAUUUUUUUCUUAAAAUCUAAAUUGAUAUUUUUAUUUUAUUUUUGAUUAAUCUUAGAACACAUAUAAAGUGAUUCAUAUUGAUUUUAUACUAACAAACUAUCAUAGCACAUUCGAAAAUAAUUAACUCGUUCUUAUUUGCAUAGUGAAAAAGGCAAAUAGCUCACCCAAAUGUUAAGGAACUGGAGAGCUGCUGCUGGAGACGAAAGGAUGUGAAAAGCAUGGUAAAGAAAAAUUGCAUAAUUCUCACUUAGAAGAGGAAGAAAAAAAAAAUACAAUUAGAAUGAGAGGUAGCCAGUAGCCAGUAGCCGCCACCACCACCAGUCAAACUAUUUCGACACACUAAUACUGUAAUACAUAUCAAAAUGCAAUAUCGGUCCUAACAAAAUGAAAAUAAAAAUUCAUUACGAAUAUGUGUUAAAGAUAUCCCAAGUAUUGAUGUGAUUGAAAUAUUUGAGAUUGAAGUAGAAAUAAGACUCAAAAUCAAUUGAGAGGAAUAAAUGAGAAACUCUAAUACUAAUAAAAUAUAUUCACAAAUCCUAAUGCUAAUUAAAAUCACGGAUUAAAAAAAAUAAUAUGAAUGAAUUACAGGCGCAACUGUUUCAUUAAAAAAUUAAUAAAAUCGUGUAUUAAUAUUUUGUACACAUACAUUUUUCCAUAUAUAACUUUUGGUAAUUUAGUUUUCCACUUAUCAUUUUUACUCCAAAAAAAUAAUUGAGAAUAUUAUUUAUGUUUUGGUGCAAAAUAUUUAAACAACAUAAAAAUUUUCAGUUUAAUAAAUCUAAACAAUUCUCAAGUUAUAAAUGAAUUUAAUGGGUUUAAUUAGUAAAAAUACUAUUAUUUUAUAAAUUGGGUUUAGUAAUGGUAUAUUGGGUAUUUAAAUGGGUUUGUUGAGUAAAUUUUAAAAUUUUAAAGUUCAAGGGUAGGUUUAUUUAGUAAAUGGGUUAAUGCAGCAAUUUUCAAACUAAAUUUUUGGAAAAAGAGGCUAUUGAGUUUUUUUUAAGAAAAAGAAUUAAAAUGUUGAGAAUACCUUUAUUUAAUUUUAUAAUCUAAUUUUAAAAAAUUUACCCAAUAAAUUUUAUAAUUUUUUAUAAAAAUUAUCAUUAACAUCCAAACAGCUGAAGAUUAAAAAAAAAAAAAGAAGGGAACUGUACUAGCAAAAGUUAGAUUAACAAUAAAUUUAGUCCAAAGAAUAAAGUUAUAGCUAAAAAGUGCUCCUAUCCUAUUUUUCUCUAUUUUAACAAUAAUCUUCCAAUCCAUUUUACAAUGGACUUAACAAAUGGGCUCAAUCUCUAAACUUCAUUUUCUUUUGCUAACCCAUGGCCAUUAGCCAGAAAGCCUAAAACAAUUUUAGGAUCACAUGUGUAAAUGGAACCCCAAGAUUGAUCAAGAAUUAACAAGACAAGAUGAAGAGAUGAUCUUGUAACUAAGAAUGAAGAAAUUGAAUCAAGACAGUACUCUAGUAAAACCCAGAAAACAGAGCUUGAAGAAUCACGCACAAAGCAGUAAAUUUGUAAAACCAGAAUUGGAGCUUCACUUCUCAAGAUAGACGAAACAGGAUACAAUCUAGCUUUGGUCAACUUCGUUUGGCCACGUCAUAAAGUCUUCCCCCACAGUCUUUCCCGCCAAAACAGAAAAGCUUUAAAAGCCAUUUACCCUCCUGAGUUACUUGCUCCUAUUACAUCAAGGCCCUGUAAGUCUAUAUUUAUUAUUACAAAAGCACCCUUAAACCGAGAUUUGAGAUAUUUUUUCAAAGAUCGAAGCGCAUGAUUUCACGGCUAUGUUGCAUAGUGAAUUUUAGUGCUUUACAGUUAAGGGAUAGUUUAAAUUCAUUACAAAGCAUUCGCAAAGAAAUUGUUUUUAAAUGAAACUCCUCGUCUUGACCAGAUUAUUUAUUAUUAUUAAAAAAAAAAUGUUCAAAACUUAGCCAAAGUGAUAAACUCGUAAUUAUUCUACAAAGGGAACAAUUUUGAACGGUGGGAAAUUCCAUAAUUAUGCUUUUCUGUGAAUUAUUUUAAAUAAAAUUAUAAAAAUUAAUAUAAAAUUAUAAUAAUGAUAGAGCCACAAACUCUUGUACAAAUUUAUUUUAUACAAACUCAUGUGGCAUGAUAAGAUUGGUUGAAUUAAAUAUUACUUGGCCCACAUGAUUUGUUUUUAUUAUUUUAUAUUUUUAUUCAACCAAUAAAUUAAUACCACGUCAGUUUGUACAAAAUAAAUUUAUACAAAAAUUUGUGACUCGAUCAUCACUCAUAAAAUUAAUACCCGGUAAAGACUGUAGAGAGACAAGUGCCCCCAACAGAAUCAAGUGAAUAUGCCCCACAAAGAUCACAUGAUCAUUUCUGUUCUUUUUCUUUUUGAUAAUUUUAUCUGUGGUUUCAACUUUUAUGCUUUAUUGUCGUAUCCCGUUGAGGGCUCCGCUGCACCCAUUACAACUUACCCCUAAAUUGCCUCUUACUAACUAAACCGUUAGAUUUUAUGGAAGCACGUUCAAUGUUGAAUUUUAAUUAUGUCAUCGAAUUUCGUUUAGCUCCUUAAACUCCAUUUUAUUUGUAAUUUCUUCAUAAAAUAUUCAAAGCUUCAUCAAGCUCCUGAUGGACCAUCAUGGCUAGGGGUGCAUUAGAGCCGAACUGAAAUAUGUUAGUUCAGUUCAGUUUGGUCAGUUUAAAUCGAAUGGUUUAGAAUAUAUAAACUGAUCAAUUUUAAUUUUGAAUUGAACCGAACCGAAAAUCAAUUGGUUCACUAUUAGUAUUUUUGUAUAAACAAGAAUGAUUAGUGAUUAUAAUUAAAUUGGACUAAAAAAAAUUCAAACUAAGGUGAAAAAUAUCAAAUCUUAGACAAUAUAAAAAAAAAUAUUAAAUUUUUUUAACCGAAACGAACCGAAUUAUUUUGACUCAGUUUGGUUCAUAAUUUUUUAAACCAAACUGAUUUAUUCCCACCCCCUAAUCGUGGCUCUCUAUCUUUAGUCAUUCACCCUUGAGUUUGAUGCCAAUUGUUGGGUUUCAAAUGAUUAUACACUCAAAUGGAACCCUCAUAACAAAAAACUAACAGAAACAAUAAGAACACGAUGUUAAAAUCUUAAAUCAAUCGCAAAAAAGCACCCAAAACAGAUCGAUUAGGAACAGUUAAGAACAAAAGAUUUGAUGGUUCAAAAUCAUAAUGUGACCUACGUACUUUCAUCCAAGAAUCAUACUAAUUGCUUUACUAGUUGUCAAACUCAAGAUCACAAGAUUGUUUAUCACUCUACAUAAAAAUUUUUUUUAGAAGAAAUACUCCCCAAUUUUUCUCUUAAUAGUUAUGAAUCAACACCCCUAGGAAGCCUGUUGAUUUACUUUUCCUUAUUUCCUAUGAUCGGUUGCUGCAACUUAAUCCUUGCCAAGCUCCAACAUAGUCCAAACACUUUUAACGGUACAGGCAUAGUGCACCUUCAGAAACUUUACAGCUCCUCUUAAAACCUCAGGCAUCGUAAGCACAUUAAGCAGCCGACAACACUCUUCUUCAUUUCUUCAUUGUCAAUUUCCUUCUUGGAACAUUGCUCCAUUGAGAGUCUGCUAGAAUUGCUCCAAUUAUUAUUAUUAUUUAAAAAAAAAAGAAAACCCUGCAAUAAGAGUAUAAGACUAAGCAACGGUCCUUUUUUUUUCCCCAUUCUUGAACCUAAAGUAUUUGAGUAUGCAAAUUAAUAAAUAAAUUCAUUUAUUUUUAUUAAAAUUUUGUAAAAUUAUAAUUUUUAAUAAAAAUAAUUAUUAAAAUUUUGUAAAAUCUAAAUUUAGAAAAAUUCAGUUGGGCACCUCUAUUUGAGAUUUAUUUUUUAUUAAAUUUAGGGAUAUUUUUAUAAUUAUAAUUUUUAAUUUUAAAAGUUUUUAUAAGAUAAAAUAGUCUUUUAAUUUAUUUAGGGGGUAAAAUUGGUGUUUUAUUAAAAUUAUUUAAUUGUGUUAAUGCAAAAGUGGCUAUUUGAUACAAAUGUGAAAAGAAAGGUGGUGCAAAAUAUAUGUUAAAAUUUUAUAUUGGUUGGAUGAACAUAAGCUAAAAUAAAGGUGGUGCAAUGAUAAUUUCCCUAUCCUAAAACUUAAUUGACUUAAUUCUUACGGUGCAAGGAAGAGGUUUCCAAGUUUAAAUCUAAAGGCUUGUAUUUAAUUUGGGGUUGGGAAAGCACUGAGAAAUAAAUGUAACUAAGGAAAAAAAAAAAGUCACGCAGUCCAAAUAAGUAGAUAUAUUUAAUAUGAGGUGGGGAUGGGUGAACUGUAAUUCAGAAAAAAAUAAAAUAAAAUUUUAUAUAAAGUUGAGGGUGUGUUUUAAUGGUUUCUUAUGCUGCGUUUAUUUUUUGGACUAGAGUGAGAAUUCUAAAAAGUGAGAAUCCUAUGAUUAGGUGUGUGGAGUGGGAGUGGGAGUAUGGUAUUUACUUAGACUAAAUAAAAGUAUGGAUUGUCAAUCAGAAUCUCAAUUAUUUGUUACUUUGUCUUGGAUUGAGAGUAAAUUAUUUUAAAUUACAAUUUUAUCCUUAUGUAAAGAAUUAUAAUUUGUAAUUAAAAAAUUAAUAAAAAUAUAUUGGAAAAUAAAAUAAAUAUUUUAUUAUAUUUAUAAAAUAAUAAUAAUUAAUAAAAUUCUUAAUUAUGUAAAUCAUAAUUUUUUAUUAAUUUAAAUUUAAAUUAUGUGAAUAAAAUUAUUAAUAAUAGCAACACAAAUGAAACAUUAUUAUUAAUAAUAUAGUAUAAAAUUAAUAUUUUUUUAGAAUAAAAUAUUUAUUAUUAUUAAAUAAAUAAAUAAUAUUUAUUAAAAUUAAUGUUUAAUAUUAUUAAUUUAAAUAUAAUAUUUAUUUAUUUUUAUUUUAUUUUAUUAAAUUUAAUAAAAUAAAUAUGUUAUAAUUAUUAUUUUUAAUAAAUAUGAUAUUAUUUAUUUUAUUAAAUAUUAUUUAUUUAUUUUAAUUAUGAGGGUAAAAAUGGAAGAGGGGGAGUGGAUUCCCACUCCCACCUCCCCCCAUGGGAGUGGGAAUCCCACUCUCCCCUUAAAAAUGGUAAGUAAAUAUUAGAAUGGGAAGAAUCUACACUCUACACUUUCUAGAAAAUAAACACUACCUUUAUUUAAAUCGAUUUGUUGGAUAUUUAGCUAAAAUGAGAGUAGCUCUCUAAUAAUUAUUGCAUUAUUACAAACAUAUCCAACGGUUAUAAUAGCGCGCUGAAUCAAUGCUUCAGAAGGAUGACAGUCUGAGUGAAAAGGAAAUAAACGCUUUCAAUUGAAUUACUACCACUACACUCCAAUACUCUAUUAUUGUUUGUGUGCUUGCUUGUGGACCUUUUUACUUCUUACUAUCAUUAUUGAAUUCCAUUUCCAAAUUUUCAGCAUACUUUUGCUUUCUUUCAGUAUCUUCAGUUUCUCUUUUGCUUGCUAUCAAUUCAGUUUUCUUCUUGUGAAGAUCGAACGGAACCAUGGUUGCUGUGGGAGAGAUCUUACUCAACGCCUUCUUUCAGGUGUUGUUUGACAGGUUGGCUUCCCGUGAUUUGCUCAGCUUUGUCCGUCAACUUGGAGGCGGGGACGAUUCCGAGCUCAAGAAGUGGGAAAGAAAGCUGAAGAUGAUUCAGGCGGUGCUCAACGAUGCAGAGGAGAAGCAACUGACCGACGAGGCCGUGAAGAUGUGGCUGGACGAUCUCCAAGACUUGGCUUAUGACGCUGAGGACAUUCUUGAGGAGUUUGCUACUCAAGCUUUGGAAAGCAAGUUGAUGGCGAAAAAUCAGGAUCGCAUUGGCCAGGUUCUUAGUUUCAUACCGGCUAGUUUGAAUCCGAAUGCUAUUAUGUCCAAUUAUAGCAUGGGAUCCAAGAUUAAAGAUAUUACUAGCCGGUUGGAGCAACUCUGCCAAGAUAGAAUUGAACUUGGGCUGCAACGGAUUGCUGGAGGGGCAUCAUCAACUACUUCUGCUGCACAUCAGAGGCGAGACAGUUCGAGUGUCCCAACAGAACGUGAAGUAUUUGGAAGAGAAGAAGAUAAGGCCAAAAUUCUUGAUAUGGUAUUGACCGAUACCCCAAGUGAUCGUGCCAACUUUGUUGUAAUACCCAUUGUUGGCAUGGGCGGGAUAGGAAAAACAACUCUUGCCCGGGAGGUCUACAAUGACAAGGCCGUUGAAGAUUCCAAGUUUGAUGUAAAAGCAUGGGUUUGUGUCUCUGAUGUCUUUGAUAUUUUGGGCAUCUCAAAGGCACUUCUCCAGUCAAUCACCUCCGCAGCUAGUGAUCUCAAGACUUUAAAUGAGGUGCAGGUUCAACUGAAAAAAGCAGUUGACGGAAAAAGAUUCUUGCUGGUCUUAGAUGAUGUUUGGAACGAGAACUACAACUUGUGGGAAGACUUAAAAGCUCCGUUCCUGGAUGCUGCACCAAACAGCAAGAUGAUCGUCACCACACGCAAUUCAAGUGUUGCAUCAACAAUGAGACCCAUUGAACAUUUCAAUCUCAAGAGUCUGUUGGAUGACGAUUGCUGGUCCAUUUUUAUAAAGCAUGCAGUUGAAGGUGGAGAUCUUAACGAGGAUCAAAUUUCAGAAUCAUUCCGCAAGAAAGUUGUUGGCAAGUGUGGAGGCUUGCCUCUGGCAGCAAAAACUCUCGGGGGCCUUCUGCGUACGACGAGGCAUGAUGGGUGGGAUGGUAUAUUGGAUAGCAAAAUAUGGGAAUUACAUCAACAUAGCAGCAUUCUCCCUGUGUUAAGAUUGAGUUACCAUCAUCUUCCGUCUCAUUUGAAAAGAUGUUUUGCUUUUUGUGCCAUCUUUCCAAAAGAUUAUGAAUUCACUGAGAAGGAGCUGACUUUCUUAUGGAUGGCUGGAGGUAUUAUUCGACAGUCAAGAAACAAUGAGCAGCUGGAAGAUUUGGGCAGCAAGUGCUUUGGUGAUCUAGUGUCAAGGUCAAUUUUUCAACAAACAGCAAUCUCUGAUAGUUCUAAAUUUGUAAUGCACGACCUUAUCCAUGAUCUUGCUGAAUUGGUCUCUGGAGGAACCAUAUUUAGGUCAGAGGAGGCCAAUACUCUAUCAAGAAGAUUUGAAAGGGUUCGCCAUUCUUCCUAUACCCGUGAUUGGUAUGAUGGUAAAAAUAAGUUCGAGGUUUUCAAUGAAAUUGAACAUCUACGAACAUUCUUGCCGUUAAGAGGUAACUAUUGUACUAGUUACAUAACUCGACCGAUUCUAUCUGAUAUGCUGCCAAAGUUCAAAAGGUUGAGAACGCUAUCUUUACAAGGAUACUGUAUUGGUGAGUUACCAAUUCCAUUUGAAGAUUUGAGACUUUUAAGGUUCCUCAACCUUGCUGACACUGACAUAAGAAGUUUACCUGACUCAACAUGCAAAUUGCUGAACUUGGAAAUUCUGAUAUUAAGAAAUUGUUCCCGUUUGAUAAAGCUUCCGCAGAAAAUGAGGAAUUUGAUCAAUUUAUGCCAUCUGGAUAUAAGAGGUGCGAAGUUGCUGAAGGAGAUGCCAGUCGGAAUGAAAGAGCUGAAGAAGCUUCAAACAUUGUCCAAUUUUAUUGUAGGCAAGGGUGAAUCCGCAUCUGGUUUGGAAGAUUUAAAAAGUUUAAACCUUCUUUGUGAUGAACUUUGCAUUGCUGGAUUAGAGAAUGUGAAUAAUCCACAGAAUGCAAGAGAAGCCGCAUUAUGUGAGAAGCACAAUCUUGAAGCAUUGACUCUAACAUGGUGGCCUCAAUUUGACAGUCCUCGAGGUGUAGUAGUGGAAGAGAAUGUACUUGACGUUUUGCAGCCUCAUAAAUGUAUAAAAAAGGUGGCAAUCAGGAACUAUGGUGGUGCAAGAUUUCCACCUUGGAUAGGAGAUACUUUAUUCUCCAAGAUAGAGCUCCUUGAAUUGAAGAACUGUGACAAUUGUGUGUCUUUGCCAUCGCUUGGCCUAUUGAGUUCACUUAAACACCUUGCUGUUAAAGGGCUGAAGAAACUAAAAAGCAUAGAGUCUGAGGUUUAUGGGGAGGGUUUGUCAAUGCCUUUUCCAUCGUUGGAGGUUCUAAGUUUUGAGAAUUUGCCUGAAUGGGAGUAUUGGGACACCAAUAUCAGAGGAAAUGUGCUCGUUGAAAUGUUUCCUCGUCUCCAUAAACUUUCCAUUGUGGAAUGUCCAAAACUCUCUGGGGAACUGCCUGAGCUCCUGCCCUCCUUGGAGACACUUGUUGUUAUUAAAUGUGAAAAUUUGGUAGUUCCAUUGUCUCGCUAUCCGAUGCUCUGCAGAUUAGAAGUUGAUGAGUGCAAGGAACUAGCGUGCGGGACUCCAAUUGAUUUCAAGUUGAUAAAGUCUGUGACUAUUUCAAAUAGUUCCUUAGACAUGGAUGGAUGCAAGGGGAUGCUAUACGAUGGUCCAGCUAGCUCUUCACUGCCAAAGCCCACGAUUACUACAAAUGUUUUGGAGUUUGGAAAAUUAUUGAAGCCUGGAUUUCAGAUAUUAGAAACGUUGGUAAUUGGCAAUUCUGAACAGCUCAAGUCAUGGAGGCAGCAUGGGGAUUUUCUAGAAGAAUAUAUGGUCGCUCGCCAAAGGUUUAAGAAACCAGUACAAGGGCUGAAUAUGCUCGCUUCCCCUGAAGAGGUAACAAUUGAAGAAAGUUGCGUACGUCUUGUUUUGUUUCCAGAGAUCAAUUUCUUUCCCAGAAAUCUGCGCUCUCUUCUAAUUAACAACAACACUGCUUUCAAAUCCUUACCCGAGGAAAUGAUGGAAAACAAUUCACAACUCGAAAGGUUGUAUAUCAGAGAUUGCGACUCUCUAACAUUCAUCGCAAGACGGAGGCUACCAGCAUCUCUUAAAAGGCUUGAGAUAGAAAAUUGUGAGAAAUUGCAACGUCUGUUCGAUGAUGAAGAGGAUGCUUCUUCUUCUUCUUCUCCUUCAUCCUCGUCUUCCCCAGUGAUGCUGCAACGCCUGAAUAUAAAGAACUGCCCAGAGCUCACCAGUUUAUCAUCGGGUGUCCAAUUCCUUGAGGCGCUUGAAGGCCUCGAGAUAUGGGAUUGUCCAAAGCUGGAGUCAAUACCGGAUGGCCUGCACAAUCUUAAAUGUUUACAGAGCAUUCAUAUAGAUGGAUGUCCAAGUCUUGUUUCCUUGCCCAAUGACAUGCACAAACUGAACUCUCUUCGAGAUUUAAACAUACGGGCGUGUCCAAUAUCGUUUCCAGAAGAAGGUUGUCCUACCAAUCUAACAUCACUUACACUUGGAUAUGUCGAAAUGUAUAAGACACUCGUCCAGUGGGGGUUGCACAGGCUUACCUCUCUUAGAAGCCUCGACAUUUUUGGAUGUGAUGAUGAAGCAGAGUGUUUUCCAGACGAGGAGAUAGGAAUGACGCUGCCCACCUCUCUCACUCAUCUGCACCUUUUUGAUUUCGAAAAAUUGAGAUCUCUGUCUUCGACGGGUUUUCAGAGCCUCACCUCUCUUCAAUCUUUGGAUAUCUGGUUUUGCCCAAAUCUCACAUCAUUCCCAAAGGUGGGCUUUCCAUCCUCACUUGUGGAAUUACGCAUUAGAGAUUGUCCAAAGCUUAAAAAAGCGUGCAAAAGAGAUCAAGGAAAAGAGUGGCCCAAAAUUGCUCACAUCCCUUGCGUUGAGAUAGACGAUAAAUUCAUAUACCAUCCAAAAUCAGAGGUGUAGAGUGUAUUAUUAAGGUCAGUUGAUUUAUGUUAUCCACCAUAACAAGCUCCUCCUUUUUUUUUAAAUAAUAAUUUUGCAGUCACUCGCGUGAUUCCGUUUUCACAAGUCAGAUUGUAUGUUGAGGCUAUUUGCCUUUUAAUCGCAGAUUAAAUUAUAACACUUAUCUUAAAAUUUAAUACCAUAGACAGAUAGACGAUUUUUUAAUCCAAAGUUUUUUUAUUCACUUCAGUUAGCAUUUUUUUUUUCCCCAAAUCAUGCAAGCCGAGAGUUUCAAUCAACAGAAUUUUAUUCACUCAUUGACUUUUCAACUGCUGUGGUUAUUUAUGGGUGAAAGAUAAAUUUCUUAGAUGGUAGAUAUAUCGACAUUUUAGAUUUCAGAUAUUUGUCACCAAUUUCAUUCCUUUUUUUAAAAUUUUUUUUAAGCAAGUUUGACUAAUUUUAACCAGAAUUGGAGUAUAAUAUUUUGGAGCAAGCAUACUUGAAAUUUCUGUCUUCAAUUUUUUUGAUGCUUUUUUAAUUUUGAUCUAGUAAAAAUACAUAGCCUUCACCGGCAGGAUUCUAGUCUUGGCUUUCACCUCUCUAACUCAUCUGUCCCUAUUGGGAUUCCAGAAAUUUAAAUUUCUGUCUUCAAUGGGUUUUCAAAGCCUCACCUCUCUUCGAUUUUUGUGGAUUGGGAAUUGCACAAAUCUCACAUCAUUUCCCGAGGUCGAGGAAAAGAGCGGCCCAAACUAUCAGCGGUGUUGAUUCUCUUAUUAAGGUCAGCUGAUUUCUAUUAUCCACUCUGACAAUCUCCUAUUAGUGUUUUUUUUUUAAAAAAUUUGCAGUUCUGUAUAAUUGAAAUGCCACUCACUUGUUUCCUUCUUCACAGGUCAGAUAGUAUGUUAAAGCUAUUAGUGCUGCCUCAUAGGUUGAUUACUCACAGAUGAAAUCAUAACUUUUAUCUUAAAAUUUAAUAGCAUACACAGAUAGACGAUUUUUAGUCCAAAGUUUUUUUUAUUCACUUCAAUCAAAAUUUUAGAUUGCAGAUUUUUGUCGAGUAUUUUCAUUCCAAUUUUUUCAUUUUUUAUUUUAAACCAGAAUUGGAGUAUAAAAUUUUGGAGCGCGCAUACUCUGAUGCAUGCAAUUAACUGUUUUUAAUCGUUGGAUUUUGAAAUUAAUGAUGGUAAGAUGUGUACUUAUUCUUUCUUCCAACAACCUUGCCUUCUUUCUUCGGUCGCAUAUCUAAUGAAUAUUUCUCUGUUUAGUUAAGGAUGAAUGCUUGGAGUGGGGUACUUGGUAACAUUUCUGCCUUAGAUGAAUCCUUGAAGAAAUGCCCGCAGUUCCUGAGACCAAAUACAGGUCUGAUUCAAAACAGCACCUUUCCCAGAAAAUAUGAUCCAAGGCAAAGUCAUGUUCUGAUAAUGUUUCCUUAAGUACUAAGUUGCAAGGAAACUUGAUUCAUUAACUACAGUUUUUUAUUUUUAGGACCUUGUAUCUGAAAGGUUCAGUGUUUUUUUUUUUCAAAUUUAUUGUUCAGAUCUCAGAGGAGUAUAUGGUUUAGAUUACAAAACACCCAUGAUUAAUUUCAUUUUUUUUUUAAUUUCAGGGAGAAGAAGUGGUCAGUUUCAAUCCGGAAUUGGAAUAUGGCAAUUUGGUUCAAGCAAACACACCUGGUCACUUGGUCAGUGGUCACUUGGUCAGCGAACCUGAACUUUACGCAGUUUUUUCAACUCAGUGAUUUUUGGAACGCAUAUUGGUGUAAGGAAAUCAAAAGAAAUUUAUGCAUUGUCAAAUUCUGAUAUUUGCUAUAUAUUAUACAUUCUAAAGUUUCUCCAGUUUGUUCUCAGAUUACCAUCAUUUUUUGCUUUCACCAACCAAACAAAAACAAAAUGAGUGGCUUUCCGGUGGAUAUUUAAUCGGAGGUAUGACUGGAUUUUUUUCACUUCUGUAAAUCUUGCAUUUUAAACUGGCAAAUUUAACUUUAAUUUUAAUAGGACUUUGUUGGUACCUUGUGUUCCAGAAACUAGAAAGAUGUGUAGUUUUCAGAUAAAGGGGCUUGUAAAUUCUCUAGUAAGAAUCCAAUAAUUUGCUUUUGCACGUUCAUUUUAUUUGUGGAUCCUUGCAUCUGAAUUUGAUCAAUCCAAAAGGAAUUGCUUUUAGACAGAAGAAGAAUAGCAGUACCUAGCCUAUGACAUAGUAUAUGGACCUGCAAACCUGAAACUAUUAGUUUGAGGUAAAAAAUUCAUGACCCUCACAUGUUAACUUCUUCUAGUUACUUUCAUGAAAAACACAUUUAAGAAAUUUGCAAUUUUUUGUUAGUUUCGUAUCCGAUGUUGUUUUCUGUUUUAGCAUUUGUAGAAUCUACUGUAUUAUAUUUUGGCAGUUGCAGUAUCUGAGGUAUGUUUUGCAUUUAACUUGCUUUGUUUGUUUUGCUUGUGACUUAAGAACACCAAUAUUUGCCAGAGAUUUAGAGAAGCAUAUCAAGAUGCUUGGCAAACUUGACAAACUUCAAGAUCCUCCAUUCUUCACAACGCAAAACUUGUGAGUACACCUAUGCCCGCAAUUAUUGUGAAAUGCUUGCAAUUUUGAUGCACUGAAAUGGUUUGUUGAUGCAAAGGUUUAAACUUUUAAGAUUCACCCUGCAGGGUAGUUGGAUGCUGUAUAAUCGAAAAGCGACCAACAUCAAGAAUUAUGACUCCAAGACCGGGUUUGCAUUAAUUCAAUCAGCUGAAAUCAUGAUGCAAAUGACACUAUCAGCUGGACUUAGAGACCAGUCAGAUCAAUCAUCCUUUUAUCAACAGUUAAUGUCAUGAUGGUGGCUAUCGGAGGAAACAAAGGAUGUGUCGGAAUCAAUAUGAACAGUGAGAAGAAUGAGAGGAGCUUUGAUUACAAGUAGGCUCAAUGAACUCAUGCUGGUAAGUGGUAAUUAAAGAAAUUUGUACGCUUAGUAGAGUUUCAAUAUUUUCUGUUUGGGAUAUAGUUGAUAAUUUGAUACUCUGAUUAAGAAGCCUGAUUAUAGUAGCUGACUUUUUUUUUGUGGUUUGCUGUUGUUUAUUCUUUCGAUUAAUUUCAACAUUAGGUUGAUCUGUUGAAGAACAAACUUGGGUUUGAUUAUGCUUUAACUACAAGGAAGAGCCAGGCUUGGAUGCAGGCGUUCAGCUUUUAAUGGGUAAGAACAUAUGUAUGCUUUAACCAUGUUUCUCACUUAUUACAAUGCAUGCAUUGAAGGCAUCUGAGCUGAUCCUGAAAAUGUGAUGGAAAUACUUCUCUGUUUACAUAAAACAGGACAAGAGAUCUCUGAUCAUGCCUGAGAAUUCGUUGCAUUUAAAAUUUCUACCAUUGCCAAAAAUAGAAUAAACUAGGGAUAGAUUAGCUUAAGACUCAAUUUUGAGAAGGAAGUUUGCACAUGCAGCCUAAAAAAUCAUGUCCGUGUUGUAUACUUGUAUGUUUCUUUGGGAAAUGAAAGAUUCUGUGUGUUCUUUUGUUUCAAGUUUGCUGAAAUCACAUUUGUUUUCUUAGAUGCUUUUGGGAAGGUAACAACAUCAAUUUCAUAAAUGCUGGGGUAAGAUGCAUCACGCAGUGCUACUCAACAUGAGAAUUCCCGGCCGCAUUACCUGUAUGUUGAGUGAUCGCACAGUACAACCUUUAGAAGCUUGUAAGGAGUAGACAACUAGAUGCGAAUAGUUUCAAUAUGGAUUCGCAUCAAAUGAUCUCUUGCCAGUGAUUACUAUAACCCCUAUCCCAAAAUUCUUGGCAUUGGUCAUACCAAUAAUGAAGUAUUGUGUACGUUGAAGACAUAGCUCAAGGCCUUGCGAAAGCUCCGUCAGCCUUUGUAUUGGAAAACAGUUGGUUGUAGUUGCUUCUGAGUGAUAUUAUUAAUAGAUACUGUAAAAAUGAACUGUGCCACUCAUUUUCAGAGCCCUGUUAAGAUGUGUUGGUAAUGUGUUUGAAGGUUGUUUGAUUUAUGUUGUAUUCAGCUACAAAUCAAAGAUUCAGAACAUGGUUAUGUUACUGGUUUCCAAAUCAAAAAAAUGCCUUGUGAUGUUAGUGUUCAUUUUUUUCACAGGAGAUCAGGUUCCCUGUUGAUGAAUCAAGAAGGCAAACGCAUCCAUGUCUUAAGUUCAAAUGUGUCUCUUCUAUUUUCUAUUACUGACUCCUUUAUUUUGAUUUCUUCAUUGUAAUGGAAUUGGUUUUUUAUUCCAAAUUAGUCAAAACCUCCUAGAGUCAUUAAGUUCUGUUAGCAUUUGAAGAUAGAACUAGAACUAAAUGAUUGACUGGAUUAAAUUCCGAUAAAGAAUUAAGUUAUAUAUUUAGAGAUAUUAUGUUUUUUUUUUUUUCAUUUGUUCAAUUUGGUUAGUGGUGAUUUCUUAAAGACUCAAUCCAUGUGCGUUUAUGCAUUUUUCUUUUGCCUUAAUUUCUGUUUCUUGGGGAGUUUAUACAGAUUCUUAUUUUAUGCUUCACAUGCCACAUGAAAGAUCGAAGCCUUUUGUGUGAUUAGAACUGACUUGCAUCACAGUAACUUUAAAUCACUGCGACAUUUUUAUAAUAACAGUCUGAGAUCUCCCUGCAGGAUUCAAAGCAUUUUAUUUUAUAUUAAACUCCUUUACGUGGGUUUGGACACUACCACAAGUUCUUUAAAUACUAAAACGAUUUUAAGUCUUUUGUAUCAUCUGAUUUAAAUACAUGAAAGCACUCGUGGCUGCAAAAAUACAGUUGGGGCUAUUUCUAAAGUCUUCAACAGCAUUUUCUUUUUAACCUUUAUCCUCAUGGUUGUUUUUGCAGUUGUUCUUUAAGAAAACAUUUAAAAGGUUCUCUUUAUGGAUUUUUGAAAAUAAUUUUAACAUGAGCAAUUUUCAGAAGCACUUUAGAUGUCUGGCAUUUAGGAAAUUUUAUUUCGGUGUCACAUAAAAUACUUAGGAAGUUAAAUUUAUUUAUUUAUGAGCAUGUGCCAGUGCCCAGUGGCAUCCUCUUCACUUGUGAUAGUCAAAUGUAUUAUACGAUACAAUAUUAGCUUGACUGUAGCACAGAGGAGAAUAGGGUUGGUGUUGGUCUGAACCAGCUUAUGUAACAGCUGCCAAAGGAUAAUUUAAUUGUACUUUGAGUAAAGCUUUUGCGAAUUAAACAAGUGAUAAUUUGUUUUUAUUAAGAAAAACUUAAGGAAUUAGGCUAUUUUAACUGACCAAAUUACACAUUAAAAAUUCAUUUACAAAAAUAGUUUUUAGUUAUUAAAAUAUUCCUAAAUUAAAUUAUAAUUAUGGACACUAAAAUAUUUUUUUUAUAUUUUACUCUUUGAAACUGUCUUUAUAUUCGAUAUUAUAUUUUUUUCUUAAACUCUAAAUUGAUUUUUUUUUUUGAUUAAUUUUAAAACACCUAUAAAGUGAUUCAUAUUGAUUUUAUACUAACAAACUAUUAUAGCACAUUCGAAAAAUAAUUAAAUCGUUCUUAUUUACAUAGUGAAAAUGCAAAUAGCUCGUUCAAAUGUUAAGGAAUUGGAGAGCUGCUGCUGGAGAUGAAAGAUGUGAAUUAAACAUCAGAAAAAAAAUUAUGUUUACUAUCUUGCCAGACCAAGCACCGAAAAGCAUCGUAAAGAAAAAUUAGAUAAUUUAGAAGAUAAAGCACGUGGAAUGGAGGCAGAAAGCAAGUAAUGAUAACUCUUUCGACAAACUAAUAUAUACCAAAAUGCAAUAUCAAAAAUGAAAAUAAAAAUUCAUUACGAAUACGUGUUAAAGAUAUCCCAAGUAUAGAUGUGACUGAAAUAUUUGAGAUUGAAGAAGAAUUAAGACUCAAAAUCAAUUGGGAGGAAUAAAUGAGAAACCUCAAUACCAAAAAAUACACGCGCAAAUCCUAAUACUAAUUGUAAUUGCAGAUAAAUAGCAUAAUACGAAUAAAUUCCAUGGGCAACUAUUUCAUUGAGAAAUUAAUUAAAUCGUGUAUUAAUAUUUUGUAUACAUAUAUUUUUCUAUAUAUGACUUUCGGUAAUUUAAUUUUCCACUUAUCAUUUUUACUCCAAAAAAAUAAUUGAGAAUAUUAUUUAUGUUUUGGUGCAAAAUAUUUGAACAAUAUACAAAUUUUCAGUUUAAUAAAUCUAAACAUCUAUUAAGUUAUAAAUGAAUUUAAUGGGUUUAAUUAAUAAAAUUACUAUUAUUAUAUAAAUUGGAUUUAGUAAUGGUACAUUGGGUGGGUUUGUUGAGUAAAUUUUAAAAUUUUGAAAUUUAAGGAUGGGUUUAUUUAGUAAAUGAGUUAAGGGAGUAGUUUGUUGGGAUUCACAUAACGCCACCAAAUUCAAAUGUAAAAUUUAUGGAAAAAGAAGCUAUUGAGUUAUUCUUUUUAAAAAAAGAAUUAAAAUGUCAAGAAUACCUUUAUUUAAUUUUAUAAUCUUAUUUUAUAGUCAUAUUUUAUUUCCACCUUAACAUAAUUUUAAAAAACCUUAACUAAUAAAUUCUAUAUUUUUUUUAUAAAAGUUAUCAUUAAUAUCCAAACGGCUAAAGAUUUUUUUUUUUAAAAAAAAAGAAACUAUGCUUACAAAAGUUGUAUACAUUAACAAUAAAUUUAGUCCAAAGAAUAAAGUUAUUCCAAACAAGCACUCCUAUUCAUCUUGCUAAUGAAUCAAGAUGACUGAAUCCAUUCUCUAAGCCAAAUCUAUUUUCACUUCUAGGUCAGAAAUUGUCAUUAAAAAAGUGUUUGAUAAAAUAUGCUCUGGGAACACUAAUUCGUCAGAUGGUUACUCCAAGUUUAUGAAAUCAAUGGGGUUUCAUCAUAUUCAUAACAUUCUUCUUUAAUGUCUAUUCUAACAAAGAAAUUACUAGAAAACUUUUACUAGAAAAACUAACCACAAUUCAUCAUUCAUUUAUAUCUUAAGUAAGCGUAAGAUUUUAUCAUUAAAAUCUCAUCAUGAAAAAACUCAUGGGAGAAAAACUAUAAAAAUUGAAGAAAAAAGAGUAUGGCGUGCAUGUAAAUUAUAUCGAUUUUAUCUAUAUGACAAAUAAGACUCUCUUUUACAAUGGCACGGAUGCUUCAUUGAGUAAUCAUGAUUCUUGCUGGUAGUGCUUUGUUGUAUCAAUCUGCUAGCUAUUCAGCUUUCUUUCUUUCUUUCUUCUUUUUAUUUUUUUUGUUUUCAAAUAGCUUGUGGUUGUAGAAAUAUUUCAAUUAAACUAUACUUAAGUACUUAUUUGGUAUAACUUCUUUACUAGCCAAAAGAUUUUUUUUUUGGUUUUUUAUAAUUUAAUUAUACUUUAACUAGAGUUUUUGGGAUUAAACAAGUGAUAAUUUCUCUCUGUUAAGAAAAACUCAAACGGUAGGGUUAUCUCAAUCCACCAAACUAUUUAUUAAAAAUCCACUUAUGAAAAUAAUUUUUAAUUAUUAGAAUGCCUCUAAAUUAAAUUACAAUUAUAGACACUAAAAUAUAGUAAAAAAAAUUUUUUUUUACUCUUUAAAACUGUCUUUACAUUCGAUAUCAUAUCUUUUUCUUAAAAUCUAAAUUGAUUUUUUUUUUAUUAAUCUCAGAACACAUAUGAAGUGAUUCAUAUUGGUUUUAUACUAACAAACUAUCAUAGCACAUUCGAAAAUAAUUAACUCGUUCUUAUUUGCAUAGUGAAAAGGCAAAUAGUUCAUCCAAAUGUUAAAGAAUUGGAGAGCUGCUGCUGGAGAUGAAAGAUGUGAAAAGCAUGGUAAAGAAAAAUUACAUAAUUCUCACUUAGAUGAGGAAGAAAAAAAAAAGAAUACAAUUAGAAUGAGAGGUAGCCAAUAGCCACUAGCCGCCGCCACCGCCACCAGUGAAACUAUUUCACAUAAUAGAAGAUAAAGCACGCGUAAUGGAGGCAAAAAGCAAUUAAUGAUAACUCUUUUCGACACACUAAUACAUAUCAAAAUGCAAUAUCGGUCCUAACAAAAUGAAAAUAAAAAUUCAUUACGAAUAUGCGUUAAACAUAUCCCAAGUAUUGAUGAUGUGAUUGAAAUAUUUGAGAUUGAAGUAUAAAUAAGACUCAAAAUUAAUUGAGAGGAAUAAAUGAGAAACUCUAAUACUAAUAAAAUACAUUCACAAAUCCUAAUGCUAAUUAAAAUCACGGAUUAAAAAAAAUAAUAUGAAUGAAUUACAGGCGCAACUGUUUCAUUAAGAAAUUAAUUAAAUCGUGUAUUAAUAUUUUGUACACAUACAUUUUUCCAUAUAUAACUUUUGGUAAUUUAGUUUUCCACUUAUCAUUUUACUCCAAAAAAAUAAUUGAGAAUAUUAUUUAUGUUUUGGUGCAAAAUAUUUAAACAACGUAUAAAUUUUCAGUUUAAUAAAUCUAAACAUUUCUCAAGUUGUAAAUGAAUUUAAUGGGUUUAGUUAGUAAAAAUGCUAUUAUUAUAUAAAUUGGGUUUAGUAAUGGUAUAUUGGGCAUUUAAAUGGGUUUGUUGAGUAAAUUUUAAAAUUUUAAAAUUUAAGGGUGGGUUUAUUUUAGUAAAUGGGUUAAGGCAGCAAUUUCCCAAACUAAAAUUUUUAGAAAAAGAGGCUAUUUAGUUUUUUUUUUUAAAAAGAAUUAAGAUGUUGAGAAUACCUUUAUUUACUUUUAUAAUCUUAUUUUAAAAAAUUUACCCAAUAAAUUUUAUAAUUUUUUACAAAAAUUAUCAUUAACAUCCAAACAGCUAAAGAUUAAAAAAAAAAAAAAAGAAGGGAACUGUACUAGCAAAAGUUAGAUUAACAAUAAAUUUAGUCCAAAGAAUAAAGUUAUAGCUAAAAAGUGCUCCUAUCCUAUUUUUCUCUAUUUUAACAAUAAUCUUCCAAUCCAUUUUACAAUGGACUUAACAAAUGGGCUCAAUCUCUAAACUUCAUUUUCUUUUGCUAACCCAUGGCCAUUAGCCAGAAAGCCUAAAACAAUUUUAGGAUCACAUGUGUAAAUGGAACUCCAAGAUUGAUCAAGAAUUAACAAGACAAGAUGAAGAGAUGAUCUUGUAACUAAGAAUGAAGAAAUUGAAUCAAGACAGUACUCUAGUAAAACCCAGAAAACAGAGCUUGAAGAAUCACGCACAAAGCAGUAAAUUUGUAAAACCAGAAUUGGAGCUUCACUUCUCAAGAUAGACGAAACAGGAUACAAUCUAGCUUUGGUCAACUUCGUUUGGCCACGUCAUAAAGUCUUCCCCCACAGUCUUUCCCGCCAAAACAGAAAAGCUUUAAAAGCCAUUUACCCUCCUGAGUUACUUGCUCCUAUUACAUCAAGGCCCUGUAAGUCUAUAUUUAUUAUUACAAAAGCACCCUUAAACCGAGAUUUGAGAUAUUUUUUCAAAGAUCGAAGCGCAUGAUUUCACGGCUAUGUUGCAUAGUGAAUUUUAGUGCUUUACAGUUAAGGGAUAGUUUAAAUUCAUUACAAAGCAUUCGCAAAGAAAUUGUUUUUAAAUGAAACUCCUCGUCUUGACCAGAUUAUUUAUUAUUAUUAAAAAAAAAUGUUCAAAACUUAGCCAAAGUGAUAAACUCGUAAUUAUUCUACAAAGGGAACAAUUUUGAACGGUGGGAAAUUCCAUAAUUAUGCUUUUCUGUGAAUUAUUUUAAAUAAAAUUAUAAAAAUUAAUAUAAAAUUAUAAUAAUGAUAGAGCCACAAAUUCUUGUACAAAUUUAUUUUAUACAAACUCAUGUGGCAUGAUAAGAUUGGUUGAAUUAAAUAUUACUUGGCCCACAUGAUUUGUUUUUAUUAUUUUAUAUUUUUAUUCAACCAAUAAAUUAAUACCACGUCAGUUUGUACAAAAUAAAUUUAUACAAAAAUUUGUGACUCGAUCAUCACUCAUAAAAUUAAUACCCGGUAAAGACUGUAGAGAGACAAGUGCCCCCAACAGAAUCAAGUGAAUAUGCCCCACAAAGAUCACAUGAUCAUUUCUGUUCUUUUUCUUUUUGAUAAUUUUAUCUGUGGUUUCAACUUUUAUGCUUUAUUGUCGUAUCCCGUUGAGGGCUCCGCUGCACCCAUUACAACUUACCCCUAAAUUGCCUCUUACUAACUAAACCGUUAGAUUUUAUGGAAGCACGUUCAAUGUUGAAUUUUAAUUAUGUCAUCGAAUUUCGUUUAGCUCCUUAAACUCCAUUUUAUUUGUAAUUUCUUCAUAAAAUAUUCAAAGCUUCAUCAAGCUCCUGAUGGACCAUCAUGGCUAGGGGUGCAUUAGAGCCGAACUGAAAUAUGUUAGUUCAGUUCAGUUUGGUCAGUUUAAAUCGAAUGGUUUAGAAUAUAUAAACUGAUCAAUUUUAAUUUUGAAUUGAACCGAACCGAAAAUCAAUUGGUUCACUAUUAGUAUUUUUGUAUAAACAAGAAUGAUUAGUGAUUAUAAUUAAAUUGGACUAAAAAAAAUUCAAACUAAGGUGAAAAAUAUCAAAUCUUAGACAAUAUAAAAAAAAAUAUUAAAUUUUUUUAACCGAAACGAACCGAAUUAUUUUGACUCAGUUUGGUUCAUAAUUUUUUAAACCAAACUGAUUUAUUCCCACCCCCUAAUCGUGGCUCUCUAUCUUUAGUCAUUCACCCUUGAGUUUGAUGCCAAUUGUUGGGUUUCAAAUGAUUAUACACUCAAAUGGAACCCUCAUAACAAAAAACUAACAGAAACAAUAAGAACACGAUGUUAAAAUCUUAAAUCAAUCGCAACGGUCCUUUUUUUUCCCCAUUCUUGAACCUAAAGUAUUUGAGUAUGCAAAUUAAUAAAUAAAUUCAUUUAUUUUUAUUAAAAUUUUGUAAAAUUAUAAUUUUUAAUAAAAAUAAUUAUUAAAAUUUUGUAAAAUCUAAAUUUAGAAAAAUUCAGUUGGGCACCUCUAUUUGAGAUUUAUUUUUUAUUAAAUUUAGGGAUAUUUUUAUAAUUAUAAUUUUUAAUUUUAAAAGUUUUUAUAAGAUAAAAUAGUCUUUUAAUUUAUUUAGGGGUAAAAUUGAUGUUUUAUUAAAAUUAUUUAAUUGUGUUAAUGCAAAAGUGACUAUUUGAUACAAAUGUGAAAAGAAAGGUGGUGCAAAAUAUAUGUUAAAAUUUUAUAUUGGUUGGAUGAACAUAAGCUAAAAUAAAGGUGGUGCAAUGAUAAUUUCCCUAUCCUAAAACUUAAUUGACUUAAUUCUUAUGGUGCAAGGAAGAGGUUUCCAAGUUUAAAUCUAAAGGCUUGUAUUUAAUUUGGGGUUGGGAAAGCACUGAGAAAUAAAUGUAACUAAGGAAAAAAAAAAAGUCAUGCAGUCCAAAUAAGUAGACAUAUUUAAUAUGAGGUGGGGAUGGGUGAACUGUAAUUCAGAAAAAAUAAAAUAAAAUUUCAUAUAAAGUUGAGGGUGUGUUUUAAUGGUUUCUUAUGCUGCGUUUACUUUUUGGACUAGAGUGAGAAUUCUGAGAAGUGGGAAUCCUGUGAUUAGGUGUGUGGAGUGGGAAUGAGAGUAGGGUAUUUACUUAGACUAAAUAAAAAUAUGGAUUGUCAAUCAGAAUCUCAAUUAUUUGUUACUUUGUCUUGGAUUGAGAGUAAAUUAUUUUAAAUUACAAUUUUAUCCUUAUGUAAAGAAUUAUAAUUUGUAAUUAAAAAAUUAAUAAAAAUAUAUUGGAAAAUAAAAUAAAUAUUUUAUUAUAUUUAUAAAAUAAUAAUAAUUAAUAAAAUUCUUAAUUAUGUAAAUCAUAAUUUUUUAUUAAUUUAAAUUUAAAUUAUGUGAAUAAAAAUUAUUAAUAAUAGCAACACAAAUGAAACAUUAUUAUUGAUAAUAUAGUAUAAAAUUAAUAUUUUUUUAGAAUAAAAUAUUUAUUAUUAUUAAAUAAAUAAAUAAUAUUUAUUAAAAUUAAUGUUUAAUAUUAUUAAUUUAAAUAUAAUAUUUAUUUAUUUUUAUUUUAUUUUAUUAAAUUUAAUAAAAUAAAUAUGUUAUAAUUAUUAUUUUUAAUAAAUAUGACAUUAUUUAUUUUAUUAAAUAUUAUUUAUUUAUUUUAAUUAUGAGGGUAAAAAUAAAAGAGGGGGAGUGGAUUCCCACUCCCACCUCCCCCCAUGGGAGUGGGAAUCCCACUCUCCCCUUAAAAAUGAUAAGUAAACACUAGAAUGGGAAGAAUCCACACUCUACACUUUCUAAAAAAUAAACACUACCUUAAUUUAAAUUGAUUUGUUGGAUAUUUAGCUAAAAUGAGAGUAGCUCUCUAAUAAUUAUUGCAUUAUUACAAACAUAUCCAACGGUUAUAUAUGCUUGCCUGUGGAAAUAAAAGUCCCAAGUUUCUUUGAAAGGUAAGCUAGUGUGAAUGUUUUCAUCCGUGCAACUUACUUGAUGAAUGAAGUUUUCAUCCCUGACCUUGAUGUUUCUGGUGGCUACAAUCAUUUCAGCUGAUCUAUUCCAUUUUGUUAAGGUGAGAAUUUAGAGUGGCUUUAACUGUUAGCAAAUAGCCUAAUGUAAGACUUGAUCAACUUCCUGCCCUGUUGUAUGCUUAUGAAUUUUGAUAGAGUUAUGAGUUUGCAGAAGCUACUGUAUUAUAUGUUGUUAGAGGCUGUAAAAAUGAGGCAGAUCAAACACACAUUUAAAUUUCAAUGACAAUUUACUAGAAGUAAAUUUCCUAUGACCCUCCAGGUGACUAAUCAAUGAGAACUUGACAAUAACAAAAGAAAGUGUAUGAGCUUUGCAGGCGGGCACGCCAAUCUUGACUGCAUGGCACCAUCCGCCAUUUGCAAGUGAAUAUCAUUAUUGUUUAAUCAACAUGGUGGAGUCCACUGGGACCACACCACAUGGUCAGUCUUAUCUCUAUUCCUCAAUUUUCAGUAUUCCAUACAUCAAAACAAUUUCAGUUUUGUUAUCAAUUAUAAUUUCAUUGUUGGAGACGAUUCUGAUUCCUUUCUUUCUGACAAAACGGAACCAUGGUUGCUGUGGGAGAGAUCUUACUCAACGCCUUCUUUCAGGUGUUGUUUGACAGGUUGGCUUCCCGUGAUUUGCUCAGCUUUGUCCGUCAACUUGGAGGCGGGGUCGAUUCCGAGCUCAAGAAGUGGGAAAGAAAGCUGAAGAUGAUUCAGGCGGUGCUCAACGAUGCAGAGGAGAAGCAACAGACUGACGAGGCUGUGAAGAUGUGGCUGGACGAUCUCCAAGACUUGGCUUAUGACACUGAGGACAUUCUUGAUGAGUUUGCUACUCAAGCCUUGGAAAGCAAGUUGAUGGCGCAAAAUCACGAUAGUUCUGGCCAGGUUCUCAGUUUCAUCCCGGCUGGUUUGAAUCCGAAUGCUAUUAUGUUCAAUUAUAGCAUGGGGUCCAAGAUUAAAGAUAUCACUAGCCGGCUGGAGCAACUCUGCCAAGAAAGAAUUGAACUUGGACUGCAACGGAUUACCGGAGAGGCAUCAUCAACUGCUGCUGCUGCUGCACACCAGAGGCCACCCAGUUCGAGUGUCCCAACAGAACGUGAAGUAUUUGGAAGAGAAGAAGAUAAGGCCAAAAUUCUUGAUAUGGUAUUGGCCGAUACCCCAAGUGAUCAUGCAAACUUUGUUGUAAUACCCAUUGUUGGCAUGGGCGGGAUAGGAAAAACAACUCUUGCCCGGGAAGUCUACAAUGACAAGGCCGUUGAAGAUUCCAAGUUUGAUGUAAAAGCAUGGGUUUGCGUAUCUGACGUCUUUGAUGUUUUGGGCAUCUCAAAGGCACUUCUCGAGUCAAUCACCCGCAGGCCUUGUCUUCUAAACAGUUUAAAUGACGUGCAGGUUGAGCUGAAAGCAGCUGUGGAUAAAAAAAGGUUCCUGCUGGUCUUAGAUGAUGUUUGGAACGAGGACUACAGCUUAUGGGUAGACUUAAAAGCUCCGUUACUGGUUGCUGCACCAAACAGCAAGAUGAUCGUCACCACACGCAAUUCAAGUGUUGCAUCAACAAUGAGACCCAUCGAUCGUCACCACACGCAAUUCAAGUAUUACGAUCUCAAGAGUCUGUUAGAUGAUGAUUGCUGGUCCAUUUUCAUAAACCAUGCAUUUGAAUCUACAGACCUUAGCGCACAUCGAAUUUCAGAAUCAUUCCGCGAGAAAGUUGUUGGCAAGUGUGGGGGCUUGCCUCUAGCAGCAAAAACACUCGGGGGCCUUCUUCGUACUAAAACGCAUGCUGAGUGGGACGGUAUAUUGGAUAGCAAAAUAUGGGAUUUACCUCGGCAAAGCAGCAUUCUCCCCGUGUUAAGAUUGAGUUACCAUCAUCUUCCUUCUCAUUUGAAAAGAUGUUUUGCUUUUUGUGCCAUCUUUCCAAAAGAUUAUGCAUUCACUGAGAGGGAGCUGACUUUCUUAUGGAUGGCUGGAGGUAUUAUUCGACAGUCAAGAAACAAUGAGCAGCUGGAAGAUUUGGGCAGCAAGUGCUUUGGUGAUCUAGUGUCGAGGUCAAUUUUUCAACAAACAGCAAUCUCUGAUAGUUCUAAAUUUGUAAUGCACGACCUUAUCCAUGAUCUUGCUCAAUUGGUCUCUGGAGAAACCAUAUUUAGGUUAGAGGAGGCCAAUACUCUGUCAAGAAGAUUUGAAAGGGUUCGCCAUUCCUCCUAUGCCCGUGAUUGGUGUGAUGGUAGAAAUAAGUUGGAGGUUUUCAAUGAAAUUGAACAUCUACGAACAUUCUUGCCAUUUUGCAUAAGAGGUGGCGUUACUUCUGGUUGGAUAACUAGCACGGUUCACUACGAUUUGUUGCCGAAGUUCAAAAGGUUGAGGAUGCUGUCUUUAGAAGGAUACCAUAUUGGUGAGUUACCAAUUCCAUUUGAAGAUUUGAGACUUUUAAGGUUCCUCAACCUUGCUGACACUGACAUAAGAAGUUUACCUGAGUCAACAUGCAAAUUGUUGAACUUGGAAAUUCUGAUAUUAAGAAAUUGUUCCCGUUUGACAAAGCUUCCCCAGAAAAUGAGGAAUUUGAUCAAUUUACGUCAUCUGGAUAUAAGAGGUGCAAAGCAGCUGAAGGAGAUGCCAUUUGGAAUGAAAGAGUUGAAGAAGCUUCAAACGUUGUCCAAUUUUAUUGUAGGCAAGGGUGAAUCUGCAUCUGGUUUGGAAGAUUUAAAAAGUUUAGACCUUCUAUGUGAUGAACUCUGCAUUGCUGGAUUAGAGAAUGUGAAUAGUCCACAGAAUGCAAGAGAAGCCACAUUAUGUGAGAAGCACAAUCUUGAAGCAUUGACCCUAGAAUGGGGGUCUCAAUCUGACAGUCCUCGGGAUGCAGUACUAGAAGAGAAGGUACUUGACACUCUACAGCCUCAUGAACGUAUAAAAGAGCUGGCAAUCAGGAACUAUGGUGGUGCAAGAUUUCCACCUUGGAUCAGAGAUCCUUCGUUUCCCGAGAUGAAGGUCCUUAAAUUGGAGAACUGUGACGAUUGUGAAUAUCUGCCAUCACUUGGCCUGUUGAGUUCACUUAAGCACCUUGCUGUUAAAGGGCUGAAGAAACUAAAAAGCAUAGGGUCUGAGGUUUAUGGGGAGGGUUUGUCAAUGCCUUUUCCAUCAUUGGAGGUUCUAAGUUUUGAGAAUUUGCCUGAAUGGGAGUAUUGGGACACCAAUAUCAGAGGAAAUGUGCUCGUUGAAAUGUUUCCUCGUCUCCAUAAACUUUCCAUUGUGGAAUGUCCCAAACUCUCUGGGGAACUGCCUGAGCUCCUGCCCUCCUUGGAGACACUUGUUGUUAGUAAAUGUGAAAAGUUGGUAGUUCCAUUGUCUCGCUAUCCGAUGCUCUGCAGAUUAGAAGUUGAUGAGUGCAAGGAACUAGCAUGCGGGACUCCAAUUGAUUUUAAGUUGAUAGAGUCUGUGACUAUUUCAAAUAGUUCCUUAGACAUGAAUGGAUGCAAGGGGAUGCUAUACGAUGGUCCAGCUGGCUCUUCACUGCCAAAGCCUAUGAUUACUACAAAUGUUUCGGAGUUUGGAAAAUUAUUGAAGCCUGGAUGUCAAAUAUUAGAAACUUUAGUAAUUGGCAAUUCUGGACGGCUCAAGUCAUGGAGGCAGCAUGGGGAUUUUCUAGAAGAAUAUAUGGUCGCUCACCAAAGGUUUAAGAAACCAGUACAAGGGCUAAAUAUGCUCGCUUCCCCUGAAGAGGUAACAAUUGAAGAAAGUUGUGUGAGUUUUGUUUUGUUUCCAGAGAUCAAUUUCUUUCCCAGAAAUCUGCGCUCUCUUCUAAUUUGCAACAGCACUGCUUUGAAAUCCUUACCCGAGGAAAUGAUGGAAAACAAUUCACAACUGGAAAGGUUGUAUAUCAGAGAUUGCGACUCUCUAACAUUCAUCGCAAGACAGAGGCUACCAGCAUCUGUUAAAAGGCUUGAGAUAGAAAAUUGUGAGAAAUUGCAACGUCUGUUCGAUGAUGAAGAGGAUGCUUCUUCUUCUUCUUCUUCUCCUUCAUCCUCGUCUUCCCCAGUGAUGCUGCAACACCUGAUAAUAGGGAAAUGCCCAAAGCUCACCAGUUUAUUAUCGGGUGUCCAAUUCCUUGAGGCGCUUGAAUUCCUCAAGAUAGAGCAUUGUCCAAAGCUGGAGUCAAUACCGGAUGGCCUGCCCAAUCUUAAAUGUUUACAGAGCAUUUAUUUACUCAAUUGUCCAAGUCUUGUUUCCUUCCCAGAAAGAGGGCUUCCCCACACCAUUUCAUUUGUUUGCAUUUGCGGAUGUGACAAGCUUGAAGCCCUGCCCAAUGACAUGCACAAACUCAACUCUCUUCGACAUUUAAGCAUACAGCUCUGUCCAAAUCUUGUAUCGUUUCCAGAAGAAGGUUUUCCUACCAAUCUAACAUCACUUACAAUUGGAGAUUUCAAAAUGUAUAAGAUACUCGUCCAGUGGGGGUUGCACAGGUUUACCUCUCUUAGACGCCUCUAUAUCGUUGAUUGUGAUGACGAAGCAGAGUAUUUUCCAGACGAGGAUAUAGGAAUGACGCUGCCCACCUCUCUCACUCAACUGGAACUUUCGGGAUUCAAAAAAUUGAUAUCUCUGUCUUCGACGGGUUUUCAGAGCCUCACCUCUCUUCAAAGAUUGCGGAUCUGGGAUUGCCCAAAUCUCACAUCAUUUCCAGAGGUGGGCCUUCCAUCCUCACUUUUGGAAUUACACAUUUACAAAUGUCCAAAGCUUAAAAAAGCGUGCAAAAGAGAUCAAGGAAAAGAGUGGCCCAAAAUUGCUGACAUCCCUUGCGUUGAGAUAGACAAUAAAUUCAUAUACGAUCCAGAAUAAGAGGAGUAGAUUCUACUAUUAAGGUCAGUUGAUUUGUAUUAUCCGCUAUAACAAGCUCCUCCUUUUUUUUUUUUAAAUAAUAAUUUUGCAGUCACUCACGUGAUUCCGUUUUCACAAGUCAGAUUGUAUGUUGAGGCUAUUUGCCUUUUAGUCGCAGAUUAAAUUAUAACACUUAUCUUAAAAUUUAAUACCAUAGACAGAUAGACGAUUUUUUAAUCCAAAGUUUUUUUUAUUCACUUCAGUUAGCAUUUUUUUUUUUCCCCAAAUCAUGCAAGCCGAGAGUUUCAAUCAAGAAUUGGAGCAUGGGAAUGGAAUUUUUGUGAAAACAUAAUGGAUGAACGAACAUUUCAUCUGUGAUCUCAAAGUCAACAGAAUUUUAUUCACUCAAUGACUUUUCAACUGCUGUGGUUAUUUAUGGGUGAAAGAAAGAUAAGGGCAAUUACAAAAAAUUUGCAAAAUUUGUCAAUUUCUUAGAUGGUAGAUAUAUCGACAUUUUAGAUUUCAGAUAUUUGUCACCAAUUUCAUUCCUUUUUUUUUAUUUUUUCAAGCAAGUUUGACUAAUUUUAACCAGAAUUGGAGUAUAAUAUUUUGGAGCAAGCAUACUUGAAAUUUCUGUCUUCAAUAUUUUGAUGCUUUUUUAAUUUUGGAUCUAGUAAAAAUACAUAGCCUUCACCGGCAGGAUUCUAGUCUUGGCUUUCACCUCUCUAACUCAUCCGGCCCCAUUGGGAUUCCAGAAAUUGAAAUUUCUGUCUUCAAGGGGUUUUCAAAGCCUCGCCUCCCUUCGAUUUUUGUGGAUCGGGAAUUGCACAAAUCUUACAUCAUUUCCCGAGGUCGAGGAAAAGAGCGGCCCAAACUUGCUCGCAUCCCUUGGGUUAUGAUAGAUGGAAAAUUCAUAUACGAUCCAGAGUCAGAGGUGUUGAUUCUCUUAUUAAGGUCAGCUGAUUUCUAUUAUCCACUCUGACAAUCUCCUAUUAGUGUUUUUCCCUUUUUUUUUUUCAAAAUUUUGCAGUUCCGUAUAAUUGAAAAUGCCACUCACUUGUUUCCUAUUAGUAUGUUGAGGCUAUUUGCUUUCUAUCGGUGUUUGUUAAGGUAAUUACUCACAGAUGAAAUUAUAACUUUUAUCUUAAAAUUUAUUGCCAUUGACAGAUGGACGAUUUUUAGUCCAAAGUUUUGUUAUUAACUUCAAUCAAAAUUUUAGAUUGCAGAUUUUUGUCAAUUAUUUCAUUUUUUAUUUUUAUUUUAAAGCAGAAUUGGAGUAUAACAUUUGGAGCGCGCAUACUCUGAUGCAUGCAAUUAACUGUUUUUAAUCGUUGGAUUUUGAAAUUAAUGAUGGUAAGAUGUGUACUUAUUUUUUCUUCCGGACAACCUUGCCUUCUUUCUUCGGUAGCAUAUCUAAUGAAUAUUUCUCUGUUUAGUUAAGGAUGAAUGCUUGGAGUGGUCUGAUUCACAACAACACCUCUUCCAGAAAAUAUGAUACAAGGCAAAGCCAUGUUCUGAAGCAGAAAUGAUACAGCAGUUGCGGUACCCGAGGUACCUUUUGCAUUUAACUUGCCUUUAUUUGUUUUGCUUGUGACUUAAGAACACAUCAUUUCCCAGAGAUUUGGAGAAGCAUCUCAAGAUGCUUAACAAACUUGACAAGCUUCAAGAUGCACUUGCUCCCAAGCAUUGAUUCUUCACAAUGGAAAACCUGUGAGUACACUUAUGCCCGCAAUUAUUGUUAAGUGUUUGCAAUUUUGAUGCAGCGAAAUGGUUUGUGGAUGCAAAGCUUUAAAACUGUUAAGAACUACCCUGCAGGCUUGUUGGAUGUUGUAUACUUCAAAAGCCACCAACACCAAGAACUACAACAGCAAGACUAGGUUUGCGUUGCUUCAAUCAGCUGAAAUAAUGAUGCAAAUGACACUAUCAAGCUGGACUUAGAGACUUGUCAGGUCAAUCAUCCAUUUCAUCAACAGUUAAUGUCAUGAUGGUGGCUAUCAGAGGAAACAAAAGAUCUGUUGGAAUCAAUUCAAACAGUGAGAAGCAUGAGAGGAGCAUUGAUUAUAAAUAGGCUCAAUGAGCUCAUGCUGGUAAGUGGUAAUUAAGAAAUUUGUGAGCUUAGUAUAGUUUCAAUUUUUUUCUGUUUGGGAUAUAGUUGAUAAGUUGAUACUCUGAUUAAGAAGCCUGAUUAUAGUAGCUGACUGUGCUAACUGCGUUCUUUUAUUUUUUAUUUUUUUGGUUUGCCGUCGUUUUUUCUUUUGAUUAUUUGUUCAACAUUAGAUUGAUCUGUUGAAGACUACGAGGAAGAUCCAGACUUGGAUGCAGGCGUGCAGCUCGUAAUAGGUGAGAACAAAUGAAUGCUUUAACCAUGUUUCUCACUUAUGACAAUGCACGGAUCAAAGGCAUCUGAGUUGAUCCUGAAAAUGUGAUGGAAAUAGGUCUCUGUUUUCAUAAAACAGAACAAAUAGAGAUCUCUGAUCACGCCUGAGAAUUCAUUGCAUUGAAAUUUCUACCAUUGGCAAACAUAGAAUAAACUGGGGAUACAUUAGCUUUAGACUCUAUUUUGAGGAGGAAGUUUGUACUUGCAGCCUAUAAAAUCAUAUCCCUGUUGUAUGUUUCUUUGGGAAAUGAAAGAUUCUGUGUGUUCUUUUAUUUCAAGUUUGCUGAAAUCACAUUUGUUUUCUAAGAUGCUUUACAGAAGGUACCAACAUCAUUUUCAAAAAUGCUGGGGUAAGAUACAUCGUGCAGUGCUCCUCAACAUGAGAAUUCCUGGCCGCAUUACCCAUAUGUGGAAUGAUCUGAGAGUACAACCGUGAGAAUGUUGUAAGGAGUACACAACCAGAUGUGAGUAGUUUGAAAAUGAAUUCGCAUGGAAUGAUUUCUUGCCAGUGCAGAAAUGGCUUGGUUCAAAAUAUGCUCAGCUUCAUUGACACUCUUCGGUAGGCCUCUCCGUCCUUCCAUUCUUAACUACAAUACUACUCUUGUCUGUCUAGUUAUGGAAUCUCUCUUUUAAUCCUCAAAGUUUGAAUUAUAUUAUAUUGCCUCUGUGUUACCGCAGAAACUGAGUCAGUUGGUGAUCCUUCAAAACAAGAAAAACCAAAAACAGAUACAGCGCGCGAUAAGAUAAUGAGACAGAUGGCUCCCGUUGCUGCAUGCCACUUGCUUGUGUGCGUAUUGGGACCAUCAUCAACAACAUUGACGUAAACCCAGCUCAAGGUGGGAAGCUAGUUCGAGCUGCAGGGACGUUAACCAAGAUUUUGAGAAAGAACCCACUUCAAGGUGUUGCUUAGUUAGGCUACGUUGUGGAAAUGAGAAAGUGAUUGACCCUAGAUGUCGCGCCACCAUUGGUACAGUGUCUAACCCCAGCCAUGGAGCUAAAAAGCUUAGUAAGGCAGGUCAGAGAAGUUGGUUGGGUCGAAGAGCUGUGGUUAGAGGAGUAGCCAUGAUUCCAGUUGAUCACCCUCAUGUUGAACAAAGCAAAAGUAGCGGUAACAAUGGAAGGUGUUCACUCACACCUUGGGGCAAGCCUUGUAAGUCUGGGAAUUAAACUGCAUCUCCUAAGAAGAAAGAGAAAUCAGCUGUCUGAUAAUAUUGUCCUUUUCUGCUAUUUGGUCUUUUUAACAUUGUUACACUGUUUUUACAUCUUUGAGGUUAGUUUUAGACCAAUUUUUAACUGAUCCAUAAUGAAACUGAAGUUUAAUUUUUGAUUAAACUUUCACUGGUUUUACUCUUCUGUCACUUCAAUUUAGCAUUGAUUUAAGAUACUGAAUUCUGUGCUUGGAGCUUGUAAAUUGGAAAGAGAUAUUUUGGGAUAGAAUGUAGAUUUUGUGUUUUGCUUUCUCAAGCUAGUUGUGACUUCUUAAAAGAGUCAAUCCAUGUCUUUAUAUAUUUUUCUUUUGUCUUGAUUCUGUUUCUUCAUACAGAUUCUUAUUUUAUGCUUCACAUACCACAUGAAAGAUGAAAGCCUUUUCUGUGAUUAGAAUUGACUUGCAUUAUAGUAACUUUAAACCACUUGGAUAUUUUUAUAAUAGCAGUCUGAGAUCUCCUUAAAGGAUUCAAAAGCAUCCACUGGCAUCCACUUUACUCGUAUCGGUCAAAAGUUUUGUGCAAUACAAUAUUAGCUUGACUGUAGCGCAGAGGAGAACAGGUUGGUGUUGGUCUGAAUUCUGAUAUUUGAAUAAAUAUAACAGCUCAUGUGACUCCACCACUUUUUACUUGUUCUGUAGUCUGUACCUACCUCCAUUGUCGGCACUGCCCAUACAAGGUCUUUUAGCUUUUUAAAAAGUUUCAUGAUAUUCCAUAGUUCACAUGGAUUUCUACAGUUUGUAGAAAACCUAAUUAGGGCACAUUUAAUUACUAUGCAGAAGAUUCUUUUAUCUUGCUCACCAAUAAUUCUUUGUACUUAUUUGAAAGAUGUGUUUCAAAAAAAUAAAAAAAAACUAUUUGAAAGAUGAGAAAUCCCUUAGCCGAACGACAAACUCAUCUAUCAGUCCUAUCAAAAAAAAAAAAACUCAUGUUUUAGUGGUUUUUUUUUUUCACUUGUAUUCAGUCGCACAAGUGAAGAUUGUGGGCAAUUUUUUCCUUGAGUAAAAUUGGAAUAGAUGUUUUUAUUGACACAAAUUUUUGAGCUAUGUUUGGGAAACCCUUAGACUUAAGACUUUGUUACGAUGAUAUGUAUCUAAGCUUUCAACAGACCGUUGAGGUCUUAUUAUCAAAAUACUAGAAAUUUACAAUUCAAUUUUGGUAAGGACCAAUUUAAUAAUGCUGUAAUUUUUAAAAUAAUUACCGUUAACUGUGUUGUAAAAAUAAUCAAUUAUGAAGAAAAUUAAUUAAACAUUUAGUAAACUUUAUUUUUACAAGUGCUUUGAAUUUUAAAAAUAGUCAUAUGUGUUCAGAAAAUCUCACUUCUAAAAUAGUAUAAGAAUGGAAAAAACUUAAAAAGACAAAUGUAUAAUAUUUAUUUACACAUGCAUUUAUAAAUAUGUGUAUAUAAUAACAUUUUAUGUGUACAUAUAAUAAUUGAUAACUAAAAUAAAUAUUUUUAUUUAUUAAUUAUUUUUUUGUCUCAAUGUAAUUGGUAAUACUUUUUUUUAAUCUUCUCAUCCUAAGUUUUUUUAUUGUUUUGUACAAAAUUCAAGGUUUGGACUUUUAUAAAAUGUCCACUCAAAAAUAAAUUGUUUUCUAACUAAGAUUUGUUGCUAAUGUAUAACUCAAAGUAAUACUAGCUAUUUGUAAUUUUAUUUCAAAAUUUUUAUUCAAAUGAUAUGGUAACUAAUGUACAUUAGUUGAUAGCAAUUUUUUUUUUUUUACAAUAUUCAAAUCAAUCAAUUGCAUCAUCUCAACAUUUUUAUGAUGUCGUGUUAUUUUAAACGAAUUUUUUAUUUUUAUAUAAAAUUUAUUAUGUUUAACAUCAUUUGCAUAACUUGACCUUUUUUUUUUCCUACAAAUAUUAAGUCAAAUUUACUCACCCUAUAUUUCUAUCUAAAAUCUACCUAAAACUCAUGCAUCACUGUAAAACAAAUCCAAAGAUUGCGGUACGUUUUUCUUGGUAACAAAUCAAUAAUUAGGUCAAGUACUACUACUAAGCGUGCUCAAUUAAUUCUAAAAUACUACGGUGAUCAAAAUCAUACUUGACGCAAGAGGAUAAGGGCUAAACCUCAAUUAGGCAUUAUUCAUCCAAAAUUCGUUGACCCGGCAUUCUUUGCAAGUUGUAGCACGGGACAGCUAAGAUUAGCAAAUGCUGUGGACCAUAUGCCCCCAUACAUUUGUGACAUGUGAAACUUGGCAUUAAAGGAAAGGCAACGUGUUAAAAUUUAAUAGCGCCCAAUUCUUCAUUGAAUGAUUAUCAGAUCCAAUGAGCAUCCUUUGAUUGGAUUAUUUUAAGUCAAUUAUUGGUGGAUUGGGGCCCACUUGACUCUACCAAAUCGGGCUCCACCAUAUCACCUAUUAACGACCACCUGUCCUUAUCAUAAAUAGCAAAUGUCACUUGUUUUAUUUUGUAUUUUACCAAAAGCAAAGUCACUAUGAACCCAAAUGAAAGUGACCCCAAUUUUGGGGGUCAUGAGCUUUGGAUUAUUAUGGACACAAGAGACAAGCGCAAAGUUUCUCAUUUAUCACCGGAUAAGAUUUAAGUUAUCAACCCAACAUUAAUAAAUUCUGCUUAAAGUAAAGUUUGAAGCUUCAUUUUGCGAAUAUUCAAUGGUUAACAUUUAAGUAAUUAACCUGAUAUUAAUCCAAUUAAACUUUUUAUGUAAUCCAAGUCAAAAAUAUGUUGAUAAACCUAAAUUAAUCUAAUUGGACAUAUUAUUUCAACUUGAAAAGGCGAAUCUAUCAUUUUUCAAUUAAUUUUGAAUCAAGCUAUGUAAAAUAUAAGCUUAUUAAAGACAUAUUUUUAUCAUGUUAAAAUAUCGAAAUACUUCUUACUCGUUUCGUAAUAACAUUAACAAACCUUUUGGUAAAUUUGACAGUCCAAUCAAUUCAGUUGGUUUUUUGUUAUUGAAACUCCAACAAAAUUCAUCACGAUUAUUAAAAACCCAUUAAAAAAAAAUGAAGGUAACUAUUUAAAAAAUUCUAAUUGAAUUAUUUAACAACUACAUUUCAACUAAAUUGUGUUGCUAAUUAACUUCCUCAACUUAAACUAUAUUUUUCUCAAUUAAUUCAUAACAAAUAAUGUUAGAUAUUUUAUUCGAAUAAUAACAUUCAACAUCCUUAUUCUUUAUGAUUAUUGCAUAAAAACAUAUUUUAUCCAUUUACAUCACAUAUGUUCCUAAAUUGUAUAAGAAAAUCACCAAAUUUACUCUUGUAAGUUACUAUAUCAAUGAACAUGAAAUUCACUAAUCAUUAAAGUCUCGGAAUGACAUCAUGAGAGGGAUUCAGUUACAUUUAUUGAUAGGAUUAGAUAUAUGUCUUCUCAAAUAUUAGUAGGAGCAAUUUAACAGAUGCAGCUACUAAAAAUAUAGAAUUACUUAUCUCGUCAAUAACUAACGAUAUUUUUUAUCUAUGCUCAAUAAAUUGUAAUAUUUGUAGAUUGUAACAAUUGUUAAAAAAAAAGAGCUCCCUGAGACUAAAUGACAAAAGGACUGUUUUGAAAUAGAUAGAUAAAAUAUGCCCUUAUUUGAGAAAAUGUAAAACACUAGGGAUCUAAAUGUUAUUAUAAUCCCAUGCACAAAAAUACCAAAAAUAACUAAUAACAACUAACCGAAAAUCCCAGGCGUCAUAUUCCUUUUUUCCGCGUUUUAAAAUGCCCUCUGAUUCAUUCACAGUCAGACGCUGUCGGCAUUUCUCUUCUCUCCCUCUCUCUCCACGUAUUAAAACAUGUAAAGUACGGAAAAAUUUAAAAAAAAUUUUAAAAUUACAUAAUUUAAAAGAUAUAAAAUUAUAAAUUUUUAAAAUUAUACGGUUUUAAAAUUUUUUUAAAUUUUUUCGUAUUUUAAAAUUUCAGACUAAAAAAUUAUUAUACGAAUACUUCGUAUAACCGCUUUGCGCUUAAAAUCUGUGCCUAACAAACUCACGAAAUCACUCCUCAUUUUCCUCUCUCCCUCUCCUCCUCUCAUUCCCUUUCAAAUCCUUCCACCACCUUCCCCGCCUCUCUCUCUUUCUCUCUCCCCUCACCGCCACAGCUCAACUUUUCCAUGUAAACCACCACGGGCGCCGUCGUUUCAACCUCCCACUCAUCCGACGUCGUUUUGUGUGAAUAAGAUAACGAUUUAAAUUAAAAUACGAAAAUGGAGAACUUAACGGCGCAGUUGAAGCGAGGGAUAUCGCGGCAGUUCUCGACGGGAUCGCUGCGGCGGAGCCUGACGAGGCAGAUGUCGAGGCAGUCGUCGUUCGAUCCGAGGAGGAAUAACAUGAGGUUUAGCUUCGGGAGGCAGUCGUCGUUGGAUCCGAUACGCAGGAGUCCGGUUCAGGACGAGUUGACGGUGCCGGAGAACCUUGACUCGACGAUGCAGCUGUUGUUUAUGGCAUGCAGAGGUGACGUCAAGGGAGUCGAGGAUUUGCUGAACGAAGGCAGUGAUGUCAACAGCAUUGAUCUUGACGGACGGUUUUGGCGAGAAAUCAAAGAAUUAAGAGACAAUAUUUAGUUAAGCUAAUAGUAUUUGUUCUGUUUAGUACGUCGUUUUACCAACAAGCAUCCCGGCAUUGCACGCAUUAAUAAAUUUUUUUUAUCUGUUUGGACUGAUGGUGGUAAAAAAUUCCACAUACUUUAUAUUAAAAAGGAAAAAGGACAAACACACCCCUAACGUCAACUUGGAGGGGGGUCGAUUCCGAGCUCAAGAAGUGGGAAAGAAGAAAGCUGAAGAUGAUUCAGGCGGUGCUCAAUGGUGGGUAUGACGGCAAAAAUAAGUUGGAGGUUUUCUAUGAAUUUGAACAUCUAAGAACAUUCUUCCCAUUACACAUAAGAGGUGGCUCCAAAACUGGUUACAUAACUCGUAUGGUUCUAACUGAUUUGUUGCCGAAGUUUAAAAGGUUGAGGGUGCUAUCUUUACAAGGAUACCAUAUUGGACCAAUUCCAUUUGAAGAUUUGAGACUUCAAAGUAUAAUUACCCAAAGUGUAUACAAUAAAAGCCAAAUUUAAGAAAUUCCUGAACCUUGCUGACACUGACAUAAGAAGUUUACCAGAGUCAACAUGCUCAAUGUUGAACUUGGAAAUUUUGAUAUUAAGAAAUUGUUUCCGUUUGAUGAUACUCCCACCCAAAAUGAGGAACUUGGUUAAUUUACACCCAGACUCUUUUCUUUUGACAUGGGGUUAACGAUCAAAGUUGGUUUCGUGCGGUAUAUAUUUACAAAUUGAUAGGUAUGCCUGGUGUUGAUGCAGGAUUCCGGUUCUUCUCGUUCUACGACCAGGAUCUCUGCUCGAUCAACUUCGUCACGACCAGGAGGUCUCCUCGCAAGACUUUUUCUCCAGAGAUUCCUGCGCACACAGACAAGUCAGAGUACGCCGGUUGUUUUCCCGGCGCAAACCCUCCGACGCUCAAGUCAGAUAUGAAGGUUCGGGGAACGCUUGCCACCGAUCUUAUGGCUUUUUCGUGGUUUUCUCUUCUUUUUAAUUCCUUUUCUAAUGAGAAAAAUGCCAACCCUUUUACCUCGUCGGCUACCUUUUUAUAGGCUUCCUCUGAAUCCCAGUUUUCCGCUCUUUUCGAGACGGUAUGGGACUCUGACUGCUGUGUUAUGGGCAAACGUGGGAUCUUGCGUGUUACGCCACCGUUCUGGGAAAAGCGCGGCAGUCGUGGUUCUGUGAGAUCUUGCGUGUUACGCCACGGUUCUGGGGAAAGCGUGGCUGUCGUGCUUAGGUUCUCGGGCUGGAGAGCAUGUCUCGUCAACUGCCGUCGACCGGGUCUCCUCGCCUCUCGACCUCUAGCCGGAAUGACCUUAUGCCUCUUACAGGAAAUUGGCCUCGCGGAUGACCUGCUCGUGGACGAGCAGGAUAUUUCUGCUCCUGUUCCCCCGCGUACCAGGCUUUUACGGGACACACCGGUUCGCAGAACUCUGCCAUCAGAUAUCUGCUCACCGUGCCUGGUCUCGUCGACGUAUUUCUCCCAAACACCGGUCCCCCAGUUUCUGGUGUUGGGUAAUGUAGUGGACCAGCAGUAGAAACUCGUUAGUACUCGCCCGCGUGGGAUUGGAAAAGGCUGCCAAGAGUCAUGUCGCAUUUAAUUGCGGACGAGGUGACGUGGCAGAAAUCCCCCCCUCCAUUUGAAUUUCAAACCGACGGUUAUGAGAUCCUCGGGAUUCAGCGCCGUUAAAUGCUGGCAACCCAAGAGUCCGUCCUCAUUAGGAAAACCAAAUCCUCUCGAACGGCAUAUUCGUCAUUCACUCCGUCUCCGUCUCUGUCUCCCCGGCAAAGAGGUUCCGGCAUAAAAGCCCUCCAUCUCUGAUUUUCACCGACUGAACCGUUACUUCAGGUAUUUCUUCUAUCUCCUUGGUCUCGGAUAGUUGUAGAUAAUUUCUCUUCUCUUCUGUUGGGUAGUAGUUGGUGGUGUUGUGGUUAGAGCUUAGGGAAUGUCGAAAGGCAAAGAGAAGGUCAUUGAGGUUGGUGACGACGAGUUGGACUUCCUGCCUAGUCUGCUCACCGAUCCUGCUUUUGACCCCGGGAUCCCCUUAGAGCCCAUUAGGUCUAGUGUCGGGACUAGUGCUAGGAGGAUGUCUCCCCAAACAACCUCUACGAGCGGAAGUAAUGGUGAGGAGAGAUCUUCUGGCUCCGAGGAUACUUUGAGUGAGAAUGGCGAAGGUGACUCUGGUGAGGUGUCUCCAUCUGGAACAUCACGACCAGAAGAACGGGGUAUAGUAGGAGGCAGAGCCUUGUCGCGCGAUUAUGCCAUUGAUUACAUGACGUGCACGACCUCGUUUGACGAGCUCAAUGACCUCCGGCUUAGGUAUAGCAUUCCUGGUGAGAUACCUCUCAAGGUCCCAGGAAAGAAGGAUGCUCCCAGCCGGCCUCCUAGGGGAUAUGUUACCCUGUAUCUGGACAGCUUUAAGUACGGGCUGAGGUGUCCCUUGCAACCUUACUUUGCCCGGAUACUUAACGGGCUAAAUCUAGCUCCUGGUCAGCUGAAUCCCAAUGGGUGGAGAGUGCUCUCUGGUCUGUUCAUAUUGUGGGACAGAUGUUGCCAAAGCGAGCCCACGGUUGAUGAGGUGAAGCACCUGUACCAGCUAAAGAGCAGCCCCAAAGAUGCCGUCUGGUACUACUUCCAAUCUAGCACCAAGAGCAGGAAACCUAUAACCGACCUCCCUACUGGUGGUGGUGGGAAUUGGAAGAGAAAAUUCUUUUUUGCUGGGGGUCCUUGGGGUCAGGUUGCACAAAUGGACGGGAAGGAUUAUCGGGUCCCACCCCGUUUCACGGUCCCAGGUUGCCUGCUCGCUUUAGAUGUCUUGUAUCCACAAUUGUUAUUGCUUUAUUGGCUUGUCUCUAACCAAGUGUCUGUUUGCGUUGUAGUUUCUUGGGGUGUUCACUUCCCGCUCCCACCUGACCAGCUCAAACGGGUCAAGGCUGUGCUCGCCAAUUCCUGCUCGAGUCGAGAACUGCUAACUACAUACAACUUGCUCGAAUCUCGCUUGAUACUUCCUGGCCAUAGGAUGGAGGACGCCGUGAUUGGGGCUCUGACCCGAAAACGUUCUCGACCUCCAACCACGAAGAGGGACCAGGGUAAGGAUGCCCCUGCUGCAAAGCGGGCCAGCAUCGUGCAGCAGGUCCCACCCUUGGAGAUUUUACCUCCUGCUCCUGAAAAAGUCGGGGAAGCUAGUGGAGCAGCCACAGAUCCUGCUUCCUCAUCUGUUCCUGUCGGGCCUCGAUCUCGCUUACCUGACAGCCGAGCAGAACACCUGGUCCCCUACCUCAAUGAGUUGUCUAAACUCGUGAGCAAGAAGGACCUGGAGGACUUCGACGGCUGCACCUUGGGUGAGCUGGUGGGGGCCAUGCAGCAUAGCGCUUUCCACCUCAGCUGCAUGACCACCUAUUACAAGGCUAAGGUUGGUCGAUACGAUCGGAAAAUGAAGGGGGAUAUUCAAUCGGCGACGACCAGAGCUGACAUUGCCGAGAAGAAAGCAGGGGAGCUGAACCUCGAGAAUCUGAAGCUGAUAGAGCAAGAAUCACUUGCUCAAGCAAAGACCAUUACCCUCGAGGAGGAGCUUACCAAGGUCAAGGAGGAUCUGCAAAGGCAGAAGGCUAUGUAUGAGGCCCAGCUCGAAUCUCUCCGGGACUCCAACCGAGCUCAGGUCGAGAACUUGGAGAGGGAGGCAGAGAAUCAGUACGACCAGGGACUUCGGCAUUCCUAUCGUUGCAUCAUGGCCGUCCUCGGGAAGCAACACCCUGAUCUGAAGAUGGAUGACCUUGCGGCUGGUGUUGCCCAACAUAUGGACGAGGAGGCGGCCAAGGAAGAUGCUGAAGGGGUAGAGCCGAUCGUGAUCGAGGAGGAAAGCUCUCCUCCUCGUGCAGUCCCUGCUGAUGUUGGCGAGGCGAGCACCCCUCCGGACGCAACUGGCGAUACCCCUCCCGCACCUGAGGAGGUCCAGUCAACCGAUGCUGCUCGGCUCACUGAUCUACCAUCUUUUUGAUAUAUUUCUUUUUGUAUUGUAAUAAACAACGUUUAUGAAAUUUAUCCCCUCUGUUAGCCAUUAACACAUUAAUAAAGAUGUUUUUUGAUUACUUUCUCGUCUUGUAAUCAUCACUUAUUUUCCGUUUGGGAAUCUGCUCGUCUCGUCUGGUCGAGCAGGUUCUGGUUUGGCAUAUGGUUUUGCAACAUGCCUUAGAAAAAUUUCUUUUUUUUUUUUUUUUUUUUUUUUUUUUUUUUUUUUUGCUUGGGGAUUCUGCUUGCCUUCGCGUGGUCGAGCAGGUCCUGGCAUGCUUGGCUUCAGUCUCGCCAUAAAAAGGCUUUGAGACUUGGUGAGGCCUUUGCAUGCCUUAGAAAACUUUUUCGAUGCUUGGGGAUUCUGCUCGACUUCGCUCGGUCGAGCAGACCCUAGCAUGCUUGGCUUCCGUCUCGCCAUAAAAAGGCUUUGAGACUUAGUGAGCCUUUGCAUGCCUUAGGUGGCUUCUUCAAAGCUUGGGAUUCUGCUGCCUUCUCGUGGCCGAGCAGAUCCGGGCAUGCUUGGCUUCUGUCUCGCCAUAAGACAGGCUUUGAGACUCGACGAGCCUUUGCAUGCCUUAGAUGGCUUCUUCGAAGCUUGGGAUUCUGCUGCCUUCUCGUGGCCGAGCAGAUCCGGGCAUGCUUGGCUUCUGUCUCGCCAUAAGACAGGCUUUGAGACUUGACGAGCCUUUGCAUGCCUUAGAAAUUUUCUUGGUUUCAAGCGAAAGGAAUUCCUCGACGUUCCAUUAAUGGCAGGAUUCGGCUUACAUGAACUUGUUUGGACAUAAAGCGUGAAAGAUAAACGAUAAUGAUCAUGAGCAAAAAUAGCUUUCAGAUGUGAACAAAUCUUACUGGAAGUAUUUUCGGAGGUGUGCUGCGUUCCAUGGGCGUUUCAGCUCGUGGCCGUCCGUGCGAACCAGCUUGUAAGCUCCGGGUCCCGCUAUCUGCUUGACUCUAUAUGGCCCUUCCCAAUUCGGUCCCAGCACUCCUUGAGUCGAAUCUUUGGUGCUCUGAUUCACUCUUCUCAGUACCCAGUCUCCGACCUUGAAUUGCCGUAUGUUCACCUUCUGGUUAUAAUACCGAGCAACCCUCUGUUGGUAAAGGGCUGAUCGCUCGGCUGCUUGCUCCCUCCUUUCCGUUAGCAGAUCAAGAUUCAAACAUAUCUGCUCGUCGUUCUCCUGCUCGUUGAAAUGACCUGUCCGGUGUGUGGUCGUUCCUAUCUCAGCCGGCACGACCGCUUCAUGUCCGAAAGCCAAAGCGAACGGUGUCUCCCCAGUUGCGGUUUUGUGGGUUGUUCUGUAUGCCCAUAGCACACCUGACAGCUCGUCAACCCACGCACCCUUUUUUGCUCCAAGCCUGGUUUUCAAAAGCCUCUUGAUGGUCUUGUUGGCUGCUUCUACUUGUCCAUUCGAUUGAGGGUGAGCAGGCGAGCAAUACUUCAGCUCUAUCCCGAGGUUCUGGCAGAAAUCCCUGAAGCUGUGAUUAUCGAACUGCCUGCCAUUAUCCGUUACCAAGGCAUAAGGGAUCCCGUAUCGACAGACCAGGUUUCUCCACACGAAGUCUGUUGUUUUCUUCUUUGUGAUCCUGCUAAGGGCUUCUACCUCUAUCCACUUCGUGAAGUAAUCUAUAGCAACUAUUGCAUGUGUUGCUGCUCCUUGUGCCUUUGGCAAUGGGCCGAUCAGAUCAAUUCCCCAUUGAGCAAAUGGCCAAGGGGAGGCCAUGGAGGUGAGCUUCUCUGGGGGUUGGUUAGAGAAAUUUGCAAAACUCUGGCAGCUUACACAACUCCUGGUCUUCUCUUGCGCAUCCUGGUGCAUUGUCGGCCAGAAAUAUCCCUGCCUAAGAACCUUGUGGGCCAGGGACCUCCCGCCAGAAUGAUUUCCGCAAAUUCCUUCAUGUACUUCUCUCAGUACGUAAUCCGCGUCGUCCUCAUCCAAACACCGAAGGAACGGUAGUGUAUAUCCUCGCCGAUACAGCGCCCCAUCAAUCAUCGUGUAUCUCGAGGCCUGGGCUCUAAUCUUGCGAGCUCGCAGCUUAUCUGGUGGUAAUACUCCGUCUCUAAGGUAUGAAACUAUCGGGUCCCUCCACGAGCAUUUUUGUUCUAUCCGCAACACCCCCGAAUUCUGAUCGAUACUUGGGCUGGACUUCACCUCCAGAGGGACCGACUUUGGCAUUUUUGGGUCGGCUACUGCUGCCAUCCUCGCCAAAAUGUCUGCUCGACUAUUCUGCUCCCUGGGGAUCUGUACCACCUCCACUGCUUCGAACUUCCCCAUCAUCUGCCUGACUAUCUUCAGGUACUGCUCCAUCUUCUCCUCUCUUGGUUGGAAUCUUUCACUGACGUGAUUCGCAACCAGCUGGGAAUCAGUUCUGAUCUUAACUCUGUCUUCUUUCACGGCCUUAGCCAAUUCCAGACCUGCUAUCAAGGCUUCAUACUCUGCCUGGUUAUUUGUGGCUGCAAAUUCCAACUUUACAGCAUAAGAGAUCUCCUCCCCCUCAAGGCCUUCCAGGACAAUCCCUGCUCCUGAACCCCGCUCCCCUGAUGACCCGUCCACAGACAUCUGCCAUACUUGAUUUUCGUCAUUGCCUAUAACUGCAUCCUGUUGAUCUGAGCAUACUUCGGGCUCUGUGAAUUCAGCUACGAAAUCGGCCAUUGCCUGGGCUUUUAUCGCUGCGCGGGGUUUAUAGUCUAUGUCGAACUCGCUCAGCUCUACAGCCCACUUGACGAGCCGACCAGAGGCAUCUGGCUUGUGCAGAGUUUGACGCAAUGGCUGGUUUGUUAUUACCGAGACCGGGAAUGCUUGAAAAUAUGGCCUCAACUUCCGAGCAGCAACCACAAGGGCAAGUGCCCAUUUCUCCAACAGUGGGUAUCUAGUCUCAGCGUCGAGUAGGGCCUUGCUGGUGUAGUAUAUCGGAUACUGAACUCCUUCUUCCUCUCUCACCAGAACAGAACUGGCGGCCCGAUCCGACACCGCCAAAUACAGAUACAACUUGUCCCCAUCCCUUGGUGUGGACAGCAGCGGAGCUUGCUGCAAGUAUUGCUUCAAGUUCUGGAAGGCUUCCUCGCACUCUGGGGUCCAUUCUGUUUUCUUUCCCCUCCUUAUCACUUGAAAGAAUGGCUGACACUUAUCUGUAGCCUUGGAGAUGAAUCUGCUCAACGCCGCCAACCUCCCUGUGAGGCUCUGCAUCUCCUUCAGGUUACGAGGAGACGUCAUUUGCACAAUCGCCUGGAUUUUCUCGGGAUUUGCUUCAAUCCCCCUAUGGCUCACCAUGAAUCCAAGGAAUUUCCCUGACUCGACCCCAAAAGCACACUUUUCCGGGUUGAGCUUCAUCUUAUACUUCCUCAAAAGCUCGAAUGUCUCCUCGAGGUGUCUGACAUGUUCCUUCGGGAUUUUGGACUUGGUGAUCAUGUCAUCCACGUACACCUCCAUGGUUUUCCCAAUCAACGGCUUAAAGACUUUGUUCACCAGCCUUUGAUAGGUGGCCCCAGCAUUUUUGAGACCGAACGGCAUUACCCUGUAACAGAACAAACCUUGGUUAGUGACGAAAGCCGUGCUCUCCUCAUCCUGCUCGUACAUGGGGAUCUGGUUGUAUCCCGAGAACGCGUCCAUGAAGCUGAGCAGACCAUGUCCAGCCGUUGAAUCUACUAGCUGAUCGAUCUUUGGUAGAGGGAAGCUGUCUUUUGGGCACGCCUUAUUGAGGUCUGUGAAAUCCACACACAUCCUCCACUUGCCGUUUGCCUUCUUUACCAACACCACAUUCGAUAUCCACUCAGGGUAACUGACUUCCCGAAUGAACCCUGCUCUCAAGAACUUCUCCACCUCGCUAUUUAUUGCCUCAUACAUCUCCUGGUUGAAGCACCUCCUCUUCUGCCUUACUGCCCGAGCACCUUUCUUUAUUGCCAGCUUAUGACAUGCUACCUCAGGGUCAAUCCCUGGCAUGUCUUCAUGUGUCCAAGCAAACACAUCAGAAUGAGCCUGUAAGCAUUUCACCAACUCCUGCUUUUGCUCUCCCUCAAGCCUCGACCCGAUUCUGAUCAUCUUUCCCGGAUUCUCUGGUCCCAGGCUUACUGUUUCCAGAUCUUCUACAGGUUCUUGUCUGCCCUUCUUGUUUUCCACUCGGGUAUCGAGGGAUGUUAUCUGCAUUGCUUCCCUUGCUGCCGAGGAGUAGCAGCUUCUUGCGAUCCUCUGGUCUCCUCGUACCACUCCUACUACCCCAUUCACCCGGUACUUCAGAGCGAGAUAGUGGUUGGACAACACCGCUUUGCUCAUCCUUAAAAAUGGCCGACCUAGGAUCAUCUGGUAAGGACCUUCCUCGUCCACUACGACAAAGUCCAGUAUCAUUGUUCUUUCUGUCAGGGAGCUCCCAAUUGUGAUAGGCAGCUCGACCACGCCCAGAGGGACCAGCUUCCCUCCUCCGAACCCCUUCAAGGAGGUAUUGGUGUAUUCCAACUUUCGGUCGGCUAUUCCCAUCUCUUCCAGGGUUGACUUAAAUAACACAUCAACUGAGCUCCCUGUAUCAAUCAGUAUCCGGUCAAACUUCUUGCUAGCGACAGUAGCCUUGAUGACUAAAGCAUCAUCGUGGGGGUAUAGAAUCCCUUCCUCAUCCUCAUCCGUCCACAUGAUUGGCACUUGCCUGACCCUUGCUCGUUUGGCUGCUGGGGUGUUGAAGAGUACCUCUUUACUGGUCAUGGCGUACCUAGCAUAAUUUUUUCUCGAUCUGUUGGAAUCUCCGGCCAAUGUUGGGCCCCCAGCUAUCACCCUUACUGCGGGCUGCUCGCGCCUCAAGUUUCUACCACUCUGCUCCCCUUCACCUGUUGUGGCCACCAUCGGGAAAGUCCCAUCCAUAAACUCGUCCAGGUACCGAUUUCUCACCAAAUCUUCGACCUGGAUCUUGAGAUCUCUACACUCUGCCGUGGUAUGGCCAUGGGUGCCAUGGAACUUACAAUAACGUCUUCUAUCCCUCCUGUUGGGUAGCUUUGUUAUUGGUGUAGGGAGGUGCAGCAGACCUCGAUCCUUUAUGGCCUCGUACACCUCAUCCAGGGACAUCUUCAAGGAAGUGUACCGCCCAUAGUCCGGGUCCUGGUCGAUCAGGUGCACUGCUCUUUCUCUGUUUGCCCCGCUUUGAGUUGGGGGCGGUGGAAGUAAUUCUGGUCUGCUCGCUCUGCUACCAUGUUGGUGAAGACCACCAGAUGCCGACUCAUGCCUUCUCCAAGGCUCCCUAGCUGGGGAACGAGGAGGUUGCGCCCCGCUGCGCUGAUACUGUGGUGGCCUCUGAUGAGGCUGGUAAGCAGUUACCCGACCUCCUGCUCUACUACCGGAGGCCUGGUGGUCUCUCCUCCUGAUCGGCCCAUUCCCCGGUAAUGCUUUCUUCUCUUUCCUCCCCAACCCUUCCAACUGGUCUGUCUUAAUCCGUGCAGCCUUCUCCUCUUCAAUCUCGAUGUCUCUCUUAGCCUGUUCGUAUGCGGCUGCAUACGUUUGAAUAGCUGGGCUUCUCAAAUUGUACCACAACCUUCCUAUCUUCACCCCUUCUUUCAAUCCCCUUAACGCCUGAGGGUGGUUGAAGGCUCCCAAGUCGAGGACAGCCCGAUGAAACCUCUUGAUGAAUUCCCGAAGGGUUUCUUGCUCCCCCUGUUUCAUGCUUUUCAGCUCCAUCAUGUCGUCUUCCGGUGCCAUUGCCCCACUAAACUGCUCCGCGAAUUCCUGGCACAUCUGCUCGAAGGUUUUAAUGCUGCCCCGAGGAAGUUUCCUGUACCAUUCUCGUGCACGUCCCUCAAGGGAUAGUGGGAACACCCUGCACCUUUGGGAUUGAGAUAAUCCUUGUACCCCAGUUAUGUCGUUGAAGCGCUCUAUAUGCACCAGCGGAUCAGUUCUUCCCGAGUAUCUGAGGUCUGGGAGGCGGAAAUCUCUCGGAAUAACUGCCCUCAUGAUUUCUGUUGCGAGCGGCGAUUCUCCGUCCAGCAUUAUCCUCCAACCAGGGGCUCUGUUCCUUCCUUGCAUGUCGUCAAUUAUCUGCGCUAGUCUGCGCACUUCCCCCUCCAGCUGCAACGCACGACCAGGGUCACGUGCUGCAACUUGAUCCCACUCUUGCUCUACAUCAUGCAAGUGUUGCCUCAACUCUGUUUCCUCUGCAUUCACCACCCCGUCGCCCUCGUCACCAGUCUGUCUUGCUGGGGACUGCUCUCUUUCUCUAUGAAAUUCUCCCUGCAGAGGUACGUUACCUCUCUCACCACCAAAUCUCCCGGGGGUUUGACUUCUCCCCGCACUAUCGGGACCUGGUGCCACUCCACCGCCUCUCACCCUUCCCUCUUGGGUUACCCUUCGCUCGCUCCGCAGCUCAUGCAGGAUGGUUGUCAAGGUCUCCAUCUGCUUUUCCAUCCGUUCCAUCUGGUCGAACAUGACUUUUUCCCGUGCUUCGCUGACUAUCUCCCUCAGCGUCACGGAAUCGUUAAGCCUCCUAUCACCCCCUUGUGCACUACUUCUUCCUGUCUCCAUUGCUUUUCACUUGCUUCACCCCUCUUCUUGCUAUCAACAGAAGCUUUUUGCUCUGGUCCCCACAGACGGCGCCAAAAUGUUGAUGCAGGAUUCCGGUUCUUCUCGUUCUACGACCAGGAUCUCUGCUCGAUCAACUUCGUCACGACCAGGAGGUCUCCUCGCAAGACUUUUUCUCUAGAGAUUCCUGCGCACACAGACAAGUCAGAGUACGCCGGUUGUUUUCCCGGCGCAAACCCUCCGACGCUCAAGUCAGAUAUGAAGGUUCGGGGAACGCUUGCCACCGAUCUUAUGGCUUUUUCGUGGUUUUCUCUUCUUUUUAAUUCCUUUUCUAAUGAGAAAAAUGCCAACCCUUUUACCUCGUCGGCUACCUUUUUAUAGGCUUCCUCUGAAUCCCAGUUUUCCGCUCUUUUCGAGACGGUAUGGGACUCUGACUGCUGCGUUAUGGGCAAACGUGGGAUCUUGCGUGUUACGCCACCGUUCUGGGAAAAGCGCGGCAGUCGUGGUUCUGUGAGAUCUUGCGUGUUACGCCACGGUUCUGGGGAAAGCGUGGCUGUCGUGCCUAGGUUCUCGGGCUGGAGAGCAUGUCUCGUCAACUGCCGUCGACCGGGUCUCCUCGCCUCUCGACCUCUAGCCGGAAUGACCUUAUGCCUCUUACAGGAAAUUGGCCUCGCGGAUGACCUGCUCGUGGACGAGCAGGAUAUUUCUGCUCCUGUUCCCCCGCGUACCAGGCUUUUACGGGACACACCGGUUCGCAGAACUCUGCCAUCAGAUAUCUGCUCACCGUGCCUGGUCUCGUCGACGUAUUUCUCCCAAACACCUGGUAUGACUGCUUAUGCUGGAUUUUAUGAGGUGUGCUCUCCUAAGCAAGGAGAGUGGGUCUUAAUAUGGGCAAGGGUGCAGUUGGUCAGCUUAUGGGGCAGUUUGCAAAGUUACUGGGCUGCUAUGUUGUCGGAAGUGCUGGAAGCAAAGACCAGGUAUACAAACAAACAAUCCGUAUCAGUUGCUUGAUUGUUCCCAUUUUGCUUUCAAAAUAUCUAACUUACAUAAGGAAAAUUUUCACCAUCUCGUCUUUUCUUUGAUUUUGAACGCUAAGAUUGAUCUACUGAAGAAUAGGUUUGGGUUCGAUGAGGCGUUCAACUAUAAAGAAGAUCCUGAUUUGAAUGCAGCCUUGAUAAGGUUAGUAUAUCAGCAAACUACAAAUUAGAAGACAUUUUUUCCUGAAAAUCAAAUAAUGUUUCUAAUUUGACAGGUGGUUUCCUGAAGGCAUUGACAUAUACUUUGAAAACGUUGGUGGGAAAAUGCUCGAUGCGGUGCUGAUCAACAUGAAAAUCGGUGGUCGAAUUGCUGUGUGUGGGAUGAUCUCGCAGUACAACCUUGACGAACCCAAAGGCGUACACAACUUGACGCGUCUUAUUUCGAAACGGGUUCGGAUGGAAGGAUUCCUCGUAUCGGAUUACAAUAAACUCUAUCCGAAAUUUCUGGAAAUGAUCAUUCCUCACAUCAAGGGGGGAAAGAUUGUAUACAUUGAAGACACGGCUGAAGGUCUUGAGAGUGCUCGGGCAGCUCUCGUCGGUCUGUUCUCUGGCCGGAAUCUCGGGAAACAGGUGGUUGCAGUUGCUUCUGAAUGAAUGAAGGAUUUGGUUGUUUACAUCAUGCUUCUACUCGUCCAUUUAUUUAAUAAAAUGGUUACGCUCAAUGAGUGUAAUUUUUAUGAUGCUAAAUUAAAUGUGGAAUGUGGCUGCUGGUUUGAUAAUGUUAAAAGUGCUAAAAAAUUUCAUGUUAGGCGCGGUGUGCGUCUGUAUAUCAUUUUUAGGUACGGGCAUUCUAUCUUUUUUUUUUAAUUAAUACAGACACAUUCUUAAACUGUAUGGUUUAAGAGAGAGUUAAAAAAAACUUUUACCACAUGGUUUAAAAGCGUAUCCGUAUGGAAAAAAAAUGAAAGUCCAUUGGAGAAGAAUUUUAUAUAUAGUCCAGGAUAUUAAAGUGCGGGAAAACUAUAGAGUUUUAAAAACUUAAAAUUUAAAACGUUUAAACUGCACGAUUUAUGUGUUUUUCGAUGUGAUCCCACAUUUUAAAAUUGUGGAUUGGAACAUUUGUCUUUGAGGGAAAAAAAACAAUAACAACAACUUCUUUUGGAGACCGUGGGGCUCAUAUGCAGAUUCAACCCCGAGCUAUACACUGGAUCUGGUGGGCUAGGUUUGAACCCAAAACAAGCUCUAUUCAUUACACGGUUCAGCGGGUUGGUCCAUUUGACGCUUCUAACUUAACAAUUUAAUCAUAAUAAAUUGAAAAAAUAAAAUAAAACCCACGUAUCUAAAUUAUUGUAUUGAGCUAUUGGUGCAGAGAAUAAGUAUAUAUGAGAACAAAAACAACACGAUGUAGUCGCUCGUUUUGUCACUUCUAAAAUCAGGAUUUAGAGCAUCACCAAAAGGCUCUUCAAAUAAGAUUUUAUUACUCAUUUGAAGAGCCACAUCAAUAUUUAAAGCUCCAAAAGACACUCUAAUUAAGAUUCUUCAAAUAAGAAUUGAUUCUCUCUCUUCAAAUUUGGAGAGUUAAUUUCUCCCUCUUCAAUUUAUAUUUUAUUACUUUUCAUUAAAAAAAGAGAGAGAAGUGCUUUAAUUGCUAUUGACUUUUCCUUUUAAAAACUAAUUAUAUGAUUAAAAUAAUAUUAACUUAUUUCUAUUUGAAGAGUCUUUUGGAAAAUAUCAUAUUUUUUCACCCUUCUAUUUGCCACAUAGGUAAGCAAAUAGAUAUUUGAAGAGUAAAAUUUAUAGAGGCUUUUGGAGAUGCUCUUAUGAUAGAGUCAUAGUGUUAACAGUACAUCGGUGUAUAAUUAUUUGUAAUGAAAUUAAUUAAUAUGGGUUUUAUGUUGUCUUUGUCAAUAAUCAAUUAAAUUUUUCGUUUUCAUUUAAAUGUUACUGAUCGAUGAAACAUUUGACUGCGUUCAAGUUAUCUUUUAAUUUUGUGAGAUCCACAUUGUUUUUAUUUCAAAAACAUAAUUUUUCAUAUUAUUAAAAAGCUGUUGCUUGGGCCUAGAGAAAUUGGAUUAAUGAAAUACCUUAAGGGUGUGUUUGACACAUUAUAUUGUAUUAUGUUGCAUUGCAUUAUUUUAUUUGGUGUUGCACUAUACUUUACUAAUUUUUUUGCAAUUAAUUUAAAUUACAUAGUUAGCAAAUAAUAUUUAUUAGUGCUUAGAAAAAUACUAAAUAUAGAAGUCUUAAAUUUUAGAAAUUUAACAAUUUUUUUACUAUAAAUGUUAAAAAAUAUAAUAAUUCUUCAUAAAGAUGGAAGCUUACAGCCUUAAGUUUUUGGAAGCAGAGCAUUUAUUUUUUAGUAUCUUCUAAAUAUAUAAUUUUUGAAAUAAAGAUAUAAGCACAUAAUUUAAUCACAUAGUCUUUAAAUAAUAUAACAACAUAAAUAAAUAGUUAAAAUGUGCAAGAUUAGUUCAAAACUCAUCUUAGGAUGAUAUAAUAAAAGUUUAUACACACCACAAGAUAAUCACAAAAUAAUAAAGUGAUAAAAUUAUUAUAACAUAUUCACUACCAAAAUAAAUUAUAUUAAAUAAUCCAAGUGAGAGUUCUGUAGUUUAUAUAAUAAUAUUAUUUAUGUUAUUAUUAUUAAUUUUAAAUUAAUAUUAUCCAAAUUUAUUCAUACUUAAAUAUGUAUUAUUAGUUAUAUUACAUUAUUUUUACAUAUUAAUUAUUGUAAUAUAAUUAAAUAAUGUAAAAUUAUAUUAUAUUUUUAUAUACUAUUUAAGUAUUUAUUAUUAAUUAUAUUCAAUUAUAAAUUUAUUAAUAAAUUAUAGUGCAAAAAAAAAUAGAAAUAAAAAUUAAUAUUGUAUAAUAAAUAACAUUCUGCUCCCAAUUUCUGGAUUUUAAAUUCCAAAAAUAGUAUUCACGUUCGCCACAUUCAAAAAUCCAACCUGGGCUUGGAGAUUCGAUUCAUCUCAUAGAUUAAUUUUAUAAACUAAUGUUUAGUGAAAAAUUAACCUUAAUGGGUCCUCCUCUCCAGGCCUAAUUCUUAAUUUUUUUUUUAAUUUGGUCCUACUUAAGUGGCUUCUAACGUUACCGUGUCUUUAUUUUGUGUACAGUUGUUUUACUAAUUUGUCAUUUAGUGCAAAUAACAGCACUCAACUUGUAAUAUCCAGUAUCCACAAAUCAGCCACUUCGGCCAAGGCCGAAGUGGUGGGCUGCUGCCCUCACAAUGCUUGUGAGGGCAGCGGUUCUAGCCCCCACAAAAGCAUUGUGGGGGUUAAAUGUUCUUUAUAUUUCCAAAAAAAUCCUUCUCUCUUGCAAAAUGUAAGUGGAGUAUGGACAUCCCUCUCCUGUGAGGGGUUAUUUGUCUGGGCAUGUACUUCAUAGAAUUCAUUGUAAUAAUGUAAGUCCCAAUCAUGUAUAUCUGAUUGUAAAUAUCAGUGUAAUAUCUCUGCUACAAUAAGCAGUUGUUGUAAAUAUCUGUCUGAUGAUUAAUCAGUAUUCAAAAAAAAAAAAGUAUCCACAAAUCAUGAACUCAUUUUUUAGUUCUUUCAUGUGUACUAACAUUCGUACAAAUAUACAAUAAGUUCAUAAUUUAGUCCAAGUUGACGAGAAAUUCUUGACCCACCCCUAAAUAUCUGUCCGCCAAUAGCGUGAAGUGGCCGGCAUAAAUUUAAAGCAGCUGGGACAUUGUAACUCAUCCAAAGAUUGUAUAACAUCUCUUUUUUGCUUUAUCGUUUUUCUCCAGUUGCAUAGUUUCUUAUCCUACCGCUUUAAAAACAAUUAUUCCUAGAAAUUUUCAUUUAUCUAAUGAAUUUUAAGAAUUUUUUCAGCAAACAAUUUUUACUUUUUUUUUUUUUUAUCAUUGAUGGGUAAAGAAAAUAUUAAUGAAAAAUGAGGAGUUAUUGGCUGGUUCAACGGAUUAAUUGCAAUGAUAAAUACAGGGAGGAUUGGAUUAUAUGGCAAAUUUUUAUAGUAAAUGUAAUAUAUAUGCUAACACUUUUUAUUUAUGGCAAAAUAUCUUCCUCUUUUGAGACUUUUCCCUCUAAGAAAAUUGGAGGAUACGACAAUAUAUAUAUAUAUAUAUAUACUAAUAUUUAUCAUUUAUAGAAAAGUAUCUAUCCCACUUAAGAUUUGCCCCACUAGAAAAGGAAAAAAAAAUCCCUCAAAAUAAAAGAGCGAAAUGGAAACAGAACAAAAUUUGAUUUUGUGGAUCUUGUAUUGUGUGAUAAGUCCGGCAUGCAAUUUUGGGCCAGCUUACCGUGCGCAUGGGAGCAUUCACAAAGUAUCUCUCGUCACUAUCGAAAACUUUUAACAGUCAAUACAAAUGCUUCCGUUUCAUCCCAUAAACAAAUAAAAUUCACAUCUGUACACAUCUACUUUGCUUUGCUAGAUAGAGUUCCUCUGCAUUUCCCAAUUGCCUAAAGAGAAGGGGAAAAGAAAAAGAGGGCCAAAAAAUGCCUGAAAUGGUAAGGAACAAGCAAGUGAUAUUGAAGGACUAUGUGUCUGGUUUCCCAAAAGAAACAGACAUGUACAUGACCGAAAGUUCCAUAGAAUUGAAGGUGCCAAAAGGUUCAAAUGGGGUUCUUUUAAAGAACUUGUACUUGUCCUGUGAUCCGUACAUGCGACCAAGAAUGACCUACAUCGAAGGAUCUUAUGUUGAAUCCUUUAAACCUGGCUUGGUUAGUGCACUCGCUCAUGGCCACGCUUUUCAUUUCCAUGGCUUCUUGCUCUUUUGUUAUAGAAAAUUUAUUUUUGGUUGCAGUUUGGUUCGACUGCUAAAAUCUCGUGCGAUAAUUGUAUAAGAUAUCUAGAGUUUGAACUUCUUUCACAUUAGGGUUCAAGGAAGUUAACUUAAAUGAUUUUCAAAAUUUUAAAUGUGUACCAAUGAAUUUAAUUUCAUAGCUUAAACUUAUUGUUUGAUCAUACUCUAACUUUGGACAGGAAAAUUAUAUUUUUCCUUUUGUUCUUUGACUUCGUGUAUGUUGUGUGAAGUACUUGUGCUUGAAAAUGAAUUGCUGACACAGAAAUUUCUAUGAAUGCAUGCAGCCCAUAAGUGGAUAUGGGGUGGCUAAAGUUUUGGAUUCAGAGAAUCCAGAGUUCAACAAAGGUGACUUGGUUUGGGGAAUGACUGGAUGGGAAGAGUAUAGUCUCAUUACGGCUCCACACUUGUUUAAAAUUCAGCACACAGAUGUGCCUCUUUCUUACUAUACUGGAAUCCUCGGUAAACUUUUUGUUUGCGCAAUUUAUGUGAGCAAAUUGUGUCUUCUUUUUCAUAUGUAAAUGUUUUUGAUAUCUUGAUGUGAAGGUAGAAAAUUGCAUGUUUUGAGUUUUUGCAUAUUUGAUGGAAACACAGAACCGUACCUGAAUAUUUCAGAACCCCCUUUUCUUUGAAGUUUGAACACUUUUCUUGAAUGUAUCAACUUUAUUUAUGGGAUAUGUUGCCAAAUUGGCAAAUCUAUUCGUUAUAAAACUUUCCUUUGACAGUUUAAUCUAAGCAGAUGUUAAUUCUGCAAAUAGAGUGUGCCUUAGUUUAGAUUGAUAGAUUUGUCUCCUUCUGUACAGUAAAAACUUUGAGCAUUUUCGCCAUAUUCUGAUCAAUACACUCCAACUAGUUAGUUCUUGAGGCGUUUCCUGGUUUCGUGGAGUGAGCCAAGAUGUAUACGUUUGCAAAUUGGCAAUGUCUUUUGCUUGAUGUGUUGUGAGUUGUGAGUGUCAAUAGGAAAGUUUCAAAGUGCGCAGUGCUCACUUGAGCACCCAUAUUACUUGGUGACCUGUUGCCUCAGCAAACAAGACCUCUGUUUUAUGAACUCCAAAAAGUUAUUCUGUUAAAAAGAUCGAGACAGAGGCCAUACUAUAUUUAUUAUUGCUAUAAAAGUGUCAAACAAUAUUCUUUAUUUAAUAUUCUAAACGAUUGAGCCAUUUAGUUAUGAUACUCUGCUGUACUGGGGCUAAUAAUCUAAGUCGGUUCAAAGUGGUAAAUUUAUAAAUUGAUAGGUAUGCCUGGUAUGACCGCUUACGUUGGAUUUUAUGAGGUCUGCUCUCCUAAGCAUGGAGAGUGCGUCUUCAUAUCAGCAGCAUCUGGUGCAGUUGGUCAGCUUGUGGGGCAGUUUGCAAAGUUAUUGGGUUGCUAUGUCGUCGGAAGUGCUGGAAGCAAAGACAAGGUAUGUAAUCUGUGUGAACUACUUGAUUGUUUCCAUGUUACUUUCAAACAUUUAAAUUAAAAAGGAAAUUUUCAUAAUCUUGCCUUUUCUAUGAUUUUCAACACCAAGGUUGAUCUACUGAAGAACAAGUUUGGGUUCGACGAGGCAUUUAACUAUAAAGAAGAAGCUGAUUUGAAUGCAGCAUUGAAAAGGUUAGCAUCAAUAAAUGCCUUAGCUUGAUGCAGCUUGAUGAAGUAUGAUACACAUUUCUGACCAAUAUACUGCGUUCCCUGAUCUCUUACUUGAAAUAUCUUGGUUUGAGAAUCUCAUGCCAAUGCCUUUAACAUUUUGGCAGGUACUUUCCUGAAGGAAUUGAUAUAUAUUUUGAAAACGUUGGUGGAAAAUUGCUUGACGCAGUGCUACCCAACAUGAAAAUCCGUGGUCGAAUUGCUGCAUGCGGUAUGAUCUCACAGUACAAUCUUGACAAGCCUGAAGGUGUGCACAACUUGAUGUAUCUUGUUUCGAAACGGCUUCGAAUGGAAGGAUUCAUUGUUCUGGAUCACUAUCACCUCUAUCCAAAGUUUCUGGAAAUGAUCAUUCCUCACAUCAAAGAAGGGAAGCUUGUAUACGUCGAAGACAUGGCUGAAGGUCUGGAGAGUGCUCCGGCAGCUCUCAUCGGUCUAUUCUCUGGCCAGAAUGUUGGGAAACAGGUGGUUGCUGUUGCUCCUGAAUGAAGAACAAGUUAGUGUUGUGUGUUCUUUUACCCUUUGACACAAAACUUCAAUGUUAAAGAGAGAAUGCUGCUCAUACUGCUUUAUAAAAUAAUCAAAUGAGUGCAAGUUUCAUGAUAUGUGCUGAAUAAAAAUAUUGGAAAUUAAGCAGCUAGCCUAGCUCCUUCUUGUAGUUGCAGUUUGAAUGAUGCUGCUGCACAACUGCUGCCGAAAAAAUCCUUAAUAGAUGAUUAGCAAGGUUUCAAAAAUAAAAAUAAAUGUUUGUGCAAUGUGCCGAAUAUGACAGCCACAAAGAAAGAGCAUACAAAUUGACUGGUUUUAUGUCUUCUCUAGGAGAAAGCUACAAUACAAGAAAUUGUAUUGAUGCCAUGGACCAAAUUUCUUAUUUAAACUUUUAAUUUUUUUUUAUUAAAAUUACUUAUGUUAUUAUGGUUUAUAUUUUUAGAAAUUCUUUAGAAAUUAAUACAGAACUAGUAGCAAGUUGAGAAAUCUAAUGAAUGGUCGAGAUAUGAUCAUGUUUAUUGAAUUAAAUUGACAAUCAUCAUUUUGAUAAAUUAUUGUUAGGAUAUUUGAUUCAUCACAGGUGUAAGUAACUAAAUGUGCUAAAAAAAAAGUUAAUGAGUUGUGAGUGUUUGAUAUUCGUUUGUUGUAAUUCUUUUAAUAAUUGUUGUGGGAAAAAAAUUAUGGUAAAAAAAUUAUAAUUAUAAAAUAAAAAUUAAUAAUAUAUUAUAAAUAAAAUUUUUAAAUAAUAAUUUUAAUAAAAUAAUAAAUAUAUUAUGAAUUUUUCAUUAUAAAUUUUUAAGUUAAAAUAAUAAAUAUUUAUUAAAUAUUUUAAUAGCACAACUUUUAAAUUAUAACAGUACAAUGUAAAUACCAGAGGUCUUAAAAAAUAAAAUUACAGUCAAGUUUUAAAACUGUUAAUAAUGCUAUUCAUAAAGGCGCUCGUCGUGUAAACAACACAUGGGACCCAACCAAUAAAUGUUUAUGAUCCUCAACUUUCCUCCUCACCGUCCCUGCAAACAAUUCUGAUUUUCUUGUCUGAGAAAAAAACUGAGAAACAAUGGCGGCCGAACAAGAAGCUGUGAGCAAUAAGCGGGUGAUUCUAAGCAACUAUGUGACAGGUUUUCCAAAAGAAUCGGACAUGAAGAUAACAUGUGGAUCAAUAAAACUGGAGGUAGCAGACGGUUUAAAAGACACGGUGCUUUUGAAGAAUCUUUAUAUUUCUUGUGAUCCUUACAUGCGAGAGCGUAUGAGCAAGCUUGAUAGACCUUCUUUUGUUGAUUCAUUCCAUCCUGGUGAGGUUAGUUCAUCACGACCCAUCUCUUGAUUUUUUUUUUUUUUCAUUUGCUUCAAGUUUUGAUGAGUUUCUGAGGUCAUUUGUACGGUUUUGGAAUGUGAACACUAUUAGUGAUUUUGGGGCUGUAACUGUCAUUAAUGAUAUGUAGUAAUUCAAUCAGAAUUUGGAUUUAGUGCUGAUAUGAUCUCUGCUCAUUUUUUAAAAUCUUGUGUCCAGAUGCAUUUUUAUAAUCUUGUACGGUUGAGAUUGUAAGUAGAUUAAUCUACGUGCAGUAUUCUUGUCUAAUGACUACUAACCACAACCUUAUGAGACGAUCGAAACCAAGCUCAGAUCAAUAAUCCAAUUGAGAGAGGGUCCUAACUCAAGCUUAUCGUGUGUAGGAAUAUUUCGGUUAAAUUGUAAUUCUUUUAAUAAUUGUUGUGAAAAAAAAAAAGUUAUGAUAAAAAAAUUAAUAAUUAUAAAAUAAAAAUUAAUAAUAUAUAAUAAAUAAGAUUUUUAAAUAAUAAUUUUAAUAAAAAAUAAUAAAUACAUUAUCAGUUUUUCAUCGUUAAUUUUUAAGUCACAACCACAAAUAUUUACUAAACACUUUAACACCAUAAUUAACACCACAACUAUUGAAUUAUAACUGUACAAUCUAGACGCCAAGAGGCCUUAGUAUGAAAAAAAAAAAUUACAGUUAAGUUAAAAUUCAUCAUACAGAUGUGCCACUUUCAUACUAUACCGGGAUCCUCGGUAAUGAUUUUUGUUACACAAUAAGAUUUGCUUAUAGUAAUAUCAAUACAUAUGCUGCUUAAAUGCUUUCUGAUUUUUUGCCGGCCAUUGUCCAUUUUGCCAGGGAGUCUAUAAUUGAAGGAAUUUACUGAAGGAAUGCUGAUUGUUGGGAAUUUGAUUAUUCUAGGUAUGCCUGGUGUAACUGCAUACGCUGGUUUAUACGAAGUUUGCUUUCCGAAGAAAGGAGAGUAUGUCUAUGUAUCUGCAGCAUCUGGAGCUGUUGGUCAGCUUGUUGGACAGUUUGCAAAAUUAGCUCGUUGCUAUGUUGUUGGAAGUGCAGGAAGCAAAGAAAAUAUAGCACCGUGCCUUCUAGCAGAAUUUUACUUGCUUUAUGUUCCAACUAAGCAUCCAUAUUUGAUCAUGAUAAUUAGCAAGGUCAAUAAUUUUUUUUUGACUAUUUUUUCAACGUAAGGUCGAUUUGUUGAAGAACAAGUUUGAACGAUGCUUUUAACUACAAGGAAGAGCCUGAUUUGGAUGCAGCACUCAAAAGGUCAGCUGCAACAAACGUUUCAACUCUAAUAUUUCAUUUUAAUAUUACAGAGCUUUGGUUGAAGUGUGUGAGUUGAUCCCAGAAACGUAACUUCAUCAGUGUCUCUGUUUUCAAAAAACAGGACAAAUAGAAAUCUGAUUUUGCUUUAAAAUUUCCCAGAUGCUUCCCUCAAGGAAUCGACAUAUAUUUCGAAAAUGUUGGGGGAAAGAUGCUGGACGCAGUGCUACUCAACAUGAGGCUCCGGGCCGCAUUGCAGUAAGCAGUAUGAUCUCACAGUAUAACCUGGAAAAACCCGAAGGCGUUCACAACUUAGAGCAACUGAUCGGGAAACGGAUUCGCCUGGAAGGAUUUCUAGCUGGUGAUUACUAUCACCUCUAUCUGAAAUUCUUGGAACUGGUCAUUCCUCCAAUCAGAGAAGGAAAGAUGCUGUAUGUGGAAGACAUGGCCGAAGGACUCGAGAAAAUUUCUCGUAACUGCUACACAUUAAACGCGUUUCACAUUUCCACUCUCUUUCUAUAAAUAAAUACGCACAUAAAAUUUCUCACCAUCCAAAAACAAAAUCUACAUAAAAAAUGGCGGGUGAAGAAGCAGUGAGCAACAAGCAGGUGAUUCUGAGCAACUACGUGACAGGGUUUCCCAAGGAAUCAGACAUGAAGAUAAUAACAGGCUCAAUAAACCUUAAGGUGCCAGAGGGUUCAAAAGACACAAUGCUUUUGAAGAAUCUUUAUCUUUCUUGUGAUCCUUACAUGAGAGGACGUAUGAGCGAGCUUGAUAAGCCUUCGUUUGUUGCCUCAUUCGAGUCUGGCGAGGUCAGUUACUUCAAUUCCCAUCUCUUGGUUUCAUAAUCUUUUAUGGUUUUAGAAGGUGUUUUAGGGAAACAUUGUGGUUUUGGUUAGUGGGCAUGAGUCUUUGAAGAGAUUAUAAUGUGUAGGACUAUGCAUGCAAUAAUAAGCAUAGGGGAUCUUGUUAGGAGAAGAUUCUCUUAGCAAAAUAAAAACUUUUAUCUUAUCAAAACAUAUGCAGGGAACUUAGUUAUGAUGUCAUGUUAGCAUUAUCUCUGAGGAUUUGAUUUCUUGAUGGGGAAAGGGGAAUUUAAGGUUACAUUAUUCAGCAAUGUUUUUUUUUUAAAAAAUUAUGUUCAAAUUAUGCAGCCUUUAAGCGGAUAUGGAGUGUCCAAAGUGUUGGAUUCCACGCCUCCAAAUUAUAAGAAAGAUGACUUGGGUGGCGUUUGUUUUUUAACUUAAUGACUUAAAGUGACUUAACUUAAUUAAUUAAGUUAAUUAGAGAUGUUUGUUUUUAUAACUUAAUGUGACUUUUUAAAUAAUUUUGACUUAAUAAAAUAAGCCAAUUUUAUUUACUUUUUACUUAAUAGAGACAUCUGAAUUAAGUCAAGUACUUUCUAAUGUCAAAAAUAUACAUGCUUUAUAAUUUAUUUUUCAUGUCUAUCCCAAAACUCACCCAUAGACAUUUACCCCACAUAAUAAUCUCAUCAUUAUUUUUUUAGCCGUCAUGAAAUCCCUCCUCACUUUGGUAUCAACUCCUCAACUAUUGAAGAUCAAAAUUACAUGCGACAACUUCGAGAUGAAUGGCAAAUCAACUGUUUCAAGCAUCUUAUUCGUUUUUUUUCUUUUUUAUAUUAUAUACGAUAAAAUUUGAAAUUUAUGGUAUUUUAUAUAUUAAAAUUCCAAAAUCAUUAUAUAUUCACUUGAAUAUAGUUUUACUUAUAAAUGUUAAAAUAUUGUGAUAUUUAAUAUAUUAUUUAUUUGACAUUCAAAUUUAAUAAGGAUACAAAUGUAAAAGUACAUAUUUUUCAGUUUUUUAAGUUGAAAAAAGCAAACAACUUAAUAAUUAUUUUUCGAGAUUCAGACGAAAAAACAAACAUAUUAUUCAGAUUCAGACAUUCAGAUCUAUUCAGAAUUUAGACUAAUUCAGGUCUAUUCAGAUUUCAGAUAAAAAAACAAACGCCACCUUGGUCCGGGGCUUAACCAGUUGGGAGGAGUUCAGUCUCAUCCAAUCACCACAACUUCUGAUUAAAAUUCUGGAUACAAGUGUGCCUCUGCCAUAAUUAAUUGACAGGUUGCUAUGUUGUUGGAAGUGCCGGAAGCAAAGAAAAGGUGAGUUUGCACCCUUAACCCUUACGCUCUAAAUAAAAACAUAACACCUUCUGAAAGAAUUGUGCAUAGAGAAUUUUGCAUGUCACAUUAUUUGUGUUCUAACUAAUCAUGGAUAUUUGAUCAUUAGUCUAACUAAAACUGACAUAUUACCACCUAGUUGACUGGUCUUUGAGAAAUGUUAGUUGAUAUAUGCUUGAAAUCAUACUUGUUUUAUUAGAUGAUUAUAUUAACCUGCUUCUUUUUCUUUGUGCUGUUUCUCGUUUGAUUACAUUUUCAACAUUAGGUCGAUCUAUUGAAGCACAAGUUUGGGUUUGAUGAUGCCUUUAACUAUAAGGAAGAGCCUGACUUGGAUGCAGCUCUUAAUAGGUUAGCACGAAUGAAUGCUUUAACCAUUUUUCUCACUUCAUUAUUACAAUGCGCUGAUUGAAGUAAUCAGUGUUGGCUCUGAAAAUGUAACGUAUACUUCUCUGUUUUCAUAAAACAGGACAAACAGUGAUCAGUGAUCUCAUUCGUUACAUUGAUAUUUUCUACCAUUGCCAUACAUAGUAUAAACUAGGAAUUCAGUUGCUUAAUAGAUAUUCAUUUCAGAGGGAAAUUUUCACUUGCAGCUAACAGAAUCAUGUUUGUGAUGUAUGUUUAUUUGGGAAAUGAAAGGAUUUGUUGCAUUAUUUUAUUCCAAGUUUGCUGAAAUCAUAUUUGUUUUCCCAGGUGCUUUCCUGAAGUUAUCGACAUCUAUUUCGAAAAUUUUGGAGGUAAGAUGCUUGAUGCAGUGCUACUCAACAUGAGAAUUUGUGGCCGCAUCGCUGUAUGCGGAAUGAUCUCACAGUACAACUUUGAGAAGCCUGAAGGUGUACACAACUUGAUGCAAGUAGUUGGAAAACGAAUUCGCAUGGAAGGAUUUCUUGCCAGUGAUUUCUACCACCAAUAUCCAAAAUUCUUGGAACUGGUUAUGCCGGCAAUCAAAGAAGGAAAGUUAGUAUAUGUCGAGGACAUAGCUGAAGGCCUCGAGAAAGCUCCAUCAGCCCUAGUUGGGAUAUUCACAGGUCAAAAUGUUAAAAAACAACUGGUUGUAGUUGCUCGGGAAUGAUAUGAUUACUAUAUGCUUUAAAAAGUGGACUUUGCCAUGCACUUUAAAAGCUUAGUGAAGAUGCCUUUGUCUUAUUUUUGAUACAUGUUAUGUUUGUUUGAUCAAGUUGUACUCAGCUAUAAAUCAAAGAUUCAGAACAUGUGUAUGAUACUGGUUUCUAAAUCAAUGAACGCGUUGAAAUGUUAGUGUUUUCACAGGAGAAUGCAAUUUAAUUCAUCAACAAUGUCCCAACAAGACCCUCAGAGCUGUAGCUUGUAAAGUUAAUUACGAUAUUUUUUUGUAAAGUAAAUUACCAUAUUUUUUUCUUUCCAAUAUAUUGCUUAUUUCAUAGAAAGUUUACAUUAAAGUCUCAUGUUUCUUUGAAAGGUAAGCAAGUGUGAACGUUUCAAUCUAGAGCUGGAAAAUGCAUUUCCGGGCAACUUACUUGAUACAUGAAGUUUUCAUCUCUGACCUUGAUGUUUCCCAUAGUUGCAUUCAUUUCAGCUGAUCUAUUUAAUUUUGUUUUCGAAGGAGUGACACAAAAUCUCCUUUGUUAAGGGGAGAAUUUAGAGUGGCUUUGACUGUUAGCAAAUAGCCUAAUGUAAGACUUAACCAACUUCCUGCCCUGUUGUAUGCUUAUGAAUUUUGAUAGAGCUAAGAGUUUGCAGAAGCUACUGUAUUAUUUGUCGUUAGAGGCUGUAAAAAUCAAACACAUUUAAAUUUCAAUGAAAAUUUACUGGAAGUAAAUUUCCUAUGAUCCCACAGGUGACUAAUUAAUGAGAACUUGACAAUGACAAAAGAAAGUCUAUGAACUUUGCAGGCUGGCAUGCCAAUAUUGACUGGGUGGCACCAUCCACCAUCUGCAAGUGAAUAUCAUUGUUGUUUAAUCAACAAGGUGGAGUCCACUGGGACCACACCACAUCGUCAGCCUUAUCUCUAUUCCUCAAUUUUCAGUAUUCCAUACAUCAAACCAAUUUCAGUUUUGUUAUCAAUUAUAAUUUUAUUGUUGGUGACGAUUCUGAUUCCUUUCUGACAAAAGGGAACCAUGGCUGCUGCUGGAGAGAUCUUACUCAACGCCUUCUUUCAGGUACUGUUCGACAGGUUGGCUUCUCGUAAUUUGCUCAGCUUUGUGCGUCAACUCCAAGGCGGGGUUGAUUCGGAGCUCAAAAAGUGGGAGAAAAAGCUGAAGAUGAUUCGGGCUGUGCUCUGCGAUGCAGAGGAGAAGCAACUGACUGACGAGGCUGUGAAGAUGUGGCUGGACGAACUCCAAGACUUGGCUUAUGACGCUGAGGACACUCUUGAUGAGUUUGCUACUCAAGCUUUGGAAAGCAAGUUGAUGGCGCAAAAUCACGAUAGUUCUGGCCAGGUUCUCAGUUUCAUCCCGGCUGGUUUGAAUCCGAAUGCUAUUAUGUUCAAUUAUAGCAUGGGGUCCAAGAUGAAAGAUAUUACUAGCCGGCUGGAGCAACUCUGCCAAGAAAGAAUUGAACUUGGACUGCAACGGAUUACCGGAGAGGCAUCAUCAACUGCUGCUGCUGCACACCAGAGGCCACCCAGUUCGAGUGUCCCAACAGAACGUGAAGUAUUUGGAAGAGAAAAAGAUAAGGCCAAAAUUCUUGAUAUGUUAUUAGCCGAUACCAUAAGUGAUCAUGCUAACUUUGUUGUAAUACCCAUUGUUGGCAUGGGUGGGAUAGGAAAAACAACUCUCGCUCGGGAGGUUUACAAUGACAAAGCCGUUGGAGGUUCCAAGUUUGAUGUAAAAGCAUGGGUUUGUGUAUCUGAUGUCUUUGAUGUUUUGGGCAUCUCAAAGGCACUUCUCGAGUCAAUCACCCGCAGGCCUUGUCUUCUAAACAGUUUAAAUGAAGUGCAGGUUGAAUUGAAAGUAGCUGUGGAUAAGAAAAGAUUCUUGCUGGUCUUAGAUGAUGUUUGGAACGAGGACUACAGCUUGUGGGUAGACUUAAAAGCUCCGUUCCUGGGUGCUGCACCAAACAGUAAGAUGAUCGUCACCACACGCAAUUCAAAUGUUGCAUCAACAAUGGGACCAAUUGAACAUUACAAUCUCAAGAGUCUGUCAGAUGAUGAUUGCUGGUCCAUUUUCAUAAAGCAUGCAUUUGAAUCUAGAGAUCUUAACGCACAUCAAAUUUCAGAAUCAUUCCGCAAGAAAGUUGUUGCCAAGUGUGGAGGCUUGGCCCUGGCAGCAAAAACACUCGGAGGCCUUCUGCGUACGACGAGGCAUGAUGCGUGGGAUGAUAUAUUAGAGAGCAAAAUAUGGGAUUUACCUCGACAAAGUGGGGUUCUCCCAGUAUUAAGAUUGAGUUACCAUCAUCUUCCUUCUCAUUUGAAAAGAUGUUUUGCUUUUUGUGCCAUCUUUCCAAAAGAUUAUGAAUUCACUGAGAAGGAGCUGACUUUCUUAUGGAUGGCUGGAGGUAUUAUUCGACAGUCAAGAAACAAUGAGCAGCUGGAAGAUUUGGGCAGCAAGUGCUUUGGUGAUCUAGUGUCGAGGUCAAUUUUUCAGCAAACAGCAAGCUCUGAUAGUUCUAAAUUUGUAAUGCAUGACCUUAUUCAUGAUCUUGCUGAAUUGGUCUCUGGAGAAACCAUAUUCAGGUUAGAGGAGGCCAAUACUCUGUCAAGAAGAUUUGAAAGGGUUCGCCAUUCUUCCUAUGCUUGUGGUGGAUGUGAUGGUAAAAAUAUGUUCGUGGUUUUCAAUGAAAUUGAACAUCUACGAACAUUCUUGCCAUUACGCUUACGCAUAAGAGGUGGCUCUAAUACUAGUUACAUAACUCGUACGGUUCUAUCUGAUUUGCUGCCGAAGUUCAAAAUGUUGAGAAUGCUAUCUUUACAAGGAUACCGUAUUGGUGAGUUACCAAUUCCAUUUGAAGAUUUGAGACUACUAAGGUUCCUCAACCUUGCUGACACUGACAUAAGAAGUUUACCUGAGUCAACAUGCAAAUUGCUGAACUUGGAAAUUUUGAUAUUAAGAAAUUGUUCCUAUUUGAUAAAGCUUCCGCAGAAAAUGAGGAAUUUGAUCAAUUUACAUCACCUCGAUAUAAGAGGUGCGAAGUUGCUGAAGGAGAUGCCAUUCGGAAUGAAAGAGUUGAAGAAGCUUCAAACAUUGUCCAAUUUCAUCGUGGGCAAGGGCGAAACUGCAUCUGGUUUGGAAGAUUUAAAAUGUUUAAACUUUCUUGGUAAUGAACUUUGCAUUGCUGGAUUAGAGAAUGUGAAUAAUCCACAGAAUGCAAGAAGAGCCGCAUUAUGCGAGAAGCUCAAUCUUGAAGCAUUGACUCUAGAAUGGGGGUCUCAAUCUGACAGUCCUCGAGAUGCAGUACCAGAAGAGAAUGUACUUGACACUCUACAGCCGCAUAAACGUAUAAAAGAGCUGGCAAUCAGACACUAUGGUGGUGCAAGAUUUCCACUUUGGAUCGGAGAUCCUUCAUUCUACGAGAUGAAGGUCCUUAAAUUGGAGAACUGUGACAAUUGUGUAUCUUUGCCGUCGCUUGGCCUGAUGAGUUCACUUAAGCACCUUGCUGUUAAAGGGCUGAAGAAACUAAAAAGCAUAGAGUCUGAGGUUUAUGGGGAGGGUUUCUCAAUGCCUUUUCCGUCACUGGAGAUUCUAAGUUUCGAGAAUUUGCCAGAAUGGGAGCAUUGGGACACCGAGAUCAAAGGAAAUGCGCCUGUUGAUUUAUUUCCUCGUCUCCAAGAACUUUCCAUUGCAGAAUGUCCCAAACUCUCUGGACAACUGCCUGAGCUCCUGCCUUCCUUGAAGACACUUGUUGUUAGUAAAUGUGAAAAGUUGGUAGUUCCAUUGUCUUGCUAUCCAAUGCUUUGCAGAUUAGAAGUUGAUGAGUGCAAAGAACUAGUCUGCCGGACUCCGAUUGAUUUUAAGUUGAUAAAGUCCAUGACUAUUUCAAAUAGUUCAUUAGACAUGAAUGGACGCAAGGGGAUGUUAUACGAUGGUCCAGCUGGCUCUUCACUGCCAAACCCCAUGACUACUACAAAUGUUUUAGAGUUUGGAAAAUUAUUGAAGCCUGGAUUUCAGAUAUUCGAAACUUUGGUAAUUGGCAAUUCUGAACAGCUCAAGUUAUGGAGGCAGCAUGGGGAUUUUCCGAAAAAAUACAUGGUCACUGACCAUGGGUUCAAGAAACCAGUACGAGGGCUGAAUAUGCUCGCUUCCCCUGAAGAGGUAACAAUUGAAGAAAGUUGCGUACGUCUUGUUUUGAUUCCAGAGAUCAAUUUCCUUCUCAGAAAUCUGCGCUCUCUUAUAAUUAACAACAGCACUGCUUUCAAAUCCUUACCCGAGGAAAUGAUGGAAAACAAUUCACAACUCGAAAGAUUGUAUAUCAGAGAUUGCGACUCUCUAAUAUUCAUCGCAAGACGGAGGCUACCAGCAUCUCUUAAAAGGUUUGAGAUAGGAAAUUGUGAGAAAUUGCAACGUCUGUUCGAUGAUGAAGAGGAUGCUUCUUCUUCUUCUUCUCCUUCAUCCUCGUCUUCCCCAGUGAUGCUGCAACACCUGAGUAUAGAGAACUGCCCAGAGCUCACCAGUUUAUCAUCGGGUGUCCAAUUCCUUGAGGCGCUUGAAGACCUCGUGAUACAGCAGUGUCGAAAGCUGGAGUCAAUACCGGAUGGCCUGCCCAAUCUUAAAUGUUUACAGAGCAUUAAUAUACGGGAAUGUCCAAGUCUUGUUUCCUUAACAGAAAGAGGGCUUCCCAACACCAUUUCAUUUGUUUACAUUUGCAGAUGUGACAAGCUCGAAGCCUUGCCCAAUGAUUUGCACAAACUCAGCUCUCUUCGAGAAUUAUUCAUACAGCUCUGUCCAAAUCUUGUAUCGUUUCCAGAAGAAGGUUUUCCUACCAAUCUAACAACACUUGUAAUUGGAGAUUUCAAAAUGUAUAAGACACUCGUCCAGUGGGGGUUGCACAGGCUUACCUCUCUUAAACGCCUCUGGAUUGCUGUACGUGAUGAUGAAGCAGAGUGUUUUCCAGACGAGGAGAUAGGAAUGACGCUGCCCACCUCUCUCACUGAUCUGCACCUUUUUGAUUUCGAAAAAUUGAUAUCUCUGUCUGCGACGGGUUUUCAGAGUCUCACCUCUCUUCAGAGUUUGUGGAUCGGGAAUUGCCCGAAUCUCACAUCAUUUCCAGAGGUGGGCCUUCCAUCCUCACUUUUGGGCUUAGACAUUAGAUAUUGUCCAAAGCUUAAAACAGCGUGCAAAAGAGAUGAAGGAAAAGAGUGGUCCAAAAUUGCUCACAUCCCUCACGUUGAGAUAGACGGUAAAUUCAUAUACGAUCCAGAAGCAGAGGAGUAGGUUCUACUAUUAAGGUCAGUUGAUUUGUAUUAUCCGCUAUAACAAGCUCCUCCUUUUUUAUUUUUUUUAAAAAUAAUAAUUUUGCAGUCACUCACGUGAUUCCGUUUUCACAAGUCAGAUUGUAUGUUGAGGCUAUUUGCCUUUUAAUCGCAGAUUAAAUUAUAACACUUAUCUUAAAAUUUAAUACCAUACACAGAUAGACGAUUUUUUAAUCCAAAGUUUUUUUUAUUCACUUCAGUUAGCAUUUUUUUUUUCCCCAAAUCAUGCAAGCCGAGAGUUUCAAUCAAGAAUUGGAGGAUGUGAAUGGGAUUUUUGUGAAAGAGUAACAUAAUGGAUGAACGAACAUUUCAUAUGUGAUCUCAAAGUCAACAGAAUUUUAUUCACUCGUUGACUUUUCAACUGCUGUGGUUAUUUAUGGGUGAAAGAUAAGGGCAAUUACAAAAAAUUUGCAAAAUUUGUCAAUUUCUUAGAUGGUAGAAAUUGGAGUAUAAUAUUUUGGAGCAAGCAUACUUGAAAUUUCUGUCUUCAAUAUUUUGAUGCUUUCUUAUCCCAUGCACAAAAGUACUAGAAAAAACUAAUAACAACUAACCGAAAAUCCCAGGCGUCAUAUUCCUUUUUACCGCGUUUUAAAAUGCACAACAAUGAUAUUCUUACAAAUUUGCAAAAUUUGUCAAUUUCUUAGAUUUCAGAUAUUUUAAUGCUUUUUUUAAUUUUUGAUCUAGUAAAAAUACAUAGCCUUCACCGGCAGGAUUCUAGUCUUGGCUUUCACCUCUCUAACUCAUCUGUUCCCAUUGGGAUUCCAGAAGCUAGAAAAAUGUGUAGUUUUCAGAUAAGGAGGCUUGUCAGUUCUCUAGUAAGAAUCCAAUGAUUUGCUUUUGAACGUCCAUCUAAUUUGUGGAUCCUUGCAUCAGAAUUUGAUCAAUCCAAAAGGAAUUGCUUUUAGACAGAAGAAGAAUAGCAGCACCUAGCCUACCCGCAAACCUGAAACUAUUAGAUUGAGGUAAAAAAAUCAUUGACCCUCACAUGUUAACUUCUUCUAGUUACUUUCGUUGGGAAAAAAAAAAACAUUUAAGGAAUUUGCAAUUUGUUGUUAGUUAUGGUAUCUGAUGUUCUUUUCUGCUUUAGCAUUUGUAGAAUCUACUGUAUUAUGUGUUGGCAGUUGCCGUAUCUGAGGUAACUUGCCUUUAUUUGUUUGCUUCUGACUUAAGGACACCAACAUUUGCCAGAGAUUUAGAGAAUCAUCUCAAAACACUUAGCAAACUUGACAAACUUCAAGAUGCACUUGCCCCCACGCCUUAUUCUCAACAACGCAAAACUUGUGAGUACACCUAUGCCUGCAAUUAUUGUGAAGUGUUCGCAAUUCUGAUGCAGAGAAAUGGUUUCUUGAUGCAAAGUAUUAAACUGUUAAGAUUUAUCCUGCAGGCUUGUUAGAUGCUGGAUACGCGAAAAGCCAACAACAUCAAGAACUGCAACUCCAAGACCAGCUUUGCGUUAAUUCAGUCAGCUGUAAUAAUGAUGCAAAUGACACUAUAUCAAGCUGGACUUAGAGACUAGUCAGAUAAAUCAUCCAUUUCAUCAACGGUUAAUGUCAUGAUGGUGGCUAUCAGAGGAAACAAAAGAUGUGUCGGAAUCUAUACAAACAUUGAGAAGCAUGAGAGGAGCUUUGAUUUUGAGUAGGGUCAAUGAACUCAUAUUGGUAAGUGGUAAUUAAAGAAACUUUGUAAGCUUAGUAGAGUUUCAGUAUUUUCUGUUUGGAGUAUAGUUGAUAAGUUGACUCUGUUUAAGAAGCCCGAUUAUAGUAGCUGACUGUAUUAACCUUUUUUUUUUUUUUUUUGGGUCUGCUGUUGUUUUUGGUUUCGAUUAUUUUUUCAACAUUGGGUUGAUCUGUUGAAGAACAAGCUUGGGUUUGAUUAUGCUUUAACUACAAGGAAGAGCCAGACUUGGAUGCAGGCGUUAAGCUUUUAAUGGGUAAGAACAAAUGAAUGCUUUAACUAUGUUUCUCACUUAUUAAAAUGCACGGAUUGAAGGCAUCUGGGUUGAUCCUGACAAUGUGAUGGAAAUACUUCUCUGUUUUCAUAUAACAGGACAAAUAGAGAUCUCUGAUCAUGCCUGAAUUUUUGUUGCAUUGAAAUUUCUACCAUUAUCAAACAUAGAAUGAACUAGGGAUACAUUAGCUUAAGACUAAAUUUUGAGAAGGAAGUUUGUACUUGCAGCCUAUAAAAUCAUGUCCAUGUUGUACGUUUCUUUGGGAAAUGAAAGAUUCUGUGUGUUCUUUUAUUUCAAGUUCACUGAAAUCACAUUUGUUUUCUCAGCUGCUUUCCAGAAGGUAACAACAUCAAUUUCAAAAAUGCUGGGGCAAGAUGUAUCAUGCAGUGCGACUCAACUUGAGAAUUCCUGGCCACAUUACCCGUAUGUCUAAUGAUCGCACAGUACAACCUUGAGAAGCUUGUAAUGAGUACACAACUGGGUGCAAGUAGUUUUGAAAUGAAUUUGCCUCAAAUGAUUUCUUGCCGGUGAUUAAUAUAACCUCUAUUCCAAAAUUCUUGGAACUGGUCAUACUAGCAAUGAAGGAUUGCAUACAUUGAAGACAUAGCUGAAGGCCUUGCGAGAGCUCUGUCAGCCCUUGUACCGGAAAACAGCUGGUCGUAGUCGCUUGUGAAUGAUAUGAUUAAUAGAUACUGCAAAAAUGAAUUGUGCCAUACAUUUUCAGCGCUCUGUGAAGAUGUCUUGGUCAUUUGUUUGAUGCUUGUUUGAUUUAUGUUGUAUUCAGCCAUAAAUCAGAGAUUCAGAACUUGGGUAUGUUUCUGGUUUCCAAAUCAAAAAAUUGCCUUGUGAUGUUAGUGUUCACUGUUUUCACAGGAGAUCAGGUUCCUUGUUAAUGAAUCAAGAAGAAGGCAAGCGCAUCCAUGUCCAAGUUCAAAUGUGUCUCCUCUAUUUUCUAUUACCCACUCAUUUAUUUUGAUUUCUUCAUUGUAAUUGAAUUAGUUUUUUAUUCCAAAUUAGUCAAAACCUCGUAGAGUCAUUAAGUUCUUUUAGCAUUUAAAGACAGAACUACGAACCAAAUGAUUUAAGUUCUUCGUUGUAAUUGAAUUUGCUUUCCCAUCUUUAAAGAUAUUAUGUUCUUUUUCACUUUUUCGAUUUGGUUAGUGGUGAUUUCUUAAAGACUCAAUCCAUUUGCGUUAAUACAUUUUUCUUUUGCCUUGAUUUCUGUUUCUUGGGGAGUUUAUACAUAUUCUUAUUUUAUGCUACACAUGCCAUAUACAGAUUCUUAUUUUAUGCUUCACAUGCCACAUGAAAGGUCAAAGCCUUGUGUGUGAUUAGAAUUUACUGGCAUCAUAGUAACUUUAAACCAUUGUGACGUUUUAGUAAUAACAGUCUGAGCUCUCCCUGAAGGAUUCAAAGCAUUUUAUUUUAUAUUAUACUCCUUUAUAUGGUUUGGCUGGUCUCUUUUAAGGCAAUUCCUGUUUAAAGUAAUCAAAAUUUUGAUUUCGAAGUGUCUUUCAACACUACCGCUAGUUCUUUAAGAAAAGUAAAUCGAUUUUGAGUCUUCUGUAUCAUCUGAUUGAAAUACAUGAAAGCACUCUUAGCUGCAAAAGUACACUUGGAGUUAUAAUAGCAUUCUGAAAUCUCCUUGAAGGAUUCAAAAGCUCUUUAUUUGCUAGUCUUUGCUUGCAAUAAACUCCUUUAAUAUACAUUGGUUGAUCUUCUUUAAAGCAAUUACCAUAAGUUCUUUAAAUAAUAAAACGAUUUUGAGUCUUCUGUAUCAUCUUGUUGAAAUACAUGAAAGCACUCUUGGCUGCAAAAAUGCACUUGGGGUUAUAUAUAAAGUCUUCAACAGAAUUUUAUUUCCCCCUUUAUCCUCAUGGUGGUUUUUUUAGUUGUUUUUUAAGAAAUCGCUUGAAGGUUCUCUUUAAAAAUAAUUUUAACAUAAGCAUUCUUUAGAAGCACUUUAGAUGUCUGGCAUUUAGAAAAUUUUGUUCCUGUGUUCACAUAAUAUAAUAUAUAUAUAGAAAGCUGACUGUAGAAUAGAGGAGAACGAGUUGGUGUUGGUCUGAACUCUGAUCUUUGAACCUCAUGUGACUCCACUACUUUUUACUUGUUCUGUACAAGGUCUUUUAGCUUUUCAAAAAGUUUUAGCUUUAUGGAUAAAAUACUGUUAAUUGUAAUCUAUAAAUAAUGAAAGGAAUUAAUAAAAUAUUAGGUAAAUUUUAUUUUCUAAAGUGUUAUGAGUUCUAAAACGGCUGUAUGUAUAUAAAUUUAUUUACACAUAUAUUUAUAAAUAUGAUUAUAUAAUAAUAUUUUAUGUGUACAUAUCAUAAUUGAUAACUAAAAUAAAUAUUUUUAUUUUAUUAAUGGUUUUUUCGUCUCAAUGUAGUUGGUAAUAAUAAUCUCUUUAGAUGUAACGAUUUUAUUUCCUAACUGAAUAAGGAAAAUUUUAGAUUUUUAUAAUAAAUGUUAAAUAUAUUUAGAAUUACAUUAAGUAUGAAAUAAUCCUCAAAAUUAGAUUUUGAAAAGUUAUUCUUUUCUUGCUUUUAAAAAUAUGUCAUAUGAUGAGAUGAUUUUACUAAAAGUGAUUUUUUUAAAAAAAAUUACUAAACAUCAAAAUUAACUCUUAACUUUUUAAAAUCAUUUCUAAUCUUCUCAUCCUAAGUUCUUUAUUGUUUUGUACAAAAUCCAAGGUUUUGACUUUUAUAAAAUGCCCACUCAAAAAUAAAUUAUUUUCUAAUUAAGAUUUGUUGUUAAUGUAUAACUCGAAGUAAUAUUAGAUAUUUGUAAUUUUAUUUCAAAAAUUUUAUUCAAAUGAUAUGGCAAGCAAUGAACAAUAGUUGAUAGCAAUUUGUUUUUUUUUUUAACAAUGUUCAAAUCAAUCAGUUGCAUUAUCUCACCAUUUUUAUGAUGUCAUGUUAUUUUAAAUGAUUUUUUUAAUUUUUAUAUAAAGCAUACGACGUGUUAACAUCAUUUGCAUAACUUGACCUUUUUUUUUUCCUACAAAUAGUAAGUCAAAUUUACUCACCCUAUUUGUACCUAAAAUCUACCUAAAACUCAUGCAUCACUGUAAAGCAAAUCCAAAGAUUGCGGUACGUUUUUCUUGGUAAGAAAUCAAUAAUUAGGUCAAGUACCGCUACUAAGCGUGCUCAAUUAAUUCUAAAAUACGGUGAUCAAACUCAUACUUCACGCAAGAGGAUAAGGGCUAAACCUCAAUUAGGCAUUAUUCAUCCAAAAUUCAUUGACUGGGCAUUCUUUGCAAGUGGUAGCAUGGGACAGCUAAGAUAAUUAGCAAAUGAUAUGGACCAUACGCACCCGUAUGUUUGUGACAUGUGAAUCUUGGCAUUAAAGGAAAGGUAAUGUGUUAAAAUUUAAUAGAGCCCAACUCUUCAUUGAAUGAUUAUCAGAUCCAACGAGCAUCCUUUGAUGGGAUUAUUUUAAGUCAAUUAUUGGUGGAUUGGGGCCCACUUGACUCUACCAAAUCGGGCUCCACCAUAUCACCUAUUAACGACCACCUGUCCUUAUCAUAAAUAGCAAAUGUCACUUGUUUUAUUUUGUAUUUUACCAAAAGCAAAGUCACUACGAGCACUAAUGAAAGUGACCCCAAUUUUGGGGGUCAUGAACUUGGGAUUAUUAUGGACACAAGAGACAAGCGCAAUGUUUCUCAUUUCUCACUAGAUAAGAUUUAAGUUAUCAACCCAAUAUUAAUAAAUUCUGCUUGAAAAGUAAAGUUUGAAGCUUCAUUUUGCGAAUAUUCAAUGGUUAACAUUUAAGGGUGCGUUUGGGAUUGAGGUUGGGCAGCUGUAGCUUAAAAGCUACAGUACUAAAGUGUUUGGUAAACACUAGCUACUGUAGCUUUUAAGCUAUGUUGAUAUAAUUUUUCACUUGUAUAAUAUAAAAUUUAUUAUAUCUUUAAUAAUUUUGAUAAAAUUAUUAUUUAAAAUUUAUAUUUACUAUAUAUUAUUAACUUUUAUUUCAUAAUUACAGCUUUUUUUUCACAGCAGCUGUAGCUUAAAAGCUACAGCACCUCAAUCCCAAACACACCCUAAGUAAUUAACCUGAUAUUAAUCCAAUUAAACUUUUUAUGUAAUCCAAGUCAAACAUAUAUUGAUAAACCUAAAUUAAUCUAAUUGGACAUAUUAUUUCAACUUGAAAAGGUGAAUCUAUCAUUUUUCAAUUAAUUUUGAAUCAAGCUAUGUAAAAUAUAAGCUUAUUAAGGACAUAUUUGAAAAAUUCAAAUUGAAUUAUUUGACAAUUACAUUUCAACUAAGUUGUACUGCUAAUUAACUUCCUCAACUUAAAAUGUAUUUUUCUCAAUUAAUUCGUAACAAAGAAUGUUAGAUGUUUUGUUCGAAUAAUAACAUUCAACAUCCUUAUUCUUUAUGAUUAUUGCAUAAAAAAUAUAUUUUAUCCAUUUACGUCACAUAUGUUCCUAAAUUGUAUAAGAAAAUCACUAAAUUUACUCUUGUAAGUUACUAUAUCAAUGAACAUGAAAUUAACUAAUCAUUAAAGUCUCGGAAUGACAUCAUGAGGGGGAUUCAGUUACAUUUAUUGAUAGGAUUAUAUAUAUACCUUCUCAAAUAUUAGUAAGAGCAAUUAAACAGAUGCAGCAAUUAAAAAUAUGGAAUUACUUAUCUCGUCAAUAACUAACGAUAUUUUUUAUCUAUGCUCGAUAGGCGUCUGAGCUAUAUUAUAAAUUGUAAUAUUUGUAGAUUGUAACAAUUAUUAAAAAAAAAAAAAAAAGCUCCCUAAGACUAAAUGACAAAAGGACUGUUUUGAAAUAGAUAGAUAAAAUAUGCCCUUAUUUGAGAAAAGGUAAAACACUAGGGAUCUAAAUGUUAUUAUAAUCCCAUGCACAAAAAUACCAGAAAAAACUAAUAACAACUAACCGAAAAUCCCAGGCGUCAUAUUCCUUUUUACCGCGUUUUAAAAUGCAACAAUGAUAUCACUACUACAAAAAUGACAUUUACUGACACUUUGUUUCUGACACUUAGUAAAAAGUGUCAGAAAUGGUGUACAUUUGGACCAUUUUCCUCCUUUAACAAGUAUGUAUCAUAAAUCAUUGAUACUAAGGUGUCAGUAGCUUAAAACUCAGUGAUUAUUGAUACUAAAGCAUCAGUGAUAAAAAAAUAAUAGUAUUAAUUUUGUUUUAAUUUGAACUCGAACUCAAGAUCUCUAAACUUAAAAUUUGUAAGUUUAGAGUGCAAACCAUUGAUGCAAGUGUUUUUAAAUUUUCAAUUUGAUUAAUUUUUUUAUUUAAUUAAAUUUUAUACAAUUACUUUGUGGACAAUAAUAAUAAUAAUAAUAGUUUUGAGAAUAAUAUUUUUUAUUUUGCCACAUGUCAGCUUGUAAUUCGUUGUUAAUAAUAAUAAUUUUACUUGACCACGUGUCGACUUAUAGUUUGUUGUUUUAUUAAAUUACAAUGCGAACAACUACACUAUAUAAUUUUUCAAAGUAUAAAAUGAAAAUAAGAAACCCUAAAUCUAACCUAAUCAAACACACCACUUCUUAAGUUGCUGCCGCCGCUCCCCUGCUCCUUGACUUUCACUGCUGCCGGCCGCUGCUCCUCGACUUUCACUGCUGUCGGCUGUCGUUCCUUGACGUCACUGCCGCCUUUGCUCUGCUGUUGCCAAGCUUCAGCCACCGACGACUAGCUAGCCACCUUUCAGUACGUCGCUGCUACCACUUUUAUGCCGUCACAUCAACUUCAGCUCAGCCAGCCACCGUUCCUUUACCGCCGAGAUCAAGAACCAUUUCUUUCUCUUCUCUCUUUUGGUACAGGUAUGAAAAUAUUGCAGAGGAGUUAAUCUGUUAAUUACCUUUCUGUACGUCGCUGCUGUCAUUCGUGUACGUCAUUGCUGCUACUCAUCUUGGUCACUGCUGCCGCUCCUCUGCCGCCACGACAAGCUUCAGCCUUUUUGACAAAACAUUUCACUUGGAAUUAUAAGCAAACCCUUUUGAGACCAUAAAAAACUAAGCCAAUUUCUUUGGUUUCAAGGCCUUGUUUUUUCACUUUGAAAUCGGAUCAUACAAUGACAAGCCAAUUGAAAACUUCUGUUCAAGAUUUCAUUGUUAAAUUCAGCUUUAUUUUUAUUAUUUGUGUUCCUUUCAUUUUCUUUCCCUUUUUUUGAUUUUUAAUUCAAUUUGGGAUUUGACAGAUAUAUUUUUUAAUUUUUAUAAAAAUUUAUCUUAUUUGCAGGAUGCUAAGGGACAGGAUGUUGAUCUUAGCAUCUACAAGGGAAAGGUUCUUUUGAUUGUCAAUCUUGCAUCACAAUGGUGUGCCUCAGCUCCUUUCAUUUUUAAUUUUUUUUCCAUAAUGAUUUAUUGAUUAUUGUUGAUGCUUCCAUUUAAUUAAUGCUAAUACGUGUUAUCUAUCUAUCGGGAGUCUAAAUUUUAUAGAAUUAUAUCAUACUCGGAAGUAUGCAUGCUCCCAAUACAAAUAAGUGUUUAUAAGAGAGGAUUUCACCCAAAAUCUUUAAUUCUUGCAAAAUGCUAGUGGCUCCGUUUGCACAAGUUUAGUUUUCAUCCAUGUUCGUUCCUUUACCAUAGCGGUUCCUUUACCACUGAGGUCAGACACCAUUUCUUUCUCUUCUCUGUUUUGGCACAGGUAUGAAAAUACUACAGAGAAGUUUCUCUAUUAAUUACCUUUUAUGAAAAUAAUAUAUAUAUAUUAUUCACAUGUUUAAUUGAGAACAUCUAAUAAUAUAGUAAUAAUAUAGUGGGCAAACUAUAGGAAGGUUGUUAGUAGACAAUUCUAAUUUUAGCUUUACUUUGCAAAUGAAAGAUUAGAAAUAUUCCGUCGAACCCAUUUUACUAUAUUGGAGGUUUGGGCUAAUCUUGUAUAGAUUUUUGCUCAGAAGAAGGAUGGUUCUCCAAGGGCGGUGGGUUGGUUUUUCUAUAGACUAUUCCCCUAUUUUCCCAUUUUGCUUUUCUUUGAGGAAACCUGGUCCAUUUUUUUUGUGUUUUCUUUCUUCAAUCAAAUAUGUAUUUCUCAAUCUCCUCUCAAAAAAUACCUAUCUCAUUUUAUUAUAUGUUUAUGAAUUACUAAUUGUAUUUUGUUAGUAUUCCAUGUUCGAAGAAGAAUAUUAGAUUGAAGAAAGAAGAAUAUUAGAUUGAAGAAAGAAGAAGUUGUUCCUUUGCUAAUCGUUUGAAACCCAGGUUUGCACUGAAUCUGAUUUUUAUCUUUAACUUUUUUACUUGACCCAUACUUGAAUCAAAUUUUUGCUCCACUUUCCUUUCUUUCGUCAAUUUAAUUAUCAAUCCACUUCAAACCUAAAAAGAUUUAGUAAUUGGGAAACCCUUUUUUUUUUAAAGAAUUGCAAAGUACUGUAAUUGGAAACUGGGUUCAUGUCUUAAAAAGUAACCUGAUUUGUAAUGUUUGGCUUAUAGUGGCCUUCUAUUUCUGUUUUUCAUCUCGGCUUGGUUAAUUUCUUUACUAGUCGUUUAAAUUUUGUUAAUUUUUAUUUUUCCUCUUUAAGCUCAUUAAAUAUCUUUUUUUUUUCAAUUUAUGGCUUUCGGUCCAACUGAUCAUCGUUGAAUGUGGGCACUAUAAAUGUUAUAGUGCUUGUUAACUUAAUGUAUUUGAUCAUAUAUUAUAGUAUUGUUUACUUUAAAUUUAGACAAUGAAAUAGAUUACAAAAAAAAUAACUUAUGCUUGUCAAGUUGUAGACACCAUCGUUCAUGUCAUCAUUACUGAAUAUUGAUGUACUUAUUAAGUGUUCUCUUUAAUACUUGAUAGAAUACUUUUGGUGAAGCAAUUUUGGUAUCAUGAUUGCAGGCUGUAAUUAACUUGGGAACGUGUAGAUUCUACAAUUUCUUUUUCUGAUUCCUUAACUUGCUUCUUUUAAUCCUACUCUUCUAUGUUGAAGUAAUUUAUGAAUAUUUUUGCUUCAAAAUAACUAAGAUAUAUUUUUCACAGUAUACUAAUUGAUUUUAUGCAUUUGUAGGUGGGAAAAAAAUGAAGCCGUGGAUGGAUAUUGAGUGACCUUGUGCUUUUUUUUUUUUUUUUUUGGGUUGGAAACUUAAUUGAGUAGUAGUUAGCACUUGUUGUUUAGAGAUUGUUGAAAAUUUAAUUUGAUACUUAUGUUAAGUCUUUUACAUAUAGUGAUGUAGUUGAAUUGUGUGAAUUUAUGUGAUGUAUUUGAGAUGUUUAUUAUAUGAAUUGUGUUGCAAGAUAUUUAAUAAUAAAUAUAUUUCGUGUUUUCUUUUGGUUGUACAACAAACACGAAAAAUAUAAUUAAAAUAAAAAUAUACUAUUAACCAAAAGCAGUAUAACAUUACUAAAUACUGACACUACAUAUUUAAAAUAACAAUAAGAAUUUUUUAUAUUAUCGAGUCAGUUUCUGAUACUAUAGUCACAUAAAUUACUGACAUGUAAAUAGUAUCAUUAAAUACCAACAUCAUCGUGUCAUUAUUUUAGUGAUACUAUAGUGAAACAAAUUACUGACACAAAAAUUACUGACACCAAAAAUUAGUGUCAGUGUGUUCUGGCUUGAGCAACACUGACACAAUUAACAAGUGUCAAUAAAAGUAAUUACUGACGCUAAAUUAGUGUCAGUAAAACUCAUUUUUCUAGUAGUGUAUUCUCACAAAAGUUGGUACAAAGGUUUGUACAACCAGGGCCUCUUUGUAAAUUAUUUCAAAGUUUUGUGUUAUUUUUUAAAUUUAUGAAUUUUGUUAAUUUUGAUUGAUUGGAGCAUUUCUCCUUCCAUCUCUUCUACAUCUAUCUUUAAAUUUCUUUAAAAUUUUGACUAUAUCUUUAUAGAGUUCUAAAUGAUUAUCUUUUUCAUAAAAAUCUAUACUUAAAUUAAUCCCUGAAUUUAUAAUCAUUUGUCUUCUUUGAGUCAUAGACCAAAUUUUUUCUUCUAACAUAUCUAUAUAUACUCCUAAGCUAUCUUUGCAGCUUAGAUACAUUCUAUCAAAGCUUUCGCAUAUAAAUUGUAAUUUGAGAUCUGCAUCUUGAAUCAACAUGUCUAUAUUAUCCAUUGUUUUACGCUCGAUUUUGAGUUCUAUUAUUAGUCUUGCACAUGUCUUGGAUUAUUUCGAGGGUAGUUAAAAUUGAUUCUAUUAAUGCUAUCCUGUUUUCUUCUUCAAAAGAAUCAAAUAUUUCUGAAUCAUUAAUUUCUUUUAUUUCUUCAUACAAGCGUUUGUUUGUCGCUAAUCUUGUUUUAAUCAAGGAAACUGUAUAAGCAGCUUGAUAUUCUUGACAAAAGUCUAAAUGAUCUAUUGCAUCUAGAAAUUUAUUAAUAGAUCUUUCCAUUUUUAAGAAAUUGAGUUACUCUUAUCACUUCCAAUCUUUUAACAUCUCAGAAAACAAACAAGGCCCAACAUGCUUCCGUUUGUAGCUAAAAUAAAAGAAGAGUUCAUAUCACUAACCAGUGUAAUAUCUCUCGGAAUUCUGAGAUAGACUCACUAAUUGCCUCUAACCAUAGAGAGGUCCAUGGUUAGCACCACUAUAGCUCCACAUAUCAUACAAAAUCACUUCAACGACUGUUCCAUAUGGCCCAAAGCAACACACAGCAGACUGGCCUAAUAGGAUAUGUUUAAGUGAUUUUCUUGCAGUUGUCUCUGGAAGAGUGCUUAGUAAUAGAAAAUCUUCUUCGUUUAGUACAAGUAUUGGCAUGUAAGGUUCUUGGUUAAUUUUUAAAAGAUGUAUAAGAUAUCUAGAAGAUGAUAAUUUCACUCAAAAGAGUUUUAUUUAUUCCAUCAUUGAAAUUGUUUACAGAGGAAGGUUACAGAGAAUACAGAGGUAAUUGAAGGUUAGACAUCUGAUAUAUUUCCUUUCUUACAUGCUUUCAUUUAUAUAUCUCUCUAGAGAUAAGAUUAUUUCUUUUACAUAACACAUGUUCGAUCCUUGUGGUGGAAUCUCAAUUUCCUUUUGAUAAGGUGACCCCUUCUUUAUCAUUGAAGCUAGUAGUUGUCUUCUUUUCAUGUUGGCAGACAUGAAAUAUCUGGUUCUGGUGAGCUUUUUCUUUUUUGGAAUCUGUCUUUUUGAAUUAUUGAUACUUUUUGGAUAGCACCUUUUAUCUUUUUCAGUGGUCCUCGUCACGUGCCAAUUAUCAGAUCUUCAUCUAUAGACAUGUCUUCCCCACUAGAAUCUCUUUUUUUGAUCCUUCGUAGUAGUAGCCACAUGAUGAUUGAUGCUUUAGCACCUUAUAUAUCUCGUGGUGUGUUAGCAAGGUGGAUUCCACGAGAUUUUCGAAUAUGCCCUUUUUCUUUUCUAAUAUGUUAUCCUCAUCUUUAUCAAAUUCACAUUUACAAUAUAAUUCUUUGAAGCUACAUGUAUAUUCUUCUAAAUAACAUAUAUUACAUAUUUCAAGCCUUGUUAGCUUCAUUAAAUUUUCUAUCUGUUUUCUUUUUAUUUCUUGUUGAAAAUCAAUUUCCUAAUCUUCUCCCAAGAAUUUUUUUCUUAUUUCAUUUUUGAAUCUAUUUAAAACCUGAUCAACACUUUCGUUUCGAUUAUUAUUUUCUCCAUACAAUAUUCUAUUUUUAUGGUUAUCAUUUAAUCCCAUAAACCAAUGAGAAACAAUUCCUAUAAACGAAAUUUUAAGGAAUUCUAUACUAUUAUCCCUAUCAAUUUUGUGAAAUGCAAAAGCCAUUUUCAUAGAUUUAACCCAAGCGGUAAUCGUUUUAUCUCUAUCUUUGAUACAGUCUAAAUCUAACCAUACACCAUCAUGGUUGAUUGGUCUUUCUCUAUAUUCUCCUGGAGUUUUAUAAUCUUUUUUAGGCUUGUUAAUCCUAAAAUAUUGACCUUGUAAUCUUUCCUGAGUUGGUAUUUCUUCCCUAACAUAGGAAGCUCCAUUACUAGUUUCUCCUUGUUAAAAACCAUUUGGCUUUGAUUCAUUCAUUUUUAGAUGUUCUAUUCUAUUUUCAAUAUCCUGCAAAUUAAUGACUAUAUCACCUUCUUCUUCGGAUUCAGAUUCUUUAUUAGAUAUCUCUUGAUUAGGUAAUUCUAUGUUUUCACUUAGCAUUCUUAGACUUAUUAAUUUUUUGUCUUUGUUUAUUUUGUUAAAUAUCGGUUUAGAUAUUGUUAUCAUUUCUUUAUCUUUAAGUUCAUUAUAGUAAAUUAUGGUAUCUUGUAAAAUUUUGUUUUGUUUAUUGAUCUUCUGUACUUCAAUCCUUUUGUAAUUUUCCAUUUAUGCUUAUAGCGAAUUUAUUACCAAGUUGUUCAACAAUUUUUUCAAAUUUUUGUAGUUGGAUUUCAAUCUUGUUUGAAUUUAUUUUCAAUUGAACUUUUGUUCAUAAUAUUAAAGAUUUCUUGUUUUAAUCUAUCUUGAUCUUCAAUAUUAAAGUCUUUUAUUAAUAGCUUAACAAAAUCAAAUUCUUCACUCAUUCGCUCUCCUAUCAUUUUGACUUGUCUUAUAUUUUCAGCAUCAAAGCUUUUAAUCUCAAGUAUCUCAUUUAUACUUUCUAUAUCAUCUAUGGUUAAAUUAGGGUUUCCUAAUUUAUUUAAUAAAUAUAAUGAAAUCCAAUUUAAUUGAUUAUUUCCCCACAUAUCGGAAUCAUUUACUAAAUCAAAUGGUUGAAAUCUUCCAUAAGUAAAUCCUCUAUGCCUAUAGCUAGAAGGUGGUAAUAUGUUGGUUUCAAUAUUUUGAGAAAUUAACAAUGGUUUUGGUAAUUUAUUCAUAGUACCAUCUGCAUAAUAUCUCAUUAUAUUCUAAUAAGUAUUUAUGACAUAUAAUAUUUCUUAUAUCCUUAGGGAUAUUGUUUUAUGUUAAUCCUUUAUGUAUAUAGCAAAGUUUAUACAUAAUUAAAUCUUUAUAUCCUAUUAGCAUGUUGCUAGAAGGAUAAUAUUUACUUCUGAUUCUUUUAUUUUUCCAAUUGUAUUCACCUCGUUGUUUAACAUUUAAAAAUCCGUUGUAAUCUAUUAUAAGAUCAUCUACAUAAUCUUCAAUAGAGUUAAUAUUCCAUUGUUUCCAUGAAAAAUUAUUUCUAUAUACUUCUCUCCUGAUCCUAAAGAGAAGAAUAGGAUCAAUAUUUAAAUUUCUAAUUUUUAUUAUGAUGAGUUCUCCAAUUUUAAAUUCAUGAACUCUAACUAAAUAAAACUGUAUUAAUUGUUUAUCAUCCAAUAUAUUAACUUCUGAAUAAUAAUAUUGUUUAUGUUUUGUUAUAUUAUCUUUAAUUGUAUUUCUAUCUAUCAUUAAAUUAUAUCUUCCAUUAUUAAUGGAAUAAAUAACUGUUUCGUCUAUUUUUAUAUUUUAAACCAAAAACUUGGCUCUAAUACCGUUUUGCAGAAAUCAACUAAACCCAAAAUCCAAAUGAAUUCAAAUAGGGAUGUAUAUGAUUAAUUGUUAAGAUUUUAUCUAAAUUUUGUAAUUAUAAUUUUUCAAAACUCACAGUUUUGUGCAAUCAUUUGUGUAAUCCGUUGUGAGAAUGUCUUUUUCCUUGCAUCUAAGGCAACAAAGUGGAAAACGCGUACCAACGACUCACAUAACAAUAUAACAUCUGUCCCGGAUGGAGCCGGUUGUUCAUGUCAGCAACCUACUUUGAAACGACACGUGGACCGCAAUUUGUUCUUGUUCUCAACGUUGCUAUGAAAGAAAGCAUUUUUUUCCCCUUUUCUUCUUCAUUUUUUAAAGAAAUAUUUUACUAUAUAUUUAAAAAAAAAAAUCGUUGCAAUCUGAAGAUAUUAAAUUGUGGAUCUUGUAUUGUGUGAUAAGUCCGGCAUGCAAUUUUGGGCCAGCAUACCGCGCGCAUGGGAGCAUUCACAAAGAAUCUCUCGUCACUAUCGAAAACUUUUAAUAGUCAAUACAAAUGCUUCCGUUUCAUCCCAUAAACAGAUAAAAUUCACAUCUGUACACAUCUACUUUUCUUUGCUAGAUAGAGUUCCUCUGCAUUUCCCAAUUGCCUAAAGAGAAGGGGAAAAGAAAAAGAGGGCCAAAAAAUGCCUGAAAUGGUAAGGAACAAGCAAGUGAUAUUGAAGGACUAUGUGUCUGGUUUCCCAAAAGAAACAGACAUGUACAUGACCGAAAGUUCCAUAGAAUUGAAGGUGCCAAAAGGUUCAAAUGGGGUUCUUUUAAAGAACUUGUUUGGGAGAAAUACGUCGACGAGACCAGGCAUGGUGAGCAUAUAUCUGAUGGCAGAGUUCUGCGAACCGGUGUGUUCCGUAAAAGCCUGGUGCACGGGGGAACAGGAGCAGAAGUAUCCUGCUCGUCCACGAGCACGUCAUCCGCGAGGCCAAUUUCCUGUAAGAGGCAUAAGGUCAUUCCGGCUAGAGGUCGAGAGGCGAGGAGACCCGGUCGACGGCAGUUGGCAAGACAUGCUCCCCAGCCCGAGAAUCUAGGCACGACAGCCACGCUUUCCCCAGAACCGUGGCGUAACACGCAAGAUCUCACAGAACCACGACAGCCACGCUUUCCCCAGAACCGUGGCGUAACACGCAAGAUCUCACAGAACCACGACAGCCACGCUUUCCCCAGAACCGUGGCGUAACACGCAAGAUCUCACAGAACCACGACAGCCACGCUUUCCCCAGAACCGUGGCGUAACACGCAAGAUCUCACAGAACCACGACAACCACGCUUUCCCCAGAACCGUGGCGUAACACGCAAGAUCUCACAGAACCACGACAGCCACGCUUUCCCCAGAACCGUGGCGUAACACGCAAGAUCCCACGUUUGCCCAUAACGCAGCAGUCAGAGUCCCAUACCGUCUCGGAAAAAGCGGAAAACUGGGAUUCAGGGGAAGCCUAUAAAAAGGUAGCCAACGAAGGUAAAAGGGUUGGCAUUUUUGAGAUUAUAAAAGAAAUGAAAAAAGAAGAGAAAACGACGAGAAAGCCAUAAGAUCUGUGGCAAGUGUCCCCCGAACCUUCAUAUCUGACUUGAGCGUCGGAGGGUUUGCGCCGGGAAAACAACCGGCGUACUCUGACUUGUCUGUGUGCGCAGGAACCUCUGGAGAAGAAGCCUCACGUGGAGACCUCCUGGUCGUGAAGAAGUUGAUCGGACAGAGAUCCUGGUCGUAGAACGAGGAGAACCAGAAUCCCGCAUCAACAUUUUGGCGCCGUCUGUGGGGAGUGGAGCAAAAAGCUUCUGUUGAUAGCAAGAAGAGGGGUGAAGCAAGUGAAAAGCAAUGGAGACAGGAGGAAGUAGUGCACAAGGGGGUGAUAGGAUUAACGAUUCCGUGACGCUGAGGGAGAUAGUCAGUGAAGCACGGGAAAAAGUCAUGUUCGACCGGAUGGAACGGAUAGAAAAGCAGAUGGAGACCUUGACAACCAUCCUGCAUGAGCUGCGGAGCGAGCGAAGUAUAAUCCAAGAGGGAAGGGUGAGAGGCGGUGGAGUGGCACCAGGUCCCGAUAGUGCGGGGAGAAGUCAAACCACCGGGAGAUUUGGUGGUGAGAGAGGUAACGUACCUCUGCGGGGAGAAUUUCAUAGAGAAAGAGAGCAGUCCCCGGCAAGACAGACUGGCGACGAGGACGACGGGGUGGUGAAUGCAGAGGAAACAGAGUUGAGGCAACACUUGCAUGAUGUAGAGCAAGAGCGGGAUUAAGUCGCAGCACGUGACCCUGGUCGUGCAGUGCAGCUGGAGGAGGAAGUGCGCAGACUAGCGCAGAUAAUCGACGACAUGCAAGGAAGGAACAGAGCCCCUGGUUGGAGGAUAAUGCUGGAUGGAGAAUCACCGCUCGCAGCAGAGAUCAUGAGGGCAGUUAUUCCGAGAGAUUUCCGCCUCCCAGACCUCAGAUACUCGGGAAGAACUGAUCCGUUGGUGCACAUAGAGCGCUUCAACGACAUAACUAGGGUACAAGGAUUAUCUCAAUCCCAAAGGUGCAGAGUGUUCCCACUAUCCCUUGAGGGACGUGCACGAGAAUGGUACAGGAAACUUCCUCGGGGCAGCAUUAAAACCUUCGAGCAGAUGUGCUAGGAAUUCGCGGAGCAGUUUAGUGGGGCAAUGGCGCCGGAAGAUGACAUGAUGGAGCUGAAAAGCAUGAAACAGGGGGAGCAAGAAACCCUUCGGGAAUUCAUCAAGAGGUUUCAUCGGGCUGUCCUCGACUUGGGAGCCUUCAACCACCCUCAGGCGUUAAGGGGAUUGAAAGAAGGGGUGAAGAUAGGAAGGCUGUGGUACAAUUUGAGAAGCCCAGCUAUUCAAACGUAUGCAGCCGCAUACGAACAGGCUAAGAGAGACAUCGAGAUUGAAGAGGAGAAGGCUGCACGGAUUAAGACAGACCAGUUAGAAGGGCUGGGGAGGAAAGAGAAGAAAGCAUUACCGGGGAAUGGGCCGAUCAGGAGGAGGGACCACCAGGCCUCCGGUAGUGGAGCAGGAGGUCGGGUAGCCGCUUACCAGCCUCAUCAAAGGCCACCACAGUAUCAGCGCAGCAGGGCGCAACCUCCUCGUUCCCCAGCUAGGGAGCCUUGGAAAAGGCAUGAGUCGGCAUCUGGUGGUCUCCAACAACACCCCCACGGUAUCAGAGCGAGCAGACCAGAAGUACUUCCACCGCCCCCAACUCAGAGCGGGGCAAACAGGGAAAGAGCAGUGCACCUGAUCGACCAGAACCCGGACUAUGGGCGGUACACUUCCUUGAAGAUGUCCCUGGAUGAGGUGUACGAGGCCAUAAAGGAUCGAGGGCUGCUACACCUCCCUACACCAAUAACAAAGCUACCUAACAGGAGGGAUAGAGGACGUUAUUGUAAGUUCCAUGGCACCCAUGGCCAUACCACAGCAGAGUGUAGAGAUCUCAAGACCCAGGUCGAAGAUUUGGUGAGAAAUCGGUACCUGGACGAGUUUAUGGAUGGGACUUUCCCGAUGGGGGCCACAACAGGUGAAGGGGAGCAGAGUGGCGGAAACGUGAGGCGCGAGCAGCCCGCAGUAAGGGUGAUAGCUGGGGGCCCGACAUUGGCCGGAGAUUCCAACAGAUCGAGAAAAAAUUAUGCUAGGUACGCCAUGACCAGUAAAGAGGUACUCCUCAACACCCCAGCAGCCAAACGAGCAAGGGUCAGGCAAGUGCCAAUCAUGUGGACGGAUGAGGAUGAGGAAGGGAUUCUAUACCCCCAUGAGGAUGCUUUAGUCAUCAAGGCUACUGUCGCUAGCAAGAAGUUUGACCGGAUACUGAUUGAUACAGGGAGCUCAGUUGAUGUGUUAUUUAAGUCAACCCUGGAAGAGAUGGGAAUAGCCGACCGGAAGUUGGAAUAUACCAAUACCUCCUUGAAGGGGUUCGGAGGAGGGAAGCUGGUCCCUCUGGGCGUGGUCGAGCUGCCUAUCACAAUUGGGAGCUCCCCGACAGAAAGAACAAUGAUACUGGACUUUGUCGUAGUGGAUGAGGAAGGUCCUUACCAGAUGAUCCUAGGUCGGCCAUUUUUAAGGAUGAGCAAAGCGGUGUUGUCCAAUCAUUAUCUGGCUCUGAAGUACCGGGUGAACGGGGUAGUAGGAGUGGUACGAGGAGACCAGAGGAUCGCAAGAAGCUGCUACUCCUCGGCAGCAAGGGAAGCAAUGCAGAUAACAUCCCUCGAUACCCGAGUGGAAAACAAGAAGGGCAGACAAGAACCUGUAGAGGAUCUGGAAACAGUAAGCCUGGGACCAGAGAACCCGGGAAAGAUGAUCAGAAUCGGGUCGAGACUUAAGGGAGAGCAAAAGCAGGAGUUGGUGAAAUGCUUACAGGCUCAUGCUGAUGUGUUUGCUUGGACACAUGAAGACAUGCCAGGGAUUGACCCUGAGGUAGCAUGUCAUAAGCUGGCAAUAAAGAAAGGUGCUCGGGCAGUAAGGCAGAAGAGGAGGUGUUUCAACCAGGAGAGGUAUGAGGCUAUAAAUGGCGAGGUGGAGAAGCUCUUGAGAGCAGGGUUCAUUCGGGAAGUCAGUUACCCUGAGUGGAUAUCGAAUGUGGUGUUGGUAAAGAAGGCAAACGGCAAGUGGAGGAUGUGUGUGGAUUUCACAGACCUCAAUAAGGCGUGCCCAAAAGACAGCUUCCCUUUACCAAAGAUCGAUCAGCUAGUAGAUUCAACGGCUGGACAUGGUCUGCUUAGCUUCAUGGACGCGUUCUCGGGAUACAACCAGAUCCCCAUGUACGAGCAGGAUGAGGAGAGCACGGCUUUCAUCACUAACCAAGGUUUGUUCUGUUACAGGGUAAUGCCAUUCGGUCUCAAAAAUGCCGGGGCCACCUAUCAAAGGCUGGUGAACAAAGUCUUUAAGCCGUUGAUUGGGAAAACCAUGGAGGUGUACGUGGAUGACAUGAUCACCAAGUCCAAAAUCCCGGAGGAACAUGUCAGACACCUCGAGGAGACAUUCGAGCUUUUGAGGAAGUAUAAGAUGAAGCUCAACCCGGAGAAGUGUGCUUUUGGGGUCGAGUCGGGGAAAUUCCUUGGAUUCAUGGUGAGCCAUAGGGGGAUUGAAGCAAAUCCCGAGAAAAUCCAGGCGAUUGUGCAAAUGACGUCUCCCCGUAACCUGAAGGAGAUGCAGAGCCUCACGGGGAGGUUGGCGGCGUUGAGCAGAUUCAUAGCCAAGGCUACAGAUAAGUGUCAGCCGUUCUUUCAAGUGAUGAGGAGGGGAAAGAAAACAGAAUGGACCUCAGAAUGCGAGGAAGCCUUCCGGAACUUGAAGCAAUACUUGCAGCAAGCUCCGCUGCUGUCCACACCGAGGGAUGGGGACAAGUUAUAUCUGUAUUUAGCGGUAUCGGCUCGGGCCGUCAGUUCUGUUCUGGUGAGAGAGGAAGAAGGAGUUCAGUAUCCGAUAUAUUACACCAGCAAGGCCCUGCUCGACGCUGAGACCAGAUACCCACCGUUGGAGAAAUGGGCACUUGCCCUUGUGGUUGCUGCUCGGAAGUUGAGGCCAUAUUUUCAAGCAUUCCCGGUCUUGGUAAUAACAAACCAGCCAUUGCGUCAAACUCUGCACAAGCCAGAUGCCUCUGGUCGGCUCGUCAAGUGGGCUGUAGAGCUGAGCGAGUUCGACAUAGACUAUAAGCCCCGCGCAGCGAUAAAAGCCCAGGCAAUGGCCGAUUUCGUAGCUGAAUUCACAGAGCCCGAAGUAUGCUUAGAUCAACAAGAGGCAGAUAUAGGCAAUGACGAAACUCAAGUAUGGCAGAUGUCUGUGGAUGGGUCAUCAGGGGAGCGGGGUUCAGGAGUAGGGAUUGUCUUGGAAGGCCCAGAGGGGGAGGAGAUCUCUUAUGCUGUAAAAUUGGAAUUUGCAGCCACGAAUAACCAGGCAGAGUAUGAAGCCUUGAUAGCAGGUCUGGAAUUGGCUAAGGCCGUGAAAGCAAACAAAGUUAAGAUCAGAACUGAUUCCCAGCUGGUAGCGAAUCAUGUCAGUGAAAGAUUCCAACCAAGAGAGGAGAAGAUGGGGCAGUACCUGAAGAUAGUCAAGCAGAUGAUGGGGAAGUUCGAAGCAGUGGAGGUGAUACAGAUCCCCAGGGAGCAGAAUAGUCGAGCAGACAUUUUGGCUAGGAUGGCAGCAGUAGCCGACCCAAAAAUGCCAAAGUCGGUCCCUCUGGAGGUGAAGUCCGGCCCAAGUAUCGAUCAGAAUUUGGGGGUGAUGCGGAUAGAACAAAAAUGCUCGUGGAGGGACCCGAUAGUUUCAUACCUUAGAGACGGGGUAUUACCACCAGAUAAGAUGCGAGCUCGCAAGCUUAGAGCCCAGGCCUCGAGAUACACGAUGAUUGAUGGGGUACUGUAUCGGCGAGGAUAUACACUACCGUUCCUUCGGUGUUUGGAUGAGGACGACGCGGAUUACGUACUAAGAGAAGUACACGAAGGAAUUUGCGGAAAUCAUUCUGGCGGGAGGUCCCUGGCCCAUAAGGUUCUAAGGCAGGGAUAUUUCUGGCCGACAAUGCACCAGGAUGCGCAAGAGAAGACCAGGAGUUGUGUAAGUUGCCAGAGUUUUGCAAAUUUCUCUAACCAACCACCAGAGAAGCUUACCUCCAUGACCUCCCCCUGGCCAUUUGCUCAAUGGGGAAUUGAUCUGAUCGGCCCAUUGCCAAAGGCACGGGGAGCAGCAACACAUGCAAUAGUUGCUAUAGAUUACUUCACGAAGUGGAUAGAGGUAGAAGCCCUUAGCAGGAUCACAGAGAAGAAAACAACAGACUUCGUGUGGAGAAACCUGGUCUGUCGAUACGGGAUCCCUUAUGCCUUGGUAACGGAUAAUGGCAGGCAGUUCGAUAACCACAGCUUCAGGGAUUUCUGCCAGAACCUCGGGAUAGAGCUGAAGUAUUGCUCGCCUGCUCACCCUCAAUUGAAUGGACAAGUAGAAGCAGCCAACAAGACCAUCAAGAGGCUUUUAAAAACCAGGCUUGGAGCAAAAAAGGGUGCGUGGGUUGACGAGCUGUCAGGUGUGCUAUGGGCAUACAGAACAACCCACAAAACCGCAACUGGGGAGACACCGUUCGCUUUGGCUUUCGGACAUGAAGCGGUCGUGCCGGCUGAGAUAGGAACGACCACACACCGGACAAAUCAUUUCAAUGAGCAGGAGAACGACGAGCAGAUAUGUUUGAAUCUUGAUCUGCUAACGGAAAGGUGGGAGCAAGCAGCCGAGCGAUCAGUCAUUUACCAACAGAGGGUUGCUCGGUAUUAUAACCAGAAGGUGAACAUACGGCAAUUCAGGGUCGGAGACUGGGUACUGAGAAGAGUGAAUCAGAGCACCAAAGAUUCGACUCAAGGAGUGCUGGGACCGAAUUGGGAAGGGCCAUAUAGAGUCAAGCAGAUAGCGGGACCCGGAGCUUACAGGCUGGUUCGCACGGACGGCCACGAGGUGAAACGCCCAUGGAACGCAGCACACCUCCGAAAAUACUUCCAGUAAGACUUGUUCACAUGUGAAAACUAUUUUUGCUCAUGUUCAUUACCGUUUAUCUUUCACGCUUAUUGUCCAAACAAUUUCAUGUAAGUCGAAUCCUGCCAUUAAUGGAACGUCGAGGAAUUUCUUUCGCUUGAAACCGAGAAAAUUUUCCAAGGCAUGCAAAGGCUCACCAAGUCUCAAAGCCUGUCUUAUGGCGAGACAGAAGCCAAGCAUGCCAGGAUCUGCUCGGCCACGAGAAGGCAAGCAGAAUCCCAAUCCUCGAAGAAUCCAAGGCAUGCAAAGGCUCACCAAGUCUCAAAGCCUGUCUUAUGGCGAGACAGAAGCCAAGCAUGCCAGGAUCUGCUCGGCCACGAGAAGGCAAGCAGAAUCCCAAUCCUCGAAGAAUCCAAGGCAUGCAAAGGCUCACCAAGUCUCAAAGCCUGUUUUAUGGCGAGACAGAAGCCAAGCAUGCCAGGAUCUGCUCGGCCACUAGAAGGCGAGCAGACUCCAAAGCAUUCGAAGAAAUGCCCAAGGCAUGCAAAGGCUCGACAAAGUCUCAAAGCCUGUUUUAUGGCGAGACAGAAGCCAAGCAUGCCAGGAUCUGCUCGGCCACUAGAAGGCGAGCAGACUCCAAAGCAUUCGAAGAAAUGCCCAAGGCAUGCAAAGGCUCGACAAAGUCUCAAAGCCUGUUUUAUGGCGAGACAGAAGCCAAGCAUGCCAGGAUCUGCUCGACUACUAGAAGGCGAGCAGACUCCAAAGCAUUCGAAGAAAUGCCCAAGGCAUGCAAAGGCUCGACAAAGUCUCAAAGCCUGUUUUAUGGCGAGACAGAAGCCAAGCAUGCCAGGAUCUGCUCGGCCACUAGAAGGCGAGCAGACUCCAAAGCAUUCGAAGAAAUGCCCAAGGCAUGCAAAGGCUCGACAAAGUCUCAAAGCCUGUUUUAUGGCGAGACAGAAGCCAAGCAUGCCAGGAUCUGCUCGGCCACUAGAAGGCGAGCAGACUCCAAAGCAUUCGAAGAAAUGCCCAAGGCAUGCAAAGGCUCGACAAAGUCUCAAAGCCUGUUUUAUGGCGAGACAGAAGCCAAGCAUGCCAGGAUCUGCUCGACUACUAGAAGACGAGCAGACUCCAAAGCAUUCGAAGAAAUGCCCAAGGCAUGCAAAGGCUCGACAAAGUCUCAAAGCCUGUUUUAUGGCGAGACAGAAGCCAAGCAUGCCAGGAUCUGCUCGACUACUAGAAGGCGAGCAGACUCCAAAGCAUUCGAAGAAAUGCCCAAGGCAUGCAAAGGCUCGACAAAGUCUCAAAGCCUGUUUUAUGGCGAGACAGAAGCCAAGCAUGCCAGGAUCUGCUCGACUACUAGAAGGCGAGCAGACUCCAAAGCAUUCGAAGUAAUGCCCAAGGCAUGCAAAGGCUCGACAAAGUCUCAAAGCCUGUUUUAUGGCGAGACAGAAGCCAAGCAUGCCAGGAUCUGCUCGACUACUAGAAGGCGAGCAGACUCCAAAGCAUUCGAAGUAAUGCCCAAGGCAUGCAAAGGCUCGACAAAGUCUCAAAGCCUGUUUUAUGGCGAGACAGAAGCCAAGCAUGCCAGGAUCUGCUCGACUACUAGAAGGCGAGCAGACUCCAAAGCAUUCGAAGUAAUGCCCAAGGCAUGCAAAGACUCACCAAGUCUCAAAGCCUGUUUUAUGGCGAGGCAGAAGCCAAACGUGCCAGGAUCUGCUCGACCACUAGAAGGCGAGCAGUCUCCAAAGCAUUCGAAGAAUCUCCAAAGGCAUGUGGCAAAACCAUGAGCCAAGCCGGAACCUGCUCGUCUAGACAGAGACAAGCAGAUUCUCAACCGAAAAUUAAUUCAUAAUUACAUCACAAGAAAGUAAUCAAAAACCAUUUUUAUUAAUUUGUUAAUAAUUAACAGAGGGGAUAAUCUUCAUGAACAUUGUUCAUUACAAUACAAGAAAUAUAUCAGGAAGAUGGUGGACCAGUAAGCCCGGCAGCAUCGGUUGGCUGGACCUCCUCAGGUGCAGGAGGGGUAUCACCAGUUGCGUCCGGGGGGUGCUCGCCUCGCCAACAUCAGCAGGGACUGCACGAGCAGGAGAGUCUUCCUCCUCAAUCACGAUCGGCUCUACCCCAUCGGCAUCUUCCUUGGCCGCCUCCUCAUCCAUAUGUUGAGCAACACCAGCUGCAAGGUCAUCCAUCUUCAGAUCAGGGUGUUGCUUCCCGAGGACGGCCAUGAUGCAACGAUAGGAAUGCCGAAGUCCCUGGUCGUACUGGUUGUCAGCCUCCCUCUCCAAGUUCUCGACCUGAGCUCGGUGGGAGUCGCGGAGAGAUUCGAGCUGAGCCUCAUACAUAGCCUUCUGCCUUUGCAGAUCCUCCUUGACCGUGGUAAGCUCCUCCUCGAGGGAAAUGGCUUUUGCUUGAGCAAGUGAUUCUUGCUCUAUUAACUUCAGAUUCUCGAGAUUCAGCUCCCCUGCUUUCUUCUCGGCAACGUCAGCUCUGGUCGUCGCCGAUUGAAUAUCCUCCUUCAUCUUCCGGUCGUAGCGGCCAACCUUAGCCUUGUAAUAGGUGGUCAUGCAGCUGAGGUGGAAAGCGCUAUGCUGCAUGGCCCCCACCAGCUCACCCAAGGUGCGGCCGUCAAAGUCCUCCAAGUCCUUCUUGCUCAUGAGUUUAGUUAACUCAUUGAGGUAGGGGACCAGGUGUUCUGCUCGGCUGUCAGGUAAGCGAGAUCGAGGCCCGACAGGAGGAAAAGAGGAAGCAGGAUCUGUAGCUGCUCCACUAGCUUCCCCGACUUUUACAGGAGCAGGAGGUAAAAUCUUCAAGGGUGGGACCUGCUGCAUGAUGUUGGCCCGCUUUGCAGCAGGGGCAUUCUUAUUCUGGUCCCUCUUCGUGGUGGGAGGUCGGGAACGUUUUCGGGUCAGAGCCCCAAUCACAGCGUCCUCCAUCCUAUGGCCAGGAAGUAUCAAGCGAGACUCGAGCAAGUUGUAUGUAGUUAGCAGUUCUCGGCUCGAGCAGGAAUUGGCUAGUACAGCCUCGACCCGUUUGAGCUGGUCAGGUUCAAGCGGGAAGUGGACACCCCAAGAAACUACAACACAAACAGACACUUGGUUAGAGACAAGCCAAUAAAGCAAGAACAAUUAUGGAUGCAAGACAUCUAGAGCGAGCAGGCAACCUGGGACCGUGAAACGGGGUGGGACGCGACAAUCCUUCCCGCCUAUUUGUGCAACUUGACCCCAAGGACCCCCAGCAAAAAAGAAUUUCCUCUUCCAAGCCCCACCACCACCGGUUGGAAGAUCGGUUAUGGAUUUCCGGCUCUUGGUGCUAGAUUGGAAGUAGUACCAGCCGGCAUCUUUGGGGCUGCUCUUUAGCUGGUACAAGUGCUUCACCUCGUCAACCGUGGGCUCGCUUUGGCAACAUCUGUCCCACAAUAUGAACAGACCAGAGAGCACUCUCCACCCAUUGGGAUUCAGCUGACCAGGAGCUAGAUUUAGCCCGUUAAGUAUCCGGGCAAAGUAGGGUUGCAAGGGACACCUCAGCCCGUACUUAAAGCUCUCUAGAAACAGGGUAACGUAUCCCCUAGGAGGCCGGCUGGGAGCAUCCUUCUUUCCUGGGACCUUGAGAGGUAUCUCACCAGGAAUGCUAUACCUAAGCUGGAGGUCAUUGAGCUCGUCAAACAAGGUCGUGCACGUCAUGUAAUCAAUGGCAUAAUCGCGCGACAAGGCUCUGCCUCCUACUGUACCCCGUUCCUCUAGUCGUGAUGUUCCAGAUGGAGACACCUCACCAGAGUCACCUUCCCCAUUCUCACUUAAGGUGUCCUCAGAGCCAGAAGGUCCCCCCUCACCAUUGCUUCCGCUCGUGGAGGUUGUUUGGGGGGACAUCCUCCUAGCACUAGUCCCGACACUAAACCUAAUGGGUUCUAAGGGGAUCCCGGGGUCAAAAGCCGGAUCAGUGAGCAGACUAGGCAGGAAACUUAGUUCGUCGUCAUCAAUCUCAACGACUUUCUCCUUACCUUUCGACAUUCCCUAAGCCCUAACCACAACACCACCAACUACUACCUAAACAGAAGAGAAGAGAAAUUAUCUACAACUAUCCGAGACCAAGGAGAUAGAAGAAAUACCUGAAGUAAUGGUUCAGUCGGUGAAAGUCAGAGAUGGAGGCCUUUUAUGCCGGAACUUCUUUGCCGGAGAAACAGAGACGGAGACGGAGUGAAUGAUGAAUAUGCCGUUCGAGAGGAUUUGGUUUUCCUAAUGAAGACGGACUCUUGGGUUGCCAGCAUUUAACGGCGCCGAAUCCCGAGGGUCUCAUAACCGUCGGUUUGAAAUUCAAAUGAAGGGGGGGAUUUCUGCCACGUCACCUCGUCCGCAAUUAAAUGCGACAUGACUCUUGGCAGCCUUUUCCAAUCCCACGCGGGCGAGUACUAACGAGUUUCUACUGCUGGUCCACUACAUUACCCAACACCAGAAACUGGGGGACCGGUGUUUGGGAGAAAUACGUCGAUGAGACCAGGCAUGGUGAGCAGAUAUCUGAUGGCAGAGUUCUGCGAACCGGUGUGUUCCGUAAAAGCCUGGUGCACGGGGGAACAUGAGCAGAAGUAUCCUGCUCGUCCACGAGCACGUCAUCCGCGAGGCAAAUUUCCUGUAAGAGGCAUAAGGUCAUUCCGGCUAGAGGUCGAGAGGCGAGGAGACCCGGUCGACGGCAGUUGGCAAGACAUGCUCCCCAGCCCGAGAAUCUAGGCACGACAGCCACGCUUUCCCCAGAACUGUGGCGUAACACGCAAGAUCUCACAGAACCACGACAGCCACGCUUUCCCCAGAACCGUGGCGUAACACGCAAGAUCUCACAGAACCACGACAGCCACGCUUUCCCCAGAACCGUGGCAUAACACGCAAGAUCUCACAGAACCACGACAGCCACGCUUUCCCCAGAACCGUGGCGUAACACGCAAGAUCUCACAGAACCACGACAGCCACGCUUUCCCCAGAACCGUGGCGUAACACGCAAGAUCCCACGUUUGCCCAUAACGCAGCAGUCAGAGUCCCAUACCGUCUCAGAAAAAGCGGAAAACUGGGAUUCAGGGGAAGCCUAUAAAAAGGUAGCCAACGAAGGUAAAAGGGUUGGCAUUUUUGAGAUUAUAAAAGAAAUGAAAAAAGAAGAGAAAACGACGAAAAAGCCAUAAGAUCUGUGGCAAGUGUCCCCCGAACCUUCAUAUCUGACUUGAGCGUCGGAGGGUUUGCGCCGGGAAAACAACCGGCGUACUCUGACUUGUCUGUGUGCGCAGGAACCUCUGGAGAAGAAGCCUCACGUGGAGACCUCCUGGUCGUGAAGAAGUUGAUCGGGCAGAGAUCCUGGUCGUAGAACGAGGAGAACCGGAAUCCCGCAUCAACAGAACUUGUACUUGUCCUGUGAUCCGUACAUGCGACCACGAAUGACCUACAUCGAAGGAUCUUACGUUGAAUCCUUUAAACCUGGCUUGGUUAGUGCACUCGCUCAUGGCCACGCUUUUCAUUUCCAUGGCUUCUUGCUCUUUUGUUAUAGAAAAUUUAUUUUUGGUUGCAGUUUGAUUCGACUGCUAAAAUCUCGUGCGAUAAUUGUAUAAGAUAUCUAGAGUUUGAACUUCUUUCACAUUAGGGUUCAAGGAAGUUAACUUAAAUGAUUUUCAAAAUUUUAAAUGUGUACCAAAGAAUUUAAUUUCAUAGCUUAAACUUAUAUUUUGAUCAUACUCUAACUUUGGACAGGAAAAAUUAUAUUUUUCCUUUAGUUCUUUGCCUUGGUGUAUGUUGUGUGAAGUACUUGUGCUUGAAAAUGAAUUGCUGACACAGAAAUUUCUAUGAAUGCAUGCAGCCCAUAAGUGGAUAUGGGGUGGGUAAAGUUUUGGAUUCAGAGAAUCCAGAGUUCAACAAAGGUGACUUGGUUUGGGGAAUGACUGGAUGGGAAGAGUAUAGUCUCAUUACGGCUCCACACUUGUUUAAAAUUCAACACACAGAUGUGCCUCUUUCUUACUAUACUGGAAUCCUCGGUAAACUUUUUGUUUGCACAAUUUAUGUGAGCAAAUUGUGUCUUCUUUUUCAUAUGUAAAUGUUUUUGAUAUCUUGAUGUGAAGGUAGAAAAUUGCAUGUUUUGAGUUUUUGCAUAUUUGAUGGAAACACAGAACUGUACCUGAAUCUUUCAGAACCCCCUUCUCUUUGAAGUUUGAACACUUUUCUUGAAUGUAUCAACUUUAUUUAUGGGAUAUGUUGCCAAAUUGGAAAAUCUAUUCGUUAUAAAACUUUCCUUUGACAGUUUAAUCUAAGCAGAUGUUAAUUCUGCAAAUAGAGUGUGCCUUAGAUUAGUUUCAUAGAUUUGUCUCCUUCUGUACAGUAAAAACUUUGAGCAUUUUCGCCAUAUUCUGAUCAAUACACUCCAACUAGUUAGUUCUUGAGGCGUUUUAUGGUUUCGUGGAGUGAGGCAAGAUGUAUACGUUUGCAAAUUGGCAAUGUCUUUCUCUUGAUGGGUUGAGAGUUGUGAGUGUCAACAGGAAACAAGACCUCUGUUUUAUGAACUCCAAAAAGUUAUUCUGUUAAAAAGAUCGAGACAGAGGCCAUACUAUAUUUAUUAUUGCUAUAAAAGUGUGAAAAAAUAUUCUUUAUUUAAUAUUCUAAACGAUUGAGCCAUUUAGUUAUGAUACUCUGCUGUAUUGGGGCUAAUAAUCUAAGUCGGUUCAAAGUGGUAAAUUUAUAAAUUGAUAGGUAUGCCUGGUAUGACCGCUUACGUUGGAUUUUAUGAGGUCUGCUCUCUUAAGCAAGGAGAGUGUGUCUUCAUAUCCGCAGCAUCUGGUGCAGUUGGACAGCUUGUGGGGCAGUUUGCAAAGUUAUUGGGUUGCUAUGUCGUCGGAAGUGCUGGAAGCAAAGACAAGGUAUGUAAAAUUAGAAUUUGAUCAACAGAUUUGGAGUGUUUGUUUACAGAGAAAAUCUAAGAGAAAAUGUAAGAAACUUUAGCUGAGAAUAUUCAUUUUGUUCAACUUAAUAACAGAAUGAGAUUACAAAGCUUAUAUACUGCUAUCAAGAAUCAUCUUAACACAUACAUCAUUUUCACGUGUAUUUAUCUUUGAAAGAAGCUAAAUAACCAGCUUAACAAACUCACAACUACUUUGCUGACUGGACUGCCACGUCACCAUAACUAACUUAACUAAUCCAAUCAGUUAAUCACAGUUAACACAUAUUCUUAUCAUCCCCCCUCAAGCUUAAGUUCGGGGAAGGACAUUAAGCUUGGUACGAAGAUAAGCAAACUGAUCAAAAGAGAGGGGCUUGGUGAGAAUGUCUGCAAGUUGUUCUGAACUGGAAACAUGACUGAUCGUGAGUUGCUUCUGGGCAAUAUGCUCUCGAAUAAAAUGAAGAUCCAACUCAAUGUGCUUUGUUCGAGAGUGAUACUUAGGAUUGCUAGCUAAUGCCUCAGCACUCUGAUUAUCACAUUAUAGAACAGGACUUUGAGUUGGCUGAAUUUGCAGUUCUUGAAGCAAAUAAGUGAGCCAAAGAAUUUCAGAGGUUGCCGAAGCAAGAGCUCUAUAUUCAGACUCUGCUGAGGAACGAGAAACAAUGGUUUGUUUCUUGGAGGACCAAGAAAUAAUAUUGUUUCCUAAGAAUACACAAUACCCUCCAGUAGACUUUCGAUCAUCAGGAUCAGCUGCCCAAUCAGCAUCAGAAAAUGCUGUUAAAGUCACAGAGCCUGAAUUGAAGAAUUGAAUCCCAAAGUGUGAAGUAGCUUGAAGAUAUCGAAGAACCCUUUUACAAGCUUGCCAGUGUGCAAUGGUUGGAUGAGCUAGGAACUGACUAAGCUUGUUAACAGGAUAAGCUAUAUCAGGUCUUGUUAGCAACACAUACUGAAGAGAGCCCACAAUACUUCUGUAUAAUGAGGGAUUAUCAAAAACUUCACCACUGUCCUUUGUAAGCUUAUCACCUGGACUCAUAGGAGUAUUAAAACCUUUGCUGUCAAGCAUAUUUACUUUUCUAAGGAUAUCACCAAUGUAUUUGGUCUGAGAUAAAUGCAGUCCCUGAACAGAGGGUGUUACUUCAGUACCAAGAAAGUAGUUAAACUCUCCUAGAUCUUUGAGUGCAAACUCUGAAUGAAGAUAUUGAAUAACAGCCUCAAUAUGUUGAGAAUUAGAACCAGUAACUAAAAUAUCAUCAACAUAUAUAAGAAUGAGCACAAUAUCAUGGUCAAUAUGCUGAAUAAACAUGGAUGUAUCAGAUUUUGAGGAUUGAAAACCUUUAUGGAGUAAGGACCCUUUCAACCUCUCAUACCAAGCUCUAGGAGCUUGCUUGAGACCAUAUAAGGCUUUGUUUAACUUGCAAACAUAUGAUGGAUUUGCAAAGUCUAUAAAACCUUGUGGCUGAUGCAUGAACACAUCCUCUUCAAGCAUACCAUUGAGAAACGCAUUAUUAACAUCCAGCUGUCUAAUCUGCCAAUGAUGCAACACUGCUAGACUGAGGACAACUCUGACUGUGCAAGGUUUCACAACUGGGCUGAAGGUCUCAAAGAAAUCCACCCCUUGAGUUUGAUGAUAACCCUUGGCAACCAACCUAGCUUUGUAUUUGGAAAUGCUGCCAUCAGGGUUAUACUUCACCCUAAAUACCCACUUAUUACCAACUAUUUUAGCAGCACUUUCAGAGGGCACUAGAGUCCAGGUUUGAUUUCUUUGCAGAGCAUCAAAUUCCUCUUUCAUAGCACAAAACCACUUGGAGUCAUGCAAGGCACUUUUGACACUAGUUGGCUCAAGAUUUUCAGUAGCUGCUAGAUAUGACUUGGGUUUGAAGAUACCAGCUUUAGCUCUAGUAAUCAUUGGGUGAGAUGGUAAUGAAGAUGAGUGAGUUGGUUCAGCUGAAGGAUGAGAAUAAGAAGGUUGUGCUGAACUGGAACUUGAUGGAGGAGACAUUGCUGAAUGAAAAUUAGGAGAUGAUGACUCUACAUUGCUACUGUCAACCUGAGCAGAAGUUUGAAGAAAAGAAAGUUGUACUGGUGAAGAAGGGACAUCAACAUUGGAGACUUGUGAGGUAGAGUGUUUUAGAAACAAUUCUGUGUUAGGAAACUCAGUUUCAUUAAAAACAACAUGUCGAGCAACAAACACUUUACCAGAUGAAUUUAAACACUUAUAACCUUUAUGAAGUGGACUGUAACCAAUGAAAAUACAUUUUUGAGUAUGAAAGUCAAGUUUAUGCUGGUUAUAAGGUCUGAGGAAUGGAAAACAGGAGCAACCAAAAACCUUUGGAAACUGAUAGUCAGGCAGAUGAUUAUGUAAUUUCUGAAAUGGGGAUAGAUUGUUUAGAACUGAUGUGGGCAUUCUGUUGAUAAGGAAAGAAGCAGUGUGGAAUGCUUCCCACCAAAAGGAGAGAGGUAACUGUGAUUGAGCUAGAAGUGUCAGACCUGUUUCAACAAUAUGCCUGUGUUUCCUCUCAACAACACCAUUUUGAUGGUGUGUAUAUGGACAACUAUACCUAAAACAUAUACCCUCUUGCUGAAGAAAGGUUUUAAAAGCUAUAAAUUCACCCCCCAUAUCUGACUGUAGUGUUUUGAUAGACAAGGAGAACUGUUUUUCAACAAGAAGUUUGAAGUGUUUGAAGGUUUCUAAGGCUUCUGACUUUGCUGUGAGAGGAAAAAUCCAAGAAUAUCGAGUGAAAUCAUCCACAAAAGAGAUAUAAUAUCUGUAUCCACUCAUUGAAUAUUCAGGAGCUGGUCCCCAUAAAUCUGUAUAUAGAAGCUCAAGUGGUGCUUUUGUUUUAAUGGUAGUGACAGAAAAAUGAAGCUGAUGCAUUUUGCCAUGUUGACAAGCAUCACAGAAGCUAAUGAAUUUAUUUGAAAAGCAAUGUGUGGGAAGACUUUUAAUAAUUGUUUGCAAAGCAUGUUUAUUGGGAUGACCAUAUCUAUUAUGUAACAACUGAACUGAUAUCUUUCCAGCUCUAGAAGAAUUUCCAGAAACAGAACAUGCAAAAGCUUCAGACAUAUUUACAUUAUCCAACUUUGACACAUGAUUAUUUGACUCUGGUAAAGAGUUUACAACUUUAUUAUCAAAACAAAAUGACAACAUGGAACUUGGUUUAAAAAGAUUUGGAUUGCAAUCUGCAGAGUAAGGAGAGAAGACAUCAAGUGACAGUAGCUUGUAAAGACCACCUUUAACAAUCCCCUGUGCCAGCAAAGUUCCCUCCUUCUUGUCCUUAAUAAAGCACAUGGUGGAACAAAAUUCAAUGAUUAUGUUAUUAUCCAAAAGAAGUUUAGAUAUACUGAUGAGGUUUUUGGUUAUUUUAGGAACACACAAAGUAUUGGUUAAGGAUAAACAUGUGCCAAAAGAAGUAGAAAGAUGAGUGCAGCCAAUAUGUGUGAUAGUAAGACCUUGUCCAUUUCCAACAAACAACAGUUGAGUACCAUUAUAAGGAUUACCUUCAACCAGGUUUUGCACAUUGUUGGUGAGAUGAUGAGUGGCUCCACUGUCCAGAUACCAUCCCUGAUCAGCAACUCCUUCUGAGGUAGCCAUAUAAGCUGUUCUUGGCCCUGGGUUCUGCAUUGGAGAAUUUGAAACAAAAUUUCUGUUAAAUCUGUUUCUACAAUCAACAGCUGAAUGGUUUGGUUUAAAACAUAUUUGGCAGGUAAUAUUUCCUCUGCCACCUCCUCUACCAAAGCCACCAGAGGACCCUGGAUUUCCACCAUUAAAACCACCAUUUCCACUAAAUCCACCAGUAUUUCCAUUAAAACCACCAGAGUUUGAACCUCUUCCUUGGUUUCCAAACCAGCCUCUCCCUGAGUUUUGAUCCAUAAAGCCACCUCUGCCAGAUCCAUAACCUCCUCUAUUGUUGAAAUUUCCAUUUCCAUUUCUAUUCACAAAAUUAACAUUCCAAUUACCCUGGUUAUUAGUAUUCCAAUUAGCAUUGCUUCCUGACUUCUUCUGAUUAUUACCAGUCUGAGCCACAUUAGCACUAAAAUUCACCUUAGUUUCCUUAGCUACACCAGAAUGAUUACUCUCAAGCCUAGCUUCAUGAGAUAGCAACAUAGAAUAAGCCUCAUUGAUGCUCAUUUUAAGAGCAUUUGCCUCAAUAUAAACUACAACAGGAUAGUAAGCCUGACCUAGCCCUGAGAUUAAAUGUGUAAUGAAGUCAAUAGAGCUAACUGAACUUCCAGCCAUUGCUAAUUCAUCAGUUACUGACCUUAGUUUACAAAAAUAUUCAGUAAUUGACAUGGAUCCUUUCUUAAGAUUGUUUAGCAGCAUCUUUAAAUGCACUUUCUUAGCUGCUGUUUCAAAUCCAAACUGUUCCUCUAAGCUUAUCCAAAGUUCUCGAGAGUUUUUAGAAUUUACCACAAUGCUUAAGAUCUCCACACUGAUUGAAGAUAGAAGCCAGCUCAAGAUCAUCUGAUCUUGCCUUUUCCAAGUAGUGUAGGCAGGAUUUUCUGAGAUGACUGCCGCAUCUGUGCUUGUUGAUUCACCAGUCAGCAGCUGGUUUGGACAGGUACGUGAUCCAUCAAGAAAACCUUCCAGAUCAUUUGCUCGAAUGGCUGAAAGGAUCUGAGAUUUCCAUAUAGUAUAAUUCGAUCUGUCAAGCUUGAUUGGUGUGGCGAAAGUAAAUGUUGAGAUUGCGGAAGAAACAUUUGUACUAAGACUUGAAGAAGCCAUGAUCAAGAAGUGAUUCAAGGCUCUGAUACCAAAUUAGAAUUUGAUCAACAGAUUUGGAGUGUUUGUUUACAGAGAAAAUCUAAGAGAAAAUGUAAGAAACUUUAGCUGAGAAUAUUCAUUUUGUUCAACUUAAUAACAGAUUGAGAUUACAAAGCUUAUAUACUGCUAUCAAGAAUCAUCUUAACACAUACAUCAUUUUCACGUGUAUUUAUCUUUGAGAGAAGCUAAAUAACCAGCUUAACAAACUCACAACUACUUUGCUGACUGGACUGCCACGUCACCAUAACUAACUUAACUAAUCCAAUCAGUUAAUCACAGUUAACACAUAUUCUUAUCAUGUAAUCUGUGUGAAGUACUUGAUUGUUUCCAUGUUACUUUCAAACAUUUAAAUUAAAAAGGAAAUUUUCAUAAUCUUGCCUUUUCUAUGAUUUUCAAAACCAAGGUUGAUCUACUGAAGAACAAGUUUGGGUUCGACGAGGCAUUUAACUAUAAAGAAGAAGCUGAUUUGAAUGCAGCAUUGAAAAGGUUAGCAUCAAUAAAUGCCUUAGCUUGAUGCAGCUUGAUGAAGUAUGAUACACAUUUCUGACCAAUAUACUGCGUUCCCUGAUCUCUUACUUGAAAUAUCUUGGUUUGAGAACCUCAUGCCAAUGCCUUUAACAUUUUGGCAGGUACUUUCCUGAAGGAAUUGAUAUAUAUUUUGAAAACGUUGGUGGAAAAACGCUUGAUGCAGUGCUACCCAACAUGAAAAUCCGUGGUCGAAUUGCUGCAUGCGGUAUGAUCUCACAGUACAAUCUUGACAAGCCUGAAGGUGUGCACAACUUGAUGUAUCUUGUUUUGAAACGGCUUCGAAUGGAAGGAUUCAUUGUUCUCGAUCACUAUCACCUUUAUCCAAAGUUUCUGGAAAUGAUCAUUCCUCACAUCAAAGAAGGGAAGCUUGUAUACGUCGAAGACAUGGCUGAAGGUCUGGAGAGUGCUCCGGCAGCUCUCAUCGGUCUAUUCUCUGGCCAGAAUGUUGGGAAACAGGUGGUUGCUGUUGCUCCUGAAUGAAGAACAAGUUAGUGUUGUAUGUUCUUUUACCCUUUGACACAAAACUUCAAUGUCAAAGAGAGAAUGCUGCUCAUACUGCUUUAUAAAAUAAUCAAAUGAGUGCAAGUUUCAUGAUAUUUGCUGAAUAAAAUAUUGGAAAUUAAGCAGCUAGCCUAGCUCCUUCUUGUAGUUGCAGUUUGAAUGAUGCUGCUGCACAACUGCUGCCGAAAAAAAUCCUUAAUAGAUGAUUAGCAAGGUUUCAAAAAUAAAAAUAAAUGUUUGUGCAAUGUGCCGAAUAUGACAGCCACAAAGAAAGAGCAUACAAAUUGAUUGGUUUUAUGUCUUCUCUAGGAGAAAGCUACAAUACAAGAAAUUGUAUUGAUGGAGCCUUGGACCAAAUUUCUUAUUUAAAUUUUUAAUUUUUUUUAUUAAAUUACUUAUGUUAUUAUGGUUUAUAUUUUUAGAAAUUCUUUAGAAAUUAAUACAGAACUAGUAGCAAGUUGAGAAAUCUACUGAAUGGUCAAGAUAUGAUAAUGUUUAUUGAAUUAAAUUAACAAUCAUCAUUUUCAUAAAUUAUUGUCAGGAUAUUUGAUUCAUGUCAGGUGUAAGUAACUAAGAGAGCGUUUGGGACAGACACCACAGUUGCUCCCGAUGCUUUAUUUUAGGGAAAUAUCCCCUGGAAUAAUGCAUAGGGCGCAGCCCCAAACGGACCCUAAAUGUGCUAAAAAAAAAUUAAUGAGUUGGGUGUGUUUGAUAUUCAUUUGUUGUAAUUCUUUUAAUAAUUAUUGUAGAAAAAAAUAUGAUAAAAAAUUUAUAAUUAUAAAUAAAAAUUAAUAAUAUAAUAAAUAAAAUUUUUAAACAAUAAUUUUAAUAAAAUAAUAAAUAUAUUAUCAAUUUUUCAUCGUUAAUAUUUAAGUCACAAUAAUAAAUAUUUAUUAAACACUUUAAUACUAUAACUAACACUACAACUUUUGAAUUAUAACAGUACAUUCUAAAGACCGUGGAACAAUAGUACAAAAGGUGCUCGUCGUGUAAACAACACAUGGGACCCAAGCAAUAAAUGUUUCUGAUCCUCAACUUUCCUCAUCACUGUCCCUGCAAACAAUUCUGAUUUUCUUGUCUGAUAAAAAAACUGAGAAACAAUGGCGGCCGAACAAGAAGCUGUGAGCAAUAAUGUAAAGCCACAAAUUUUCAUAAUAUUAAAUUAUGAAAAUUGGGCUUUCAUUGAGAAUUAUGGGUGGCCUAUAACCCUUAUUAAGAAAGGGAUACUAAUUAUAAAUACAAGUUAUUUAUGAGAUAGUUUUGAAAAAAUGUUAUUUUUCCUUAUUAAAUAAGGUUUCUUAAGACUCCCUAUAAAUUCAUACUUUUUCCCUUCCAUGACCCUAAGUCCAUGACGUUUAUUCUUCUUCUCUGCUGCUCUUUACGCUCCUACCCAAAUCAUAGGAUUCAAACCUUUGUUUAGGAGAGAAUCAAAGCGACGAGUAAGUUAUUCUCCCUAUUCUCAACAGAUUUCUAAUCACUCUAUCUAGGGUUUAUAUUGGCACGAUUCUAGAUGGUUAUAGAUCAUAAUGCAUGAUUUAGAAUGUAUUUAGGCUUUGUUUAGGGUUUUGAUUUAUUAUGAGUUUAGUUAAUCAAUCCUUGACGUAUUAAGCACAGGAUAAUUCUGGACAAUAUGAGUAUCUCGAAUUUAAACCUAUAUUUUCUGAACGAGUUUUAUUAUAAAAUUUAUAUUUCUGGAAACUAGACAUGUAGGGCUUCUUGAGUAAAUUUUAUUUCAUUAAAUUCGACUUCGUUUUCAAUUUUAUAUUUAUUUUCGAAAUAGAAACCACUGCACUGGAAAACUGCGAUUCCAGCAUUGCGAUCGGAUUCACAAGACUAUUUGUACCACCAAACGAACUCGGAAAAUUCUGAAAGUUUAUAUGUAGGUUAAUAUAUGUGUCUAGGAUUACCAGUUUUAAUUUCAUAAUUUUCUGAUUAGUAUUUUAUUUUAUAAAAAUCACAGAACCCGUUCUGUUUGGUUUAGAUUAUGUGAAAACAGUUUCGAAUUUGCUGAGAAAUAAAUAGUUUCGAAAAUGUUUUUGAUAUCGGAUCCUCUUGCAAAUUUUACAUAGGGUACUCAUGGAUGUCCAGAAUAGUCCCAUAGAAUAUUAUAUCAUUCUGAGUCUUAGAUUAAGAGUUAAAUUCUGAGAAUCAGACCUGUACGGGUAUGAAUUAGAAAAUCAGAUUCUUAGAAUAAGUUAUUAAUUGUCAUAUCUUGUAUUUGUUUAAGGUGUUGAAGGUGAUUGAGGUUCUUAGAAGCUUAAAGGUGUGUUAAUUCAAAUUCAUUUGUCGAGGUAAGUUACUUCAUUCCUACUAUAUUGGAUAUGUAUAAGUAUUUUGAUAUUAUCAUUAUAAGUAUAAAUGUUUUCAUACUAUUUAGAAGAUUAAUGGAUUUUCAUAACAAAAUUAGCUUAUGAAAAUGUUUUCAAAACCUAAUUUCUUUUUAACAAAGCAUUUUAUAAAUACUUUUUAAAUAUGUAAGUUAUUUUGUUACAUGCCUACUUUUAUGAUUUUAUUUAUAAAAUAUUUUGCAAGCCUAAAUUAUUGUUAUGGACUUUUAUGAAUCCGAUACGAAUGUUUUAUGCCUAUGCAUGAUUUCAAUUAUAUAUGAUUGUAUGGGGGCCACCUCUUGGGACUAUAUGGGGGCCACCUCUUGAAGGCCAAAGUGUCGCAAAGUGCCACAUAUAGUGCAAAGUGCCACGUAUAAGUCAUUAUGUUUUGGCUCAUUGUCCGUAGUCAUUUUGAUUCUGAUUCUGAUCAUAUAAUACGAUAUAUGUCUGUUUUGGACCAGUACUGGGUUUCUGUUCUGAGUGUGCACACGAUAUUUUGAUUCUGUUUCUGGCCGGGUCACUGGGACUAUAGGUGACACUAUGUGACAAGAGCUAACCUUUUGUUUUCUGUAUACGUAUUAUAUGAUUUACUUCAUAAGUAAAUAUGCUUUUGGAUAUUCGGAAUUAUUAAGAAUUUAUGUUAUGUUAUCGUGAUAUAUUGUUUUAUGAAAUUUAUGGAUUAUGAUAUAUGUUUUAAACAAAAGAAGGCUUGCAAUAUUUUUGUAUCGAUAGGCCCAGUAUGUUAGAAAUUGUUUUACUUACCGAGUUGACGGCUCACCCCUCGUCAUUACUUUUUGCAGAUUAAGUUUCUUUUGAGAGGUGCGCUUAGCUUUGGAGUUAGUAAUUUUCCGUUUCCAUUUGCCAUUUGAAUAAGAGGAGGAAUAAACUCGUGUUUCUAUUUAGUUAUUUCUAUUAUGAACGUGUAAUUUGGAGUUUGAGACUUUUGUUAUUAUUUUUAUGUCCUCGGGAGAGAUUAUUUAGUAUUAGACGUUAGAAUUUGUGGAUUUAUUUGAAUAAGAAUUGGAGGUAUUUCAGUUUGAAACUUAUGAGUAAAGAUUAUGAUUUGUGAGUAACCUCCUUCUUCACGUGCUCCGCACGUGUUAGAUUUGGGGUGUUACAAAUAAGCGGGUGAUUCUAAGCAACUAUGUGACAGGUUUUCCAAAAGAAUCAGACAUGAAGAUAACAAGUGGAUCAAUAAAGCUGAAGGUAGCAGACUGUUCAAAAGACACGGUGCUUUUGAAGAAUCUUUAUCUUUCUUGUGAUCCUUACAUGCGAGAGCGUAUGAGCAAGCUUGAUAGCCCUUCUUUUGUUGAUUCAUUCCAUCCUGGUGAGGUUAGUUCAUCACGGCCCAUCUCUUGAUUUUUUUUUUUCAUUUGCUUCAAGUUUUGAUGAGUUUCUGAGGUAAUUUGUACGGUUUUGGAAUUUGAACACAAUUUGUGAUUUUGGUGCUGUAACUGUCAUUAAUGAUAUGUAGUAAUUCAAUCGGAAUUUGGAUUUAGUGCUGAUAUGAUCUCUGCUCAUUUUUUUAAAUCUUGUGUCCACAUGCAUUUUUGAAAUCUGGUACGGUUGAGAUUGUAUGUAGAUUAACCUACGUACAGUAUUCUUGUCUAAUGACUACUAACCACAACCUUAUGAGACGAUCGAAACCAAGCUCGGAUCAAUAAUCCAAUCGAGAGAGGAUCAUAACUGAAGCUUAUCGUGUGUGGGAAUAUUUCGGUUAAAUUGUAAUCAUGAUCAUGAAUCAUGCAGGGAAAAGGGAAGUUGAGGUCAAUUUAUGCACUUGAUGGAAUUAAAGAACCAAUAUUUGAUUUUGGUUUACAUUAUUUCUCAGUAAUGGUGACUUUGUGAUGUUAAAUUUAUGCAGCCUAUAAACGGAUAUGGGGUGGCCAAAGUUUUGGAUUCUACACAUCCAAAUAAUGCAAAAGAUGACUUGGUUUGGGGCUUUACCGGGUGGGAGCAGUACAGUCUCGUUACAGCUCCGCAGCUUUUGAUUAAAAUUCAUCAUAAAGAUGUGCCACCUUCAUACUAUACCAGGAUCCUCGGUAAUGAUUUUUGUUACACAUUAAGCUUUGCUUAUAGUAAUAUCAAUACAUAUGCUGCUUAAAUGCUUUCUGAUUUUUUGCCGGCCAUUGUCCAUUUUGCCCGGGAGACUAUAAUUGAAGGAAUUUACUGAAGGAAUGCUGAUUGUUGGGAAUUUGAUUAUUCUAGGUAUGCCUGGUGUAACUGCAUACGCUGGUUUAUAUGAAGUUUGCUCUCCGAAGAAAGGAGAGUAUGUCUAUGUAUCUACAGCAUCUGGAGCUGUUGGUCAGCUUGUUGGACAGUUUGCAAAAUUAGCUGGUUGCUAUGUUGUUGGAAGUGCUGGAAGCAAAGAAAAGGUGCUGUUAUAUCAUUCUUAAGUAGUAAAUAUAGCACCGUGCCUUCUAGCAGAAUUUUACAUGCUUUAUGUUCCAACUAAGCAUCCAUAUUUGAUCGUGAUAAUUAGCAAGGUCAAUAAUUUUUUUUUGACUAUUUUUUCAACGUAAGGUCGAUUUGUUGAAGAACAAGUUUGGACGAUGCUUUUAACUACAAGGAAGAGCCAGACUUGGAUGCAGCGCUCAAAAGGUCAGCUGCAACAAACGUUUCAACUCUAAUAUUUCAUUUUAAUAUUACAGAGCUUUGGUUGAAGUGUGUGAGUUGAUCCCAGAAACGUAACUUCAUCAGUGUCUCUGUUUUCAAAAAACAGGACAAAUUAAAAUCUGAUUUUGCGUUAAAAUUUCCCAGAUGUUUCCCUCAAGGAAUCGACAUCUAUUUCGAAAAUGUUGGGGGAAAGAUGCUGGACGCAGUGCUACUCAACAUGAGGCUCCGGGGCCGCAUUGCGGUAAGCAGUAUGAUCUCACAGUACAACCUGGAAAAACCCGAAGGCAUACACAACUUAGAGCAACUGAUCGGGAAACGGAUUCGCCUGGAAGGAUUUCUAGCAGGUGAUUACUAUCACCUCUAUCUGAAAUUCUUGGAACUGGUCAUUCCUGCAAUCAGAGAAGGAAAGAUGGUGUAUGUGGAAGACAUAGCCGAAGGACUCGAGAAAAUUUCUCGUAACUGCUACACAUUAAACGCGUUUCACAUUUCCACUCUCUCUCUAUAAAUAAACACGCACAUAAAAUUUCUCACUAUCCAAAAACAAAAUCUACAUAAAAAAUGGCGGGUGAAGAAGGAGUGAGCAACAAGCAGGUGAUUCUGAGCAACUACGUGACAGGGUUUCCCAAAGAAUCAGACAUGAAGAUAAUAGCAGGCUCAAUAAAC
This 150060-nucleotide long non-coding RNA is filed under the name Citrus maxima (pomelo). Its description in RNAcentral is "long non-coding RNA (CMAX_LNC000709)". The record is from RNAcentral. Lineage: Eukaryota; Viridiplantae; Streptophyta; Magnoliopsida; Sapindales; Rutaceae.